Molecule: long non-coding RNA, 101559 nt
Filed under: Malus domestica (apple)
Lineage: Eukaryota; Viridiplantae; Streptophyta; Magnoliopsida; Rosales; Rosaceae
Description: long non-coding RNA (MDOM_LNC007938)
Source: RNAcentral
UCAAUCAAUCUGAUCUCCUAGGUCUCCCAAUCAAUCUCCCAGGACUCCCAGGUCUCCCAGGACUCCCAGGCCUCCCAGGCCUCCCAGGACUUCCAAUAUCCCUUGCUGCUGAAAAAACUUCAUCUAAGUCCUCCAACUCCAAAACUUCAAAGAAUGGGCAACUAGGUGAUAAUAGAGAAGUAGCCCAUCCAGAUUCUCCACCAGCAGGUUCAGCACCAUGAUUCCCAACCUGCCACCUAUCCUGGUUUCUGUUGGGUUCCUAUCCUAUUGGGCGUAACCCGUUUAAGUAUAAUAAGCCCAUUUAGGUCUUCUGAGUUGUGGUUUCCUGAACUUCUAUGUAUAUGGUCUCUUCCUUCUCCUUGAGAACUAUGUGAAAUAUUAAGAGAACUAUGUGAAAUAUUGAAUAUUUAAGUUUUAUCUUCUUUUCCCAUUUUCUCUGUAAUUUUCCCUCUUUCUUCUCUAACGAGAAUGUGUCAUGCAUAGACAGCUAGUCAGCUACGAGUACGGUAAUAUAAUACGAUUCAAUUAUUAGUUAAAUACAAUGAUUAUCGUUGAAACUCAAAAUUUCAGGACAAGGGAGUCGCAUGGAUUCAGAUAUAAAAAUUAUAUAUAUAUAUAUAUAUAUAUAUAUAUAUAUAUAUAUAUAUAUAUAUAUAUAUAUAUAUAUAGGGAAUUGUUAUUGGCACUUCAAAAAUCUCAUUCUACACUCCAAAUUUUCUAUGUUUGGAAAGAAAAAAACAUUUGUGAGGUGUGUAGAAUUAGAUUUUUGGAGUGACAAUAACAAUUCCCUAUAUAUAUAUAAAUUAUUAUUGAAUAUUACCCAAGGAUGAAAUAUGUGAUGUUUAUUAACUAAUGAAAUGUGCUUGAAAACUUUGAGUUUUAAUGAUAAGGACAAAAUAAAGGGUAAAGUGAAUAGUACCAGGAUUGACUUUUUAAUGUAAAAAUGUAGUUUUUCGUUAAAAUGAACAGUACCAGGAACUUUUCGUUAAAGUUCCCUUAUUAAUAAGCAUUUUAGGAAUAUCUCUGACUAUGUUUAUUAACAAUUCCCUAUUAUUGAAUAUUAUUGAAUAUAACCUUUUUCAUCCUUGGGUAAUAUUCAAUAAUAAUUUAUAUAUAUAAUAUUAUAAUAAUUUAUAUAUAUAUAUAUAUAUAUAUAUAUAUAUAUAUAUAUAUAUAUAUAUAUAUAUAGGGAAUUGUUAUUGUCACUCCAAAAAUCUAAUUCAGGGACGUCGUCGUUCUGUAAAUUAUUAAACCAUUCAAAUAUGCGAUGUUUAUUAAUAAGCAUUUUAGGAAUAUCUCUGACUAUGUUUUUAGAUUAACAUGCGCUUAGCAACAGAAAAUUGUCAUGGAGAAGCGGUUGCCCAAACUUAAGGCUGCAAUUUUGAGUGCUCAGAAGUGCUUGGAAGAUUGCAACUAUGUUAGGGGAUUGGUGAGUGACCAUCAUACGCGGAGUUGUUCUGCAUUUUUUAGUUGUACAGUAGUUGUAUAGACAGUCCAUUUUUCUACGUUAGCAGUACAAUUUCUUUUUGUUUUCAUCUUGUUUUUCCUCUCUUUAAUUGUCUGAACUGCAAUACGUUUCUGCAGCUUGAUGAAUGGUGGGACUCCCACCCACCAUAACCGUUGCUCAUCCCUAGAUAGGAGCAACCAGCAACAAUUGUUGUUGACUGGGUCUGAGUCGAUGGAUUAAAUGUUGCUGCCUGGCAUGAUCAUGUGAAGCAGCUCCUUGAAUUUUAUGAUCAGGAGCACUUGUGAGUAUUAUUCGAGUACUCAGCAAACAAGAUUUUAUGGGGAUCUAACUGGUCUUCCUGUUGGCAGUCCCACAUUGAUGGGGGAAGUCAACAAGGGUGGCUAUAAAUAUGAUUACGCUACUCUAACUAAUACCAAGGUUUUUUUUGGUAAAACCCCACACUUGACGGAUUGGGCAGGUGAUAAAGUUGGGGACUGUAUCGGUCUUAUUAGAGUGGCCAGUUGGGGACUCUAUAGGUCUUGUUAGAGUGGUCCCUGGGUCCGUCGAUCUCUACGAAGCCCCUUGUUUCAUUCAUUCUCGCAUUGCUAAAAACACAUUUUCAUUCAUUCUCGCAUCGUUAAAAACACCUACAAAGGCUUGGUAGAAACUCAAGCUCGACUUUAUGCUUGGAAGGUGAAUUCAUUAUCUCUGGCUGGUCGCGCCACUUUUGUUCAGUCUAUGACCUCCGCUGUCCAGUAUAUGCUUUGCAGACAAUAUUACCAAUUACCAUUACAGAUAACCCCGAGUGUCAAAGAUUUUCCCAAGGCAAGAGAAGUUUGGCAAAAGUUGGAAAGUAUAACCAAUAGUCAGACCACAUUAAUUUUCAUGAUUGGCUUCAUUUUAAUUUCACCACUAAAUCACUCAUAUUGGGGGGUUUAGAGUAGAUGUUAGUAUUUUCUGUUGCUUGUUGGUUUAUUUGGUAUUGGCGAAAUACAUUUAUUUUCGAGCAAGAUUUUGCAAUGUUAGAUGAGCCUACCGUCGAUAUUUGUGCAUAUUUUCAUGAAUUGUUAGCCUUCUAAUACUCACAAAAUUGAUAAAUGCCGAAAGACUGAAUCUUUGCUCCACUGGGAAGCUCUUCAUUCAAAAUUGAUUUACACUUGAUGGAAAAUAAUGCUCCUUACAUAACUAACCGGCAGCCGUGCCGGAGGCAAUGUGUGUAUGGAAUCAUAUACUGAGGAUAUUGUCACUUCUAUGUUACGAUUUGAGGAGAGAAAGGCGGAGUAGGGAAGCCGGCCGAGAGGAACAGCUCCUGAUCUUAAGAAGGAUAUGUUGUAUCAUAAACUUAUAACUUGGUCCCUUAUUGAAUGAAAGGGCAGGCUUCUGCUUUGAAUAAUACCACUUCAGACUUCAGUCCAAUUAUGUCUUCCUGUUCUGAAAAUUGACAACUCCAUGUGAUAACAAAACAUCUCAUGUAUUAUUGUACGGUUGAAAAUUGCUGCUUUACACUAUACAUUUAACGUGAUUAGAAAUUCCAUGAAAAUUUACAAACAAUACCAGGGAUGUGUCAUAGGCUGAAAAGGAGUAAGGAUGUUUGUACAUAGGCUGAAAAGGAGUAGGGAUGUUUGUACGUUCCUUCCCCACAGCAAAACCACAUAGCAAAAGGAUUACAAACACAGCUAACAAAUCAAUAAACACAAAAUCAUCAUUAGGUCAACGAUCAUAUGAUUAUAUCAGAUGCACGUCAAUUAAAUAAUUCUCAUGUUCAACUAAGGUCACUAAAAGCCCCCUAUUUGGCCUAAUUAGAUAUGGUCUUCGUGGUGAUAGGAUAUUUGUAAUAUAGCUCAUGACUUAAAAAAAAAAAUUCGGAUUUAAACCCUUGUGGUGAUAGGGUAUUUAGAAGACAAUCCAUUUCUAUUGAGCCACAAUGAAGGGAGUGCAGAAAUUCACAGUUUUGUUUUUGGGAUUAACAAAGAAAUAACAGAAAUUUGGUUUUUGGGCUUAAAUCACAACGGACUUCACCACAAGAAUAUAAAUCUGAUUUUUUUUACCACAUGGGCUAUCUUCCGAAUACUCUAUCAUCACGAGGACUAUUUAUACAAUUAGGUCAAUGUUUUUUUAAGGUGAAUAUCACAUGCUAAAACGGAGAAGGAUUCUCUCAUCUUCUAAUCUCUCUCCCAUUCCCUCCUCUCCUACUUGAACAAUUAUGAUUAAGUUAUGUCAAUAUUUUAUAUUGAUAUUUUUAUAAAGAUAAUAAGACAAAAAACAAUGUGUUGAUGCACAAAAUCAGCGAGGACUUUGGUACAACAGAAAGUGUCAGGUUUGUGACAUUCGCUUGGUUGCUUCGAUCACUAGUGAAGAUAAGUACGUAAAUGAAUAGGGACAGGGAAGCAAACACAAGAUGUACGUGGUUCACCCAAAUCGACUACGUCCACGGAGUAGAGGAGUUCUCAUUAAUUGUGAAGGGUUUACACAAAUACAUAGGUUCAAGCUCUCAUUUUUUGAGUUCUAGUGAAUAGUUUAGUACAAAAUGACAUUAGAUAUUAUUGUGGGAGAAUGAUCCCUAUUUAUAGAAGAAAGUUUCUAGUUUUGUUCUAACAUUGACACGUGUCGUGUUGUGAUUGGCUUCUGAUGUUGACACGUGUCGCGCUGUGAUUGGCUUCUGAUGUCGACACGUGUUGCAUUGUGAUUGGCCUCCUGGUUGAAGGGAAGCUCUUCUGGGUCCUUGACGUAUAACGUUGACCGGUGCUCAGUAGUUUCGGGAUUGGUCAAGUAUGGUACAAACAGUGCUCCCCUAAGUUCCCGAGUGAGGGAAGCUCCUCGGUUGGGGACUUGCAAGAUCCAAGCCACUGAGUAAUCACGAAACUUCUAAGUACCGAAGUGUGGUAUCAUUUUCACGCGCCUUAUCUGUCUCAUAUGUAGAUGUGGCAUCUUCUUUGGAAGUACUUUUCCUUCAUCCAUGGGUGGUAUCUUUAACCGAUGAAGAUGCACAAGGUAAUGUAUCAAUUUCACUUGAAGCUUACUUAUAGUUUCGGGCUUGGUCAAGUGCGAUACAAACCCUAUAGUAGGAGUCCCCCAAGUCGCCGAGCUAGGAGAUCUGCCGAAAGAGGUGACAGACAAGGUAAGCAGUCAAACUUCCAAGCAAGCAACCCAGGAUCAGAGGUUCGACUUCGGCUUCCGGUUGAUUGUUCUCCUUCUCCUUGUCUCUCAUUCAGCUGCCGGGAUAAGGAGAGGCAAAUGGAGAAGAGAUGAUAUGAGAUACUUUUGCUUUUGAAGAAGUAACUUUCCACAGGCUUAUUCUUGAACUGUGCUGGAGGGUUUUCUGGUUCCCUUCAGAGUAUAAGGCCGACUCAAGAAUUUGAGGGUCAAAACAAGUCCAUCAAAUCUAGAGUACGUUCGACCUUGAUGAUAUGGGAUACUUUUGCUGUUGACGGAAUAGUGAAUGUGGUAUGGAAAAGUGUCGUGCUGUAGUGAUCUGUUUCAGCUCACCGUUAAACCUUCUGCUUUAAUCUUUUGCAUGGCAGAAGUGGUGUGCAACCUUUGCAUUUAAAUGGUCCUUCAGAACAUUCCUUCAUAGUGACUCAUCCACGCUUGGCAGCUUCAGUGUAAAGAGCCAAUAUCUGAUCAACUGUCAUGAGGUAUGUGCCGGUGGAAUUCAUGACCUUGACAGCAGUUGAGGAUGAGUUCUCGAGAGCAAUGCUAAGUAAGCAACCAGGCAAAGGUCUCAGGCAGUCAGUUCCAGAUUGGAGGUUUGAUUUCAGGUUCCGACUGACUGCUCUCUUUCUCUUGUCCUGCAGGUGUGGACAAGGACGAAGACAAGGACAGGGAGAAAGCAUAAUAUGAGAUACUCUUACUUUCGACCCUGAUGAUAUGAGAUACUCUUGUUCUUGGUGUGGCUUAUUUGCUGAGGUAUUAUCGGGGGGAAAUAAAGCUGAGUAUUUCGAGAGGUUAUGUUGAGGGUGCAUUCUCGAAUGUGAGAAAGGGUUGAGCAUUUUUGUAGGUUUGCCUGUCCGUUGAGGAUGGAGGUCGAUGUAUAUAGGGAUUUCCCAAUAACAAGUAGUAAUGCUAUUCCUUUAUCCUUCUUGGUCACAACAAUGUAGUGGGAGCUGCCAGCUUCACGUGUUUUAACUUUGUCAGAGCACUUUGAAAAAUUGGUAUGUGGUAUCUGGAAAGCUGAUGUUGCGUGUGAAGAUUACAGACAAGCUUUAUCUAAGGAAAUCUGGCUCUCGAAGUUCUGAGAGCUGUGCCUCUUCGGUUUUCGAACAAGCAAUCCCGUCGGGGAUCUAGCUCUCGAGAUUCGGAAAGCGGUGCAGCUUCGGUUUUUGAGAAAGUAAUUAUGUUAGGAGUCUUUUCUCGAAGGUGAGUAAAGGUUGGACGUUCUUGCCAGCCUGUCUUGCCACAGAACACGGAGGUCGACACACAUAGGGGCUUUCCAGUUGUCAAGCAGUGGUGCUGUUCCUUUACCCUUGUGGGUAAUAGUAGGGUAGCUGGAACUUCUAAAUUCUCGUGCCUAAACUUUGUCAGAGAUCUUUGGCAAAGUUAUAUGUGGUACCCGAGGAGUUGAUGGUGCGUGUGGAGAGUGGUGAUUGAACAGUAAGAUUCACGUGCUUUUUAUUUCACCAGAAAUCUUCGACAGAUUGCCCAUAAUUUCCGCAAAGCUGAGUGUGCAUGUGACAGGUGCUGACGAGGCUGAAAAAGCAGGUGCUUCUUCGAUUUCUGAGAUCGGCCCUCGUGGUCUCUGAGCAACUCAGCUUUCGAGAAAGCAAACGCCUCUUCGAUUUCUGAAGCUCUGUCAAGUGUAGAUUUUUAUAGAGGUUGGCAUUAAGUUCCACAUCACACUUGAAUCUCCACCAGUAGAAGCUCCCUUCUUGCACUUCUAAGAUCUUGAUUUGUCUGACCUCUUCCCUCUUCAACACCUUUGAAAAUGUCUAGCUCCUCUGACCGUCGUUUUGACUUGAACCUUGGAGAAGAGACAGCCACGCCUUCUCCAGACAACAUAUGGCGCCCAUCCUUCAUAUCCCCUACUGGUCCUCUUACCGUUGGGGAUUCUGUGAUGAAGAAUGAUAUGACCGCUGCAGUGGUGGCCAAGAACCUUUUCACUCCCAAAGAUAACAUACUACUUUCCAAACGGUCUGAUGAGUUGGCUGUUAAGGAUUCUUUGGCUCUUAGUGUUCAGUGUGCAGGUUCUGUGUCUAAUAUGGCCCAACGCCUAUUUGCUAGAACCCGCCAAGUUGAAUCAUUGGCUGCUGAAGUGAUGAGUUUCAAACAGGAGAUUAGAGGGCUCAAGCAUGAGAAUAAACAGUUGCACCAGCUUGCACAUGACUAUGCUACAAACAUGAAGAGGAAGCUUGACCAGAUGAAGGAAUCUGAUGGUCAGGUUUUACUUGAUCAUCAGCGGUUUGUGGGUUUGUUCUAAAGGCAUUUAUUACCGUCGUCUUCUGAGGCUGUACUGCGUAAUGAAGCUCCAAAUGAUCAACCUCCGAUGCCUCCUCCUUCUGGGGUUCUGUCCAGUACUGAGGCUCCGGAUAACCACCCUUCGGUGCUUUCUCUUUCUGGGGCUCUACCGACUGCUGAGACUUCCCCUGAGCAACCUUUGUGAAGGCUCCCUCUUGUUUGUUUAUUUUGAUUCAUGUAUAUGUACAUAUUUGUAACUUAUCGGAAAUAUCAAUAAACAAGAUUAUCUUCAUUUCAACGUAUUGUGUUAAAUACACCAAGGCAUUCUUCACUAAGUUCUUUGAAUUUUUCCUUUUGUUGAAGCUUGUAUGUUGAAACUUUGUGAGUGAAGCAUGUAGGUUGAGGUAGUGCUCCCUUAAUUUCCCGAGUGAGGAAAACUUCUCGUUUGGAGACUUGAAAAAUCCAAGUCACUGAGUGGUCGUGAGACUUCCGAGUAUCAAGGUGCAGUAGCAUAUGGUAGGAGUCCCCCAAGUCUCUGGUCGAGGGAGUUGACAAAUGAGGCAUUUCCUUUCGAAGUGGUAGCCCAAAACUCCUUCUUCAUAUAUAUUUGUUAUGAAAGUUGUUAGGCCCAAAGAAGAGGAGGCCUAGGCAAAUUUUUUUUUUUUUGAAUUUUCAAAUUUCCGGAUUUUUGAAUUUUCGAAUUUCCGAAAAAUAAAAAAUAAAAAUAAUAUAUAUAUAUUUAAAAGCUUUGUAGGUGAAGCUUUGGUGUUGAAGAUUUGUAGGUGAAGCUUUGAGGUUGAAGCUUUGUUGGGCACCAUGAAUUGAUUUUGCUUCACACUAUCUUGAUGAAGAGUGUGUGAAGCUUUUAUAUGUUUUGGUGUUGAAAUUUUGUAUUGUAGGUGAAACUUUGGGGUUGAAGCUUGAUAGGUGAAGCUUUGGUGUUGAAGCUUUAUAGGUGAAGCUUUGGUGUUGAAAGCUUUAUAGGUGAAAGCUUUGGUGUUGAAGCUUUAUGAAGCUUUAUGUGAAGCUUUGGUGUUGAAGCUUUAUAGGUGAAGCUUUUGUUGGCACCAUAAAUUAAUUUUGCUUCACACUAUCUUGAUGAAGAUAGUGCGAAGUUUUGGAGAUUGAUAUUUGUCCUCCAUUGAUGAAGCUUUUGUUGGCACCAUAAAUUGAUCUUGCUUCACACUAUCUUGAUGAAGAUAGUGCGAAGCUUUUGAGAUUGAUAUUUGUCCUCCAUUGAUGAAGCUUUUGUUGGCACCAUAAAUUGAUUUUGCUUCACAGUAUCUUGAUGAAGAUAGUGCAAAGCUUUUGAGAUUGAUAUUUGUCCUCCAUUGAUGAAGCUUUUGUUGGCACCAUAAAUUGAUCUUGCUUCACACUAUCUUGAUGAAGAUAGUGCGAAGUUUUGGAGAUUGAUAUUUGUCCUCCAUUGAUGAAGCUUUUGUUGGCACCAUAAAUUGAUCUUGCUUCACACUAUCUUGAUGAAGAUAGUGCGAAGCUUUUGAGAUUGAUAUUUGUCCUCCAUUGAUGAAGCUUUUGUUGGCACCAUAAAUUGAUUUUGCUUCACACUAUCUUGAUGAAGAUAGUGCAAAGCUUUUGAGAUUGAUAUUUGUCCUCCAUUGAUGAAGCUUUUGUUGGCACCAUAAAUUGAUUUUGCUUCACACUAUCUUGAUGAAGAUAGUACGAAGCUUUUGAGGAUUGUAGUUGUGUUCCAUUGUUGAAGCUUUGUUUUUCCUUUUUUUUUUUUUUUUUUUUUUUUUUUUUUGGGAAAACUAGAAAUUUGAAAAUGUGGGAGAGACAACAUAUACAAAUUUUGCUUCCAUACUGUUAAGCGAGAGAUUGUGAUGCAAGCCACAUCUUGUAGUAGUCGAAGGUUUGGAUGAACCAUAUAAAUUGAAUUUGCUUCGAACAGUCUUGAUCAAGAGCGUGUGAAGCUUUCUAUGAGUUGUAGUGUUUGCAUUGUUACAGAGGAGAAAUGUCUGAAGCAGAUGCAAGAGGGCUGAAGAGCUUGAUCUUCGUAUACCAUGCACUGAAGCCAUUGUUGGCUUGCAAUAAGACUUUGUUGGUGACUAUAGCUCUUGUUAGGCAUAAGUGCUCCCUUAGUUGAGUUGUAAAGCUUGAUGGUUUUUGAUUAUUUGUGAAUGCUAGGAGUUCACAUGUACAAGUUGUACCACUCGUCUUCUGGUUAGUGGAAUGAAGGGUGGGUUGCUUUCAUCACUUGGUUGGUGGUACGAAUGUGAAUUCCUUAAUCACCUUUCAUCACAUUUCAUCACCUGGUUGGUGACAUGAAGGAGAGUACGCGUUGUACAUUUCAUCACCUGGUUGGUGGCAUGAAGAUGAGUUCCUUCUUCACCUGAUUGGUGAUAAGGGUGGCAAGUUUCCAAAUAAUAUUAGAGUACGGGUUGUACAUUUCAUCACCUAGUUGGUGGUACGAAGGUGAGUUCCUUCAUCACCUAGUUGGUGAGAAUAAGGGCAAGGUGUCGAGGCACAUUGUGGCAAAUGUCGAAUGACACAAAGUGUGUUGAACCCUUUCGAAGCACAGUUGGCUUAUGUAUGGAUGUGUUGGAAUGUAUGAUGUUUAUGCAUGAAUGUGUUGGAAUGUAUGAUGUUUAUGUAUGAAUGUAUUGGAAUGUAUGAUGUUUAUGUAUGAAUGUGUUGGAAUGUAUGAUGUUUAUCCUUUGUAUAGUCUUGUUGACACAUACUUAGAUUUUGUUUUGUAUUAGAAACAUUUGCGUUGAAGCUUCAACACUUGAGUGUUUCAUUGCUCAGAAUGUAAAAGAGUUUAGGGCCGAGUUGGCUAAAUCACCUUUUUAUUGAAUUCAUACCAAAUGGUUUUGUUACAUAGGAUGCCGAACGGCUGUAGCUUAACACUUGUACAAUGUGAGUCUAUUUGUAAUAGUACUUCAAGUCGUCAGCAUUCCAUGGAUGGCCAAAAGUCUUGCUGUCGGAGCUUCUGAGCUUGUAGGAGCCAGGGCGGCUGAUGCUGACGACCUCGAACGGUCCAUCCCAGUUAGGACUGAGUGUUCCUUCAUUCGGGACUCUAUCACAGAGUAAUCUUUUCUUCAGUACCCAGUCUCCACUUUGAAUGAGCGAGGUUUGACCCUUGAGUCGUAGUAGUUGGAGAUGCGCUGCUUGUAGGCGACAUUCCUCAGAUGAGCCUGAUUUCUAUGUUCCUCGACUAGAUCCAGGUUGAGGGUGAGUUGUUUGUCGUUUUCACUCUGCAUGUAGUUCUGGAUUCGGUAUGUUGCUUGCUCAAGCUCAACCGGGACAACUGCUUCUGUACCAAAAGCAAGUGAGAAUGGAGUUUCUCCUGUGGAAGUCCGAUAUGAAGUGCGGUAUGACCAAAGAACUUGGGGUACGAAUUCUGGCCAACAACCUUUAGCUUUGUCCAAGCUAGUUUUCAGAGUGCGCUUGAUUAUUUUGUUAACGGCCUCGACUUGUCUAUUAGACUGGGGAUGGGCUGGAGAGGCAAAACAUAAGUUGAUGUUAAACUUAGAGCAGAACAUCCUGAAGUUCUUGUUAUCGAAUUGUCACCCAUUGUCCGUGACUAUCGCAUUGGGAAUGCCGAAUCUGCAAAGGAUGUUCUUCCAUACGAAGUCUUCUAUUUUUGCCUCAGUAAUGGUUGCCAAGGGUUCUACUUCAGUCCACUUUGUGAAGUAGCCAACUGCAACGAUUGCAUAGCGGACCUUGCCCUUCCCUGCAGGCAUUGGGCCGAUCAAAUCAAGUCCUCAUUGGGCGAAGGGCCAAGGGCUGAUCAUAGGAGUGAGCGGCUCGGGAGGGGAGUGAGGGAUAGUUGCGUAGCGUUGACACUUAUCACAUGAGCGAGAUAUUCUGAUGGCAUCUUGGUGGAGUGUUGGCCAAUAGUAUCAUUGGCGAAAAGUCUUGUGUGCUAGGGAUCGAGACCCAGCAUGAUCUCCGCAGACUCCUUCAUGUAUUUCCCGAAGGACAAUUUCCGCCUCCGCAGGUGUAAGGCAUCUUAGGUAAGGCAGGGUAAAACCUCGCUUGUAGAGUUGGUCAUUAAUGAUCAGGUAGCGAGCAGACUUGUAUCGAAUCUGCUUAGCUUGGACUUUGUCAUUUGGGAGGGUGCCAUGGGCAAGGAAUUUAUAAAUUGGGGUGAUCCAACUAUCUCCUUGUUGUAAAUUGCACACUUCUGCGACCAUGGUGCUUGGUGCUGCCAACAAUUCGACAUGAAUUUUUCUCCCAAUCUUGUCUUCCACUGCCGAGGCGAGGCGGGCCAAAGCGUCUGCAUGACUAUUUGCCGCUCGAGGAACUUGGGUGAUCUGGUAGUGGAAGUGCUUGAGCAAAAGUCGUGUUUGCGCAAGAUAUGUUGCCAUGGAGCUAUCCUUAGCAUCAAAGUUGUUCGUGACUUGGUUGACCACUGAUUGAAAGUCACUGAAGAUAUCAAUUUGUUUAACUCCAAGAUGCUUGGCCAAACGUAAGCCUGCUAGAAGGGCUUCGUAUUCGGCCUCGUUGUUCGAUGCCUUGAAUUUGAAACGAAGAGCGUAUUCUAUCGCCACUUUGUCAGGGGUAGUGAGGACUAAUCCUGCUCCGCAGCCCUGUUGGUUGGAUGAGCUAUCAACAUACAGACUCCAUGCUGGGGUUGUUGAUUUUGUCUUCUGAGCUUCCGAUGGUAAUGAAGCUAUUGCUUCAGGUGUAGAAGCUAUUGCUUCAGGUGUAGAAGCAAUGUCAACAGGAUAUGUGAAGUCGGCGAUGAAAUCUGCUACUGCUUGACCCUUUUCGGCUGGUUUUGGUUGGUAGGAGAUGUCAAACUCACCCAAUGCUAUUGCCCAUUUGAUCAUUCGCCCAUACGUGUCAGGACUCUAGAGUACCUGUCGAAGAGGGUGAUUGGUAAGCACGAUGAUGGCGUGUGCUUGGAAAUAAGGGCGAAGUUUUCCAGCAGACAUGACCAAUGCUAGAGCUAAUUUCUCAAUGUUGGAAUAUCGUGUCUCCGCAUCUUGUAGGGCCUUGCUAGCAUAGUAGACGGGCCGUUCGACACCACUGUCCUUUCGGAUAAGAACAGAACUGACUGCUGAAGCCGAGACCGAUAGAUAGAUAAUGAGAGUGUCACCAACUUCUGGUUUGGAGAGCAGAGGGGCUUUACUCAUGUACUCUUUGAGGUUCCUGAAUGCCUUGGCACAUUCCUCCGUCCAUGUAAUGUACUUCUUAUUUCCCUUGAGUGCUUUGAAGAAAGGAGCACAUCUGUCUGUGGCCUUAGAGAUGAAUCUGGUUAAGGCUGCCACAUUGCCAGUAAGGCUUUGGAUGUCUUUUGAAGUUACUGGCUCUUUCAUGUCGAGGAUUGCUUUGAUCUUUUCGGGGUUAGCUUCAAUGCCUCGUUGGCUAAUCAUGAAGCCUAAGAAUUUGCCAGAUCCCACGCCGAAGGCACAUUUGUUGGGGUUCAACCUCAUUCGAUACCUCUUUAGAAUGGUGAAAGUUUCAGAUAGGUUGGUGAUGUGUUGGUCAGCAUGUUUGCUUUUGACUAGCAUAUCAUCAACGUAAACUUCCAUGCUCUUCCCAAUCUAUUCGGCAAACAUUGAAUUGACCAGUCUCUGAUAAGUUGCUCCUGCAUUCUUUAGGCCGAAAGGCAUGACUUUGUAGCAAUAUAGUCCCUUGUCAGUAGUGAAGGCUGUGUUCUUGGUCUGAGGGGUUCAUGAGGAUUUGGUUGUAUCCUGAAUAAGCGUCCAUGAAGCUCAAGAGCUCACACCCUGCCGUAAAGUUUAUAAGUCUAUCAAUGAGAGGAAGGGGGAAACUAUCAUUCGGGCAUCCUUUGUUUAGGUCGGUGUAGUCGACACACAUUAUCCACAAGACCUUUUGAAGCAGAAGACUUUCUUUGGUCAGAUUUUUCUUAACAAGGACAACAUUUACUACCCAUGUUGGGUAAUUGACUUCACGGACGAAGCCUAUGUCCUUGAGUUUUUCAACUUCUGCUUUCAUCGCCUCGUAUCGUUCAACAUCAUAAGAUCUUCGCUUCUGUUUUACUGGUUUGGUCUUGGGAUCAAUACUCAAGUGGUGACAGAUGAUAUCGGGAGAGAUGCCCGGCAUAUCUUUAUAUGACCAAGCGAAGACCUCGGCGUUCUCUUGCAAAAAGGAGAUCAGCGACAACCGAAGGGGUGGUGACAAAGUGGUGCCAAUCUUCACCAUGCGAUCUGGAUGGUCUUUGGAGAUAGAGACAUUCUCUAACUCUUCAGCGGGUUGUGCUUGCUGGGUGAAUGAGUCAUCUCGAGGGUCGUCGGGUUGACUGUUGCCAUCAUGAAGAUCCGAGUUGGCUUCAUCUGGACUGGUCUUUACUACCUGGUUAUGUAUAGAGAGGGUCUCCUUGAGGACAUGCAGGUGUUGUUGCUUAACUGAAGUGUUGUAACAUGAUCGAGCACUAAGUUGAUCUCCCAUGAUGUAUCCAUUGCCGAAAGGGGUUGGAAACUUCAUCAACAACAUAUGUGUGGAUACCAUGGCCUUGAGAUCAUUGAUGCCUGUGCGCCCAAAGAUGACAUUAUAUGCCGUCGGGCAAUUGACCACUAGGAAGUUAGUGGUAAUAGUAGCUGUGUAGGGGCCUGUACCAAUGGUGAGGGGUAAGUGUAUACUCCCUAAAGGUUGCACGAUAUCGCCAGAGAAGCUUAUCAGAGGAGAAAUCGAGCGAUCGAGCAAGUGUUCAGCUACAUUAAGUGCCUUGAAAGCUUCAGCAAACAUGAUAUUGACUGAAGCACCUGUGUCUAUCAGGAUUCGUUUCACAUCAAAAUUUGCUAUGUGAGCCUCCACGAUCAGCGGGUCGUUGUGAGGGUAGAUGAUACCUCUUUCUUCCUCAGGGUAGAAACAUAUUGGAUCCCAGUUAGGUUUUUGAUACUUGCCUCCCCUGAUGUCUUCCACGUGAAACACUUGAUGGCCAUGUCUCAAAGUUCGUUCACUGUUUUUCAUGGCCCUAUUGGAAGAUUCAGACAUGGGUGUGCCGCCGCUUAUGGAGUAUAUCACAUUCACCUGGCGUUGGUUACGGUUAUCCCUUGGAGGAUGAAGGAGGAACUGAUCAAUUUUUCCUUCACGUGCCAAAGCUUCGAUAUGAUCAUGGAGGAUGAUGCAUUUCUCGCCGUCAUGGCCAUUAUACGUGGUAGCAGCAAAACACGCUCGUGUUCUUCGUGGACUUGUAAUUUGGCUGUCUUGGCUUUGGCUUUGGUAUCAGGUAAGCUAUACUGGGGUAGAUGGCCGCGCAUGUAGCGUUCAAAGGUGUGUAUGUCUCAUACCUCGGGGUAUGGCCUGUCUUGACACGCGAUUGGCCCACUGCGUUGACUGCAUGGGGAUGGGUGUUAUUGUGACGAUAUACUGAGUUAUCGUGAUAGUGCCCCUUAUUCUUUUUAUUAAAAUGAGAUUGGUGAGGAUGGAAAUCUUUCCUUUUGCCCUGGGAUUGAUAUGUCUGCUGACUUGGCGAAGCAUUAAAUGAGGCCGGGGGGUGUGCUGCUACCGUUUGGAAGGUUGAGGUCUUUUCAUUCGGUUGGAUCUGGCCUCCACUCCUACUUGCUGAUAAGGGGUGACUGUAGGGGGUUUCCCUUGAUAUGUCCUUGCCUCGGCAGAGGCAUGGUUGUAAGCUUGUGCCAUCACUUCAGAGUAAGUCUUCCAAGUGUUGGCAUUGAUCAUGUACUUGAAGAAACAGUCACGUAAGCCUGCCGUGAAGGCCUUGAGGGCGGUCUUGUCAUCUGCCUCAGCGCAGCGGGAAUACUCAUGGCUGAAGCGACCAGCAUACUUUCGUAAUGACUCGUCCGGCUUCUGGUGAAUAGUGUACAAGUCAUCUGCGGAAUGCAAGCGAUCGGUCUAGAAGAUGUGUUGAGAGACAAACAACUUCCUCAACUCUUCAAAUGAGUCUACCGUCUCGGGUAGAAGACGACAAUACAGUUUAAAGCUCCGCCAGAAAGGGUGGAGGGGAAGAGAAGGCACCGUUCUUCAUCGGUGUGUCUCCGGUAUACCAUGGUGGACUCAAAGAGGUUAAUGUGUUCAAUCGGGUCUUCCCUUCCAGUAUAGAGUUGUAAGUCAAGCUUCUGCUUUGUCUUCGCUUGGAGGGGGGUGUUGAGGAUCCUUCUUGUGAGGGGGCCAGGCCUGGGUUGGUUCCAGUCAGGUAUCUCGGCUUGACGUUCAGCCUUCAACUUGUUUACUUCCUCCAGGAGCUGUAGGACGAGGGGGUCCUGAGUGGAGUCGUGCAUCACUGGAGUUUUCUUCCGUAAGUCCCCAUCGCCUCUUGGAAGUAGGAAAGUUUGAUCAAGAUAGCAUGAUUUUUCCUUGGACUCGUCACACUGACUCCUAGAGUGAGUAUGUCGGAACAUUUCCGAGUCCCCUGUACCUUCAUGUUCUUCUGGGACUUGUUGCCCAUUCCCUAGAUUAACUGCUGGCCUGGGUCGUGGGAAAGGACCGAGUCUUUCAGAAACUCUUGGGUCAUUGAUCUUCGAGCUUAUGUGGAUGGGAUUCUCUCGACGUUGCUUUAGGAAGUCUCGACAAUCGCGAUAGACAGCUUUUGAUCCUUCCACUCCUUCUGUGAGGAGGUGCUUUCCUCUACUCUUUCUGCUUCGGGUUGAAGCAGCUGGGUUGAGAGAAGUCUCAUGUUGAUUAUCACAUUGAUGUGUAGCUCGAUCCCUAUCAGGGAUGUCCGUGUUGGAUAUUGGUGACCCUCCGUGUUGGGGGGCAUUCAGAUGAUUGUUGACCUCAGCAGGGGCGACGAGCUUGUGUGCUUGAGCAUGCCUAGCCUCGUGAAGCAUCUCGAAAAGUUUUUCAUACUGCUCCUGGAGGACCUCGUUCCUCAUCACUAUCUUGUUGUUCUGAGCUUCUAACUCAUCGACUUUAGCUUGAAGAGUAACUCUAUUUCCUUCCUGCUUUCGUUGCUUCAUACUAGGUCCAAUGGGGGUGUCAUUCUGUGUGCUAUGGCUUCUUUCGCUCCCCAUGUUGGAGAGAGAUGUUUGGCCAAAAGAAAGUGUACGGGCGGUGGAAACCAGCUUAACAAAGCUGAAGAGAGUGGGAGUAAGUGUCUUUCCCACAGACGGCGCCAAAUGUUGAUGCACAAAAUCAGCGAGGACUUUGGUACAACAGAAAGUGUCAGGUUUGUGACCUUCGCUUGGUUGCUUCGAUCACUAGUGAAGAUAAGUACGUAAAUGAAUAGGGACAGGGAAGCAAACACAAGAUGUACGUGGUUCACCCAGAUUGGCUACGUCCACGGAGUAGAGGAGUUCUCAUUAAUUGUGAAGGGUUUACACAAAUACAUAGGUUCAAGCUCUCAUUUUUUGAGUUCUAGUGAAUAGUUUAGUACAAAAUGACAUUAGAGAUUAUUGUGGGAGAAUGAUCCCUAUUUAUAGAAGAAAGUUUCUAGUUUUGUUCUAACAUUGACACGUGUCGUGUUGUGAUUGGCUUCUGAUGUUGACACGUGUCGCGCUGUGAUUGGCUUCUGAUGUCGACACAUGUCGCAUUGUGAUUGGCCUCCUGGUUGAAGGGAAGCUCUUCUGGGUCCUUGACGUAUAACGUUGACCGGUGGUAGAUGGCCGCGCAUGUUGAUGUGGCAUCUUCUUUGGAAGUACUUUUCCUUCAUCCAUGGGUGGUAUCUUUAACCGAUGAAGAUGCACAAGGUAAUGUAUCAAUUUCACUUGAAGCUUACUUAGAAGUUUCGUGAUUACUCAGUGGCUUGGAUCUUGCAAGUCCCCAACCGAGGAGCUUCCCUCACUCGGGAACUUAGGGGAGCACUGUUUGUACCAUACUUGACCAAUCCCGAAAACUACUGAGCACCGGUCAACGUUAUACGUCAAGGACCCAGAAGAGCUUCCCUUCAACCAGGAGACCAAUCACAAUGCGACACGUGUCGACAUCAGAAGCCAAUCACAGCGCGACACGUGUCAACAUCAGAAGCCAAUCACAACACGACACGUGUCAAUGUUAGAACAAAACUAGAAACUUUCUUCUAUAAAUAGGGAUCAUUCUCCCACAAUAAUCUCUAAUGUCAUUUUGUACUAAACUAUUCACUAGAACUCAAAAAAUGAGAGCUUGAACCUAUGUAUUUGUGUAAACCCUUCACAAUUAAUGAGAACUCCUCUACUCCGUGGACGUAGCCGAUCUGAGUGAACCACGUACAUCUUGUGUUUGCUUCCCUGUCCCUAUUCAUUUACGUACUUAUCUUCACUAGUGAUCGAAGCAACCAAGCGAAGGUCACAAACCUGACACUUUAUGUUGUACCAAAGUCCUCGCUGAUUUUGUGCAUCAACACAAUGUAUGAGAGAAGGAAAUGAAAGAUGAUGUGAAUAAGAGGGGAGAAAAUUCUACUCAUGCUAAAAACAAAAAAUAAUGAUCGACUCUGUAGAUAUUGGCCAAACCAAACAUUAGAUGUGAAAAAUUAGCACUUUGCCGAAUAAUAUUCCGAGUGAGCAAAAUAGAGAAAAAUAUAACAAUGGCACACAGAAAAAAUAUAAAAGUUGAGGAGCCGGGUGAUAUAAUAUUAGACAUUGCAAUUGUAGGCUCGGACGACUCAAGGAGAAAAAGGUUGCUUGCACCACUAUAGGAAAAUUACAAAUCAACAAUGCAGAGGUAACGUGCAUGGUCUUCUCUUCUGCCAUGAAAAAUUCAUGUUGCUUUCAUAUAAUUAACUAAUUAACUAGUUAUUAGUGUUAAUUAUUCUCUAACAUUUCCUUCCUCCAUUGUUUUCUUCUUCUUCAGAUCAAAGUUUCAAUAGUUUUUUUUUAUUUUUUAAAUUCCUUUUACUUUAACAAUAUUAGCGAUUCCAAUUCUACUAGCUAGUUUUAGGUUGUAUUUUAAUUGGCUCGUGUGCUUCUGUUGCAGGACGUGUUUGGGGAAAAAGGAAGGAUACUUGAACAGGCAGGAGCUGUAGCAAAGGUAGCCUCUAUGAAAAAACAUAAUGAACUCUUUGUAACGAAACAACUUCGUUUGACUCGUUUCAUUUAAAUUUUUUGUUUUUCUCAGGUGCAAAGCGACGUGGUUUUGUUAAAAAAAAAAAAAAAACUAAAACGGAGCAACGCCCCACUGCAGAAAACCAAAAUGCAGCACCGCAGCACCAGAGCAGAGGGGUGGAAACCUGGAUUUUGGGAACGAACUCCGGCGACCGAAGGUGCGAACACACCUCCUUGAACCUCUGUGGCUUCGCCAAUGAAGGUCUCGAUAUUAUUUAUGAGGAGUUCAUGAUAAUUACUUUAAAGUGUUAAUAACAAUCCUCUUUCUUAUUCUUAUGCUAGUAGGUCUGGUACUUCCUACAAUCUUAAAAUAUGCAUAAAUUCACUCAUAUAGAAUGGGAAAAUGCCAUACGUUACCAUUUGGAAAUUGGCGAGACAUGAAAAAGUCCUUGAACCUCGCUCCCCCCCGCAAGGCAGGCUUAAACUCGCCCGUGAUGAGAAGACAUGUCUUUUGUGAAUGACAGGAAAUAGGACAAAACCAUCCCUUCUCUUUUUUGUUAGUAAAAGCAUCCCAUGCUUUCUAUCUCUUCAUUCCACUGACUAUUUCGAACACAAAACAUCAAUACAAGUAUUAGUAAAAUGAAAACUUCUUUCUUUUAUUCAAUAAUUAUUAUGGGUUGUGUUUAUUGAUCAACCUGUAAGUAGAUAAAACACUAAUAAUACAAUUAGUUAGGUAAAAAAAAUCAGUUUUUUUUUCAAGUUUCUCAACUAACCGGGACCUAAGUAUUCCCUUGGCGUUCUUACACCAACAAAGAAACAACAACGAAACACACAGGAACACAAAAAUUGGGGACCUCUUUUUAUCUACUUGCCCACCAUCACAAAUAUUACCUUUUUUUUCUUGUAUGGUUUGGUGGUAGGGAACGAAACCUAGCUACAUUCACUUCUUCUGAUUUGCAGUUGACUCUGGUUUUUACAUGAGUAUAUACUGAAGCUCGAUGGACCCCAGGCUAUAUAAUAUUCGAAAAUAGUCAUUCCUUAUUUGUCCGUCAAUCACAAUAUAUAUAAUCAAUUUGAUGAGUAAUUUUGCGUACAUGUAAAGUGUACGUACAAUCCUACAGAGAAUAUUUACAUUAGUUAUAAGGCCUCAGCAUUUGAUAUAACUAAAAGGCAACCUGUAUCAACUCAUUCUUCGAGUCAAGAAUAUCUGAGCUUCUUAGAGGGGGAAUAUAGGCUCUAAAACCAUGUCUUGGUUUUUUACAGUUCUCUUUCUUGUUACUGCUCUUACAUUUCAUACUCCUUCAGAGGCUAGCCAUGAGAAGAACGAUCCUUCUGCAGUUGUUGUAGGCACUGUCUACUGUGACACAUGUUUCCAAGAGGAUUUCUCACAUACCAGCCAUUUCAUUUCAGGUAAAUUCAUCUCAAAAUUUCAACAAGUUCUUCAUCAAAUUUAUUUUUAUAUUGUAGUCUGACUAUAAAAUAGACGUCCGUUCAAUGAUUUCCGUACACCUUCUCCUCCAUACACUCAUGUUUAUUUUGUAAUCUUUAAAUUCAAAUGAAUCAAAGAAAAUCAAAAGAAAGGAAUAAAAAGGGUACAAAAUGAAAAAAAAGAAAGUAAAAUCCAAGAAAAUGACUGAAAACCUAUAUGUAAGUAUUUCCUAUAUAUGAGUCAACUAUACAACUACGAAAAGUAUAUAACAAAUCAAUUUCAAAAAAAUCUCGCCUAACUCCUUGGCGGUAAGACUCUGCAUUCAAUCACGAUUUCUUUCCAACAGACAACGAGUGGUAGGGAUAUUAUUUCUCUUGAAGAAAAGUUGGAGGAUAUGUCAUUUGUAUGUGUUGAUAUCAUUGUCGCCAAGUAUGCAUGUCAUCAGUAACUUUAAAUGAUUUAUCCCCAUACAAAGUAUAAUAGUUGAUCUAAAUGAUUUAUCCCCAUACAAAGUAUAAUAGUUGGUCUAAACCCUAAUUCCAUAAAGGACCAUACUGUUUAAAUGAAAUAAUUGCUCGGUUCCAUUUUACCCCUACAUUUUCUGCUUUUGUUUCGUUGCAAGAGUUUAACUUGUUAUUUGGAAUAUAUUGUUCACAGAAAGCACUUGUUCAGCAAUUUUUGGCUACUGAAGAUGCACUGAACAAAGCUGCAGAAGCGAGGGAUCUAUGUCAAAAACUUAUAAAACGCUUGCAUGGCAAUAGUGAUGUAAUUUCUUCAGGAACAUCACAAAAUGUGGGCAGUCUUAGGCAACUUGAGGUAAAUCUUCCUUGCAUAUUAAAAGUAUUAACUACCAAUAGUUUGGGUGGAAAUAGCACCAUGGGUGACAGGUUUGAUUAGUUUCAGUCUUUUGAUCGUUUCCAUAGUUGUAUACUGUAUACUAGGUUACUUUUAGCCUGCACUGUGUUCUCAUCUGAUUUUUUACAGUCUUCCAUUUGCUUUGUGUAGAUGGAGGUUUGGGCUAAGGAAAGAGAAGUUGCUGGCUUGAGGGCUAGCUUGAAUACACUGAUGUCUGAAAUACAACGCUUAAAUAAAUUAUGUGCGGAAAGGAAAGAAGCUGAAGAUUCUUUGAAAAAGAAGUGGAAGAAGAUUGAAGAAUUUGAUUACCGCAGAUCAGAACUUGAAAUCAUAUAUACCACAUUACUAAAAGUUAACAUGGUAAGGAUCUCAGCUUCAAUAGUGCUUAUAAAUUUACUAGUCACUUCAUAUACUGGCAUUGUAUAAGCCAUGUCUGGUCAUUCCAUGAAGUGUCGGCUCCUUUUCUUUAAGUUCCAGGCAAAAGUUCAUAUAUAUAAUAUAAAAUUCAAGACAAAUUUUCUAGCAGCCCAACGAGUAGAUGGACUCUUUUUUUUUUUUAAAUGAAAUCCACGGUCUCCUCUUUAGAUGCCCAAAGACCCUAUUUAUGGUUAUAGGUCUGGGGUUAACUCACCAGGAGACUUCAAUUUCCCUGGAACUUAUGCAAAUGAUAUCACCAAUUGCAUAGUUUUCAUUUGUUAUUCGUAUCAUAUGGUAGAAUAUUUCAAUAGAGGCAGCUAGGAUAAUGCUUAUCCAUCUCUUUGUCUUCUGUCGGGAAUAUUUUCUAAUGUUAUUUUUGUCUUGGUACAUGGUAGGAUGCUGCUGCCUUCUGGAAUCAGCAGCCAUUAGCCGCACGGGAGUAUGCAUCAAGCACAAUUAUUCCUGCAUGCACAGUAGUCAUGGAUCUUUCAAAUAGUGAAAAACAUCUUAUUGAAAGAGAAGUUUCUGCUUUUGACCAAAGUCCUGAUAAUAGCCUCUACAUGAUUCCAGCAAUUCCACAGGUUUGUGUUGGGGCUUAAAAAGACUUCACUACUUUGGAGAUGUUUAUCUCAUAAAGAAGAAUGUAACGCAGCGGAAUUGAUAGCCAAGAAAAAAGAAAGAACACUCAGAGUAUUACACAAAAUUUUUAUUCUCACACAAACUUAGUACAAGAGGAAACACUCAAACACUCUUACACUUCUUCACUCUUUUUCUCGCUUCUUGCUUUCUUACUGACUCUCACUUCUUCUUGCUUCUUUGUUACACAACACCACACACCUAUUUAAAGGUGGUGUUCCCCGACUAUCCUUGUUACCACCGACUUGAGCAUUGCAGCAAUGACCACAUGAUUUGCCGCCUCUAGAUCUUUCUUUAACUUGGAUAUUUUAGGUGAUAACCAUUUGAAAUUGCUGAAAUUUUCCAGCUAUAUUAUCGACAUAGAUUGCUAGCAUUUGCACACAUUUGCUUUGGGUUAGAUCACUUGUCUUGGGCCAAAGACAAGAUUACCUUUUAACAUCCUCCCUUAAUCUUGUCUUGUGACGCCGAUUGAGUUCCUCAGUCUAACAAAGUCUUCUUGUUUGAGUGGCUUGAUGAAUAUGUCAGCGACUUGGUCUUGAGACUUCACGGAUUCCACUUGCACAUCCUUUCUUGCAAUGCACUCUCUUAUGUAGUGAUAACGAGUAUCUAUGUGCUUGCUCCUGUCAUGGAACACCAGAUUCUUUGCUAGAGCUAUUACAGACUUGUUGUCGACAUUGAUCUCUGUUGGCUCUUCUUGUGGCCUGCUUAAUUCUUUCAGCACGUUUCUCAGCCAAAUUGCAUGACAGAUACAUGCGGUAGCAGCUAUAUAUUCAACUUCACAGGCAGACAGUGUGACAAUUGGUUGCUUCUUCAACAUCCAUGUGAAUGCAGUGUCUCCCAUGAAGAACACAAAUCCAGUAAUGUUUUUUCUAUCGUCGGAAUCUCCUGCCGAAUCACUGUCGCUAUAUCCAACAAGCUUGUAGUUAUUAGAGCUUGAAUAGAACAAGCCAAAGUUAAUAGUACCUUUAAGGUAUCAAAGAAUUCUUUUGGCGGUCUUCAAAUGUGUACUUAUGGGAUUCUCCAUGUAUCGACUAACUAAUCUGACGACAUAGAGAAUAUCUGGUCUUGUGCAAGCCAAUAGUGCAAGCUUCUAACUAGACUUUUGAAAAAUGUUGGAUCUACGCUUUCUCCUUUGUCAUGCUUGGUUAGUUUGACUCCGCACUUCAUUGGCGUGCUUAUGGGCUUGCAGUCUUCCAUUUUGAACUUUUUCAAUACCUCAUUUUGUAGCUUUCUUGGGAGAUGAAAAUGCCUUCUUCGUUUUGCUUAACUUCAAUGCCUAGGUAGUAUGUCAUCAGCCCGAUGUCGGUUAUCUCGAAUUCUUUGGUCAUCACUCUCUUGAACUCUUCAAACAUACUUGGAUUACUCACGGUGAAGAUUAGAUCAUCCACAUAUAAGCACACAAUCAAAAUGUCUCCAUCUUUGACUUUGAGAGCAUGUUCAUGAGGGCACUUGAUGAAGUUGUUCUCCUGAAAGUACUUGUCGAUGUGACUAUUCCAUGCUCGUGGCAUUUAUUUUAACCCAUAGAGGACUUUCUUCAACUUCAGAACUUUGUCUUCAUGCCCUUUGAUUUCAUAACCUGAUGGUUGCUGAAUGUAGACUUCUUCUUCAAGGACUCCAUUUAGGAAAGCGGACUUCACAACCAUUUGUUGAAUCUUCCAUUUGUUUUGAGCUGCCAAAGAAAUUAGUAAUUGUAUCGUUUCCUAAUGAGCAACGGGUGUAAAUACUUCAUUAUAAUCGAUUCUGGCUGUUUGACUAUAACAUUUCGCCACUAGUCUCGCCUUGUGUCUUUCGACCUCUCCAUUGGCAUUUUUCUUUGUUUUGUACACCCACUUGACUCCGAUGGCUUUAUGUCAUUUCGGAAGAAUAGUGAGUUCCCAUGUAUCAUUUUUUUGAAUUGCUUUGAUUUCUUCAUCCAUUGCUUUCCUCCAUUUAGUAUCCUGCACUGCUUCUUAGAAGUUGACUAGUUCACAAUCAGCAAAGAGACAGAAAAAUGUAGGAUUAUCAAGUCUUUUAGCCACCUCAUAGAGAUCUUGUAGACUUCUUGUGUGUGGUACUUCUGUUUCAUUUAGACUCCCACUUGACGAUGCUGAUGCUGGUAAAUUGCCAUGAUUGGUUGAUGUUGGUGAAGCAGGUAGAGUAGUGGAUUCUUGUUGAUCUUCUCUUGCUUGCUCCAUUAUUGUUUGUUCAUUAUCUUCUUCAAAUUGAGGAAAGAAGUGAAGAUCACCUGCAUGCAAGCCAAAAUCCCAUUCUCUUUCUUUAUUGAACGUCACUUCUCGACUAAUCACCGUCUUCCCAUUGUUCGAAGUAUACAGUUUAUAGCCUUUUGAAUUUGUGUCAUAGUUGAUGAAGAUGAACUUCUCACUUUUGUCGUCAAGUUUGGUGCUCCUCUUGUCUGGUACAUGUACAUGGGCUAUGCUUCCAAAAACUGUUAGAUGAAAGAUACCUGGCUUUCUUCCACUCCAUGCUUCUUGCGGAGUCCUUCCCUACACACUCUUUGUUGGAGACCGAUUGGAUAGGUAGACAACAUAUGUUACAGCUUCUGCCCACAAUUCCUUAGGCAAUCUCUAGCUUUUGAGCGUGCUUCGAGCCAUGUCGAGGGAUAGUUCGAUCUUUUCUUUCCGCCACACUAUUUUGUUGAGGGGAUCUUGGAACUAUCAAAGGUCAACGAAUUCCAUUUGCUUCACAAAACUCUUGAAAUUCAUUCGAAGUGAAUUCUCCUUCUCGAUCAGAUCUCAUGGCUUUGAUCUUGCAACCACUCUACUUUUCUACAACGGCUUUGAACUUCUUGAAUGCUCCAAAGACUUCUGAUUUCUGCUUCAAGAAAUACACCCAGGUUUUCCUUGAAAAAUCAUCAAUGAAGAGAAGGAAAUAAUUAUUUUUAGCCCAUGGAACACAAAAUUAUAACUUUUUGGACAACAAUACCCUUCUCUUUUUCAUUAAUUUCACUUCGAAAAUUAAACAAAAUUAAUCAAAAUUCCAGAGAUCUCUCAAUUUCUGCACAAUUAGCAUAAAAUAUUCAUUAAAAAUCAAAAUUUACCUCAACAAAUCAACUCAAAAACUAAGUUCUCUUGUUUUUCCAGGAAAUCAAGCUUAUUUGAUCGCACUUCAAAUUUUUUGGGAAACUGAGUGACAAAAACCCAACAAAAAGAAAUUUUCUCUAUGUUUGAUUUCUAUAUUCAAAGAAGAAAAACAGCAAAAUGAAGAAAAUCCAGAUCAGAUAAAGCAUUCUUGAGAAAGCCAAAGAGAGGAAAUUUUCUGGGGAAACAAACAUGAAGAACAGAAGGGUACCGGGGAAAGCCGAUGAAAGGAAGUGGCUGAUGCCGUCGCUCGAGGGAUGGGACAGCGAGGAUUAGGUGGAAGAUGUGAGGGAUGACGUUGAACUCGUAGGCGGUGGCUCAGGUAAGGUCGAACUCGUCGGAGUGGAUGGGUACGAUUGUCAUUUAAUCUUUCGUUCCAUUUCAGCUUGAACAUACACCAAAUGUAGCAUGGAACCUCCGUUCCGUCCUGUUUCGUCCAGUCUGUGUACUAAACGGUACCUUAUUGAAUGAAAGGAAAAGGCUUCUGCUUGGCUUAAUACCACUUUAGUCCAAUUGUCUUCUUGUUCUAGAAAUUGACAACUCUAUGUGAUGAAAAAACAUCUCAUGCUUAUUGUACGGAUGAAAAGUGCUGCUUUACACUAUUACAUUUAAAGUGAUUAGAAAUUCCGUGAAAAUUUAUAUUAUCUCAUUGCAUUGAUGAACGGGUGAGAUAUAGAGAAACAAAAUUUUAUACUUUCAUCUACUACAUUGAUGCUUAGGCGCACCGAAAGUCACCCAAAACCCUAAAAUUCUCCUCAUGAAUUAUGUGUCUAAUAUUUUUCAGAAGUUGUUAUCAGCACUUGCAAACAGUUUUUUAUGCAUGUCGGUCUGGAAGUUAUCUAUGAGGGGUCAUGAUAAUUAUUUUAAAAUGUUAGUAACAGUUAUCUUUUCUUAUUCUCGGUAGGCGGCUACCUCCCCCACACAGCAGCCCUAAACUCGCCCGUGAUGAGAAGACAUGACAUGUCUUUUGCGAAUGACAGGGAAUUGGACAAAACCAUCCCAUCUUUGUUUCAAUAAUUAUUAUGAAUUAUCGUAUACCGAUUAAUCUGUAAGCAGAUGAGAUAGCUACUCAUUUUCACCAUAAAAGGAAAACAUUUCAUCACAAGAUUGCAGUGCGGACAGAGAGGGUUGUGGUUGUCGUAGAUAAACCUAGGUUUCGUCACAAAACAGGAAAUUGAAUUAAGAACAAAACAAACAGAUUGUGGGUAGGAAAAGACAGAUUUUUUAGUGUGUUGAGAACACUGUUUGGUACACCAAGUAUAAUAAUACAAUUGGUUGGAAACUUGUUAAAAAAAAAAAUUUCCAACUAUUUAUAUCAUAUGGUGUAUUAGACCGUGUUCCCGAUAUCAACGAGAUUUGGAUGUCAUGCAUACAAAUAAAGCCCCUUAUUACUGUCACAUUAUUAUGUCUUGAUAAGAUCUUUAUUUAUUCCCUGCAAGUACCAUAUGAGAAAUGCUAAAGAGACUCUCUAUGGAUUCUCUGUUUGUCACUUCAUGUUUUUGACAUAAUAUUUUAUAAUGUUAGCACCAUAAUUGACUGUAAACUGUAAGGUAAUAUAGAGUAUAUGAAGAGUUCCACUUUAAGAGUGUCUCCUUAGCAUUUCUCAUACCAUAUUCUGACACCAUAGAAAGUAGCCAUUUUUUAUUGUAAGUUUUAGUUUUCACACGUAUUUAUGUUAUGCGAGACAACCGCAAAUAAAUCUUUUUGUAUAUACAACUUUUAUCAAGUUUAAGAGUUAUAAUUAAGAUAUUCCCGGUUGUAUAUAUUUAUAUGUUUUUAGUCAGUAUAAUUGGAGCUCAUCAUUAGUGUGUACGUGAUAGAUAUCCUCGGUUACACGGCAGAAUCUCACAGGAAUGUCAUAGCCAAUAAACUAGGCUCCUAUGCAUCAAUUUUUUAUGUGUGAAGAGAAAACACGAAUAAAUACAUGCAACAAUCUAUUGUUGCUGAUUGUGUACAACUUCAGACUCAUGAAAUUUGUAGCCACUCUACAUAUCUCGUGUGUAAAGUGGUACAUCAAAUGUGUCGAACUUGAUACAUCAAGUGUCAUAAUGCAAUUAAUUAAAAAACAAGAUUUCAAAUCUUUAUUUUCAAGUUUCACAUCUAACAGGGACCCAAUUAUUCUCUUUGGGACUUUUACAGCAACAAAGAAACAACCUCAAUCUACUUGCCCACCAUCCCAUACCUUUUUUUUUUCUUGUCUGGUUUGGUGGUAGGGAAUGAAACUUAUCUACGUUCACUUCUUCUGGUUUGCAGUUGACUGGUUUUUCCAUUAGUGUAAAAACGAAGCUUCAUGGACUGAUGCAGUACAUGGGGAACAAAUAUAUUUAAGGUUUUAGUGACUUCUUAUCUCUUAAAAGCCUUUGUGACCUUUCUUUUAAUUGAAUUGCCUAGUAACUAUCCUACUCUUAAAUAUUUAGUAUACCAAUGUUUGUAAUUUCCCUAUUUAAAGGGCUCCAUAUGUAUCCUUAAAGUGGUGAAAUUAGUGAAUUAAAGUUAAUCUAAGAAGAGAGUGGGCUUUCUCCUCAAAAUCAAGUGUGAGAUUUGGUUGUGUCGAGUGAAUCCACGAUUAGUGACGUGAGUGAAUCCGUUGCCCCUGGUCGAGUGAUUCCCAGGUUCUAUCCCUGUAGAGACGUGAGUGAUUCCGUCCCCCCUAGUUGAGCGAUUCCCAGGUUACUACCCCUUGUCUUUUCGAGACCCAUGGUUUUUUCUGCAUCAAGUGGCAUCAAAUAGAGAUGGCAAUUCAAACCGUUAAACUCGAUAACCGUGUAUAACCGCCUGAGAGAGGAUUUGGGUAUGAAAAUUUGGGUAUAUUAUGGAAAUGGGGAAAAAACGUGAACUUUAAUCGGUUAUGGUUUUGUAUAUGAUUAUAAGGGUCCCCAAUCCAUAUCCGUCCCCAAAUCCGAAUCCGAACCGAAUAAUAUAUAAUAUUAUUUGGUUUAUGUAAUAUAUAUAUAUAUAUAUUGUAUUUGAGUGAAGCUAUACCAUCAUUACCAUAUUCAUUAUUCGCUGCAUAAUGUAUUUAGUAUAUUAUUCGCCGCAUAAUGUAUUACAAAAUUCAUUUAUUGUUAUUGUGGAGCCAAAAAUAAUCAUAGGGCAACACAUGGAUUUUGGUAAAAAGGACAAAGUUACUCCUGAGACACACCGGUUCUCCUACGCCUGAGCAGUGGACAGUCAUUCUUUAAUCAAGCCAAGAGUGUCCAAAAAAGGUAACCAAUUCCAAAUUAUCUCAUCCAUCCUCAUCUUAGGUAAUUACUUCAUAACCUACAAAUUAUUCCAUAUACAUAGAGAUUAAUUGGCUAAUUAAUGGAUUAAUUCCUAAUUAAUCCAUUAAUCACCAAUUAAAUCACCCAUUUUCACACCUAAAACCUCUAAGGCCCGGCCACCUCCAUUCCCUAUAUAUAUGACCCUAUUUUUUCUAAAAAAAGGGUUCCACACUCUUGCAAAACUCCCAAAAACUCUCCAAAAACUUUUAUCUCUAAAUUCUAACUUUGGCAUCGGAGGUUCUUCGGCCAAAGCCUCCCAUUCAUUGUGGGCGGGUGAGGCUCUUGGCCUUGACCUAAGGUGUUAAUUGUUUUGUAGGUUCAAUUUUGUCAGGUGCAAUUUUGUCCAAGAAGAAGAAGGCGGAAAUUUGCAUUCAUAAAUUGGUGUUUUCAUUGAGAGAUGAGUACCACACUCGUAGAAGACUCUCGCAUCCAAGGUUUUCUAUUUUCUUGUCCAUUUGUAGAUUUUUCGUACGUUCUUAUUAUUAGAAUUUUUUAUUUGCAAAAAUUCUUUGAUAAAACGUAAAAGAGAAGUACAAUGGCUAGAAAUUUAAAAAAUUCAACAAAUGAAAAUUUCAACAUUUAAGAGAUGGGACCACGGCGAUUCACGAGGCUAAAUGUGACAAUAAGUGGAGCAGCACCACAACCACAAGUUUCCUCCAUGGGAACCACCGUGGUGGCUGCCUCGGUAGCCACUCGCGGUGAGGUCCAUGGCACCAUUACCGCGGCGAGGUCUAUGGCACCAUUACCACGGCCUGAGUCGUGCCAUUAAAGCAAUCCCAAUACAUGUCACUUCAAGCCCAAUGUGUUGCCAAGCCGAGCCCUAGCCUCGCACCCACAUACGCCACACGCCGAGCAGCCUACUCACGUGGCCCAGCCUGCCCCCAUGGCCGAGCCUGCUCCCGCCGAGUAGCCUACUCCUGUGGCACAACAUGCUCUAUCUAAGCAGCCCAUUCUCGUGGCACAGCCUGCUCCCUUUGAGCAUCUCAUUCUCGUGGCCCAACCUGCUCUCGCAGCUCUGCUUGCUCCCAUAACCCUGCCUGCUCCCAUGAUUUCCCAAGCAGCCCAAGUCGGCUCGAGAAUAUCUCGACCAUCCAGAGCAACCAUCAAGCCGGGGGCAUUUUUACCAUAUUUCUCCACAGAUUUGACAUUUCCCAACUCAAAUCUCAUGCCUAGAGUGUUCCAUACUUCCACUGCUUAAUGAGGCACAUUCUUUCUAAGCUCUUCCAAUCUAAAUGGCGAACAACACUUGUCUCGACAAGUCAUAAAGUUGACGAGCUCCCUUGCACAACAGACGACCUUGAUGAAUCAACUUUUGCAAUGCACCGAGAUCUAACGUGCCUUGGACAAGGUAUCCCUAAGUAGGACAAGGGUAGACGAAUCUUUCCAGCAGCAUCCCGGUAAGCAGCUACUCGACCAGCCACGAGCCGAGCGUUCGGGUAGUGUACAUUUCUGAUUAGGCCCCCAAGAUAGCAUAUACUUCCAUCUUAUAGCACGGAGGAGCGUGCACUCUCGACUAGGCCUGAGGAUAAGUAUACACUCACGAUUGGGGCUACACUUAGAUAAUCAACAUGAGCAGCCUUCCAGGCAAUGCAUUCAUUCGCAGCUAGGCCCGUAAAGAAUAUCAUCCACAUCAUAUCGGAGCAGACAACACAGCAGACGGAAAGAAGCAGUCACUCAAUCCGGCUCAAGUUCAACCAGUAGCCUGUGAGUUACACACUCGCCUGCUAGGAAUAUACCACACCCACCGUAGCCGCGGCAUAGACAAGCCGAACAUAUGGAAGAACAGCUUAGACUAUCACAUCACGAUCAGGGGCAAUCAAGAGCUCUGCCACCCCAACAAAGGAAAAUUCAGGAAGAAGUAGAAAGGCUCCUGACCAAGCGAUUGCGCAAUUUCUCGCGCCAACCAAAGCCUCAAAAGGGCACAAGAUGAAACACCUAAUGAUGGCGCAAUAAUUCAGAGAGCAGCUCAUUGCGUUUACACCUUAACGUGGGUUCCACAAACAGUUCACCAAACAAGACCUCGCAGUCUGAAGAUUAUUUCAGUUGUCUAGCAGUCCAGCUUUCCUCAGCUGCACUCACGACAACGACUUCCAUGAUUUCCAGUGCGAAAGGAUAAACUAAUUGCUCUCCAGUGCGAGAGGGUAAACCAAUUCCCCGACACCCAUAUGGGUUUGCUCUCCAAUGCAAGAAGAUAAACUAAUUGCUCUCCAGUGCGAGAAGGUAAACCAAUUCCUUGACACUCGUAUGGGUUUGCUCUCCAGUGCGAGAGGAUAAACUAAUUGCUCUCCAGUGUGAGAGGGUAAACCAAUUCCUUGACAUUCAUAUAUGUUUGCUUUCCUGUGCGAGAGGAUAAACUAAUUGCUCUCCAGUGCAAGAGGGUAAACUAAUUGCUCUCUAAUGCGAUAGGGUAAACUAAAUCCCUGACAGCCAUUUGGGUAAGCUCUCCAGUGCGAGAAGGCUGCAUAGUUUAAAAGAUCAAAUGCUUGAAGAUCAACUAAGCAACAAAUGGUUAGGGGGCAGCAGCCACUUUUACACUUAAUAGUUCGCUCAUCCGACACUUCAUUUUCAGAAACUCUGAUCUUGGCAGCUUUAUCCUUGACUGCUCCAUCUAUGGCAGUUGAAAAAUCAAACUUAAGCAGUUUCCUCAUAUUUAGCAGGCAGCCCAAACAAUUGCCUAUUCCACGCCACUUCCUCGGCCCAUGUCGAACCAAUCAUUGGCUUCAAUCCAGCCGAGUUGCUCAAGCAAUGGCCCCUGCCACAUCACCUCCUUGGCUCAUGCUAAGCCGACUCUUGGCCCCUGCCAGCUGAUGUGUCGUACCACCCUGAUUACUGCCCUGUGGCAGCACCACCCAAGAAGAAGACAAGAAGAAAUUAAGUUUUUAUUACAUUGGUGCGGCAUAGAGAAGACGAAGAAAGCAACAAAAGACGGUCAUUUGCAUGGGCAAGAUGUAGAAGAUUGCUAAAUGAGGGGGAACAAAUAUCCUCUAAACUCUCUCUCUCUCUUGUAAGGUAGAAUAAAUCACUCUCCAAAGUUGAUUUAAUAACCCACUUAAGGUGGACUUAAAUAGGUUUUGAGAGAAAUUUAUUUCCCUUUCCUAGAAUGAUCUAAUUUCAUAUUAAAGAGGGAUUCUACAUCAAAACAGGAAGCGGUUCUAAGUUUCCUAGAGCAAAAAGAUCUUUACACCUGCUGCCCUUUCUUACGAGUAGCCCAACAGGUGUGGGGGCAUUUGUGGAGCAAAAAAUUAUCACAAGGCAACACGUGGAUUUUUGGUAAAAAGGACAAAGUUACCCCUGAGACACACCGGUUAUCCUACGCGCAAGCAGUGGACAAUCAUUCUUUAAUCAAGCCAAGAGUGUCCAAAAAGGGUAACCAAUUCCAAAUUAUCUCAUCCAUCCUCAUCAUAGGUAAUUACUUCAUAACCUACAAAUUAUUCCAUAUAAAUGGAGAUUAAUUGGCUAAUUAAUGGAUUAAUUCCUAAUUAAUCCAUUAAUCACCAAUUAAAUCACCCAUUUUCACACAAAAAACCUUUAAGGGCCGGCCACCACCAUUCCCUAUAUAUAUGACCCUAUUUUUUUUCUAAAAAAGGGGUUCCACACUCUUGCAAAACUCCCAAAAACUCUCCAAAUACUUUUCUCUCUAAAUUCUAACUUUGGUAUCGGAGGUUCUUCGGCCAAAGCCCCCCCCAUUCAUCGUGGGCGUGUGAGGCCCUUGGCCUUGACCUAAGGUGUUAAUUGUUUUGUAGGUGCAAUUUUGUCCAAUAAGAAAAAGGUGGAAAUUUGCAUCCACAUUUAUGUUUUAUUUAUUUAUUAUUAAACGUGGCUAUUUAAUGACAAAAUUAGUAUUCACUAAAUUAUUGUGCGCCAAUUGGAUGAAUAUAAUUUUUUGUUGUUGACGAAGAUGGAUAUAACCAUUAAUUGAUAGGAAAUCCGUUACCCGGUGGGUAUGGUUAUGGAUAAUUCCCGAUAGUUAUUUUGCAGUUAUGGAUAUGGUUAAUUAUCAUGGUUAUGGAAUAGAUAUAAGAUUUCCGUCCCCAAAUUGAACCGUUGCCAUCCCUAGCAUCAGUGCAGGUUUUCUGCUAUGGAGUUAAAAGGAAAAAAAAAAUCAUGUUGUUGAUUCUACACUUCUCUUCAAAUUUCAGUUCUCUUUGUCCUAAUCACCCAAAAGGUUACCUAUAAUUGGAAAGGUCUGCGAGUCCACUUUCUAACAGAACAGACAGUGCCUCAAUCAAAAUUUUUUUUGCAGCAAUUUGCUAGCAAAUAGUGUAAGGUGUAUGUUUUGUGCAAAAUCUGCAAGGCGCAGUUUCGUUUUCAACGAAGAGAUAUACCAGCAUCUUGUUCCAAUGAAUAAUAAUCAGGUAUAUGAAAACCACUCUAGUAUGAUAUUUAUCGAGGAAGAUCUGUUUUAUUCACAAAGAAUUGAUUGGAAUUUACCUCCACUAUAUGAUGAGUAUUCGGAGGAUGGUGUUUUGAUGAUUCCUAUCCAAACAGGUGCUAACGUUGAAGUGAAUGUUGAAGAACAUGCUUUGAUAGAUAUUUGCAGCUUGGAAAGUUCAGAAUAUGAAGGAUUUGGAUUUUUUCAAGAUGAGAAGAUUGAUAGUCCAAUGUUAAGUUCAUCAAUAAGCUACGGGCAUGUAAAAUUGUGGUCACGGCCAAGUGAUGAAGGAGCUGUUCAAAUUUGCUUUUUAAUUCUCCAGCACAUUGUUAAAGAUCAAGUUUUGGGGACAUUACAACCGAUGGCAUAUCGUUGGGAAGGUCGAAAACCUAAAUUCAAAUUAAGAUUAAAAAGAUACAAACUCGAGGACGAGUUUUUUUCGAGAAGAGUAGAAUCAUGCAGUGCAUGGGGAACAAAUAUAUUUAAGGCUUUAGUGACUUGUCAUCUCUCAAAACCUUUGUGACCUUAUCUUUUGAUUGAAUUGCCUAGUAACUAUCCUACUAUUAAAUAUUUUGUAUACCAAUGCUUUGUAAUUUCCCUAUUUAAAGGGCUCCAAAUGUAUCUUUAAGGUAGUCAAUUAGUGAAUUAAAAAUAAUCCAAGAAGAGAGAGAGUUUUCUCCUUCCUUAAAAUCCAGUGUGAGACUUGGUCGUAUCGAGAAGAAGAAAAUGAUGCAAUGCAUGGAGAACAAACACAUUUAAGGCUUCGUGGUUUCUCAUCUUCCAAAACUUUCUGUCACCUUCUCUUUUAUGAGUUGCCUGCCUAGUAACGAUCCUAUUAUUAAAUAUUUAAUCUACCAAUGCUUUGUAAUCUCCCUAUUUAAGGGCUCCAAAUGUAUCUUUAAGGUAGUCAAUUAGUGAAUUAAAACUAAUCCAAGAAGAGAGUGAGUUUUCUCAUUCCUUAAAAUCAAGUGUGAGACUUGGUCGUGUCGAGUGAAUCCACGGUUAGCGACAUGAGUAAUUAUGUUGCCCCUAGUCGAGUGAUUCCCAGGUUCUACCCAUAGAGAAGUCGAGUGAAUCCAUUGCCAUUGGUUAAGUGAUUUCCAGUUACCCCUUGUCUUUUCGAGACCCUUGGUCUUUUCUACGUCAAGUGGCAUCAUAGUAGGUUUUUCGCUGCAGUUAAAGAUCAUGGCUAUGAUUAUCAAUCCGUUUCAAGAUCACAUCGUUGAAGAGAUUAGUUUUGUCAAUUGAAAUUCUCCGCCAAUUUAUGACAAAUAUGUUGAUGACGAUGAGUUUACUGUUGAUGUGGCUCAUCAAGGAGUUUAUCUGCUGCUAGGAGAUGAAGGCUUUGUGGAUUGGGGUUAUCCACAUAAUAUGAGUACAAUGGCGGAAACAUUUUACAUGUAGCUUCAUAAAGAGGAACUAAGGUGUACUUGCUUUGGAAUAACAUGGAAGCGGAGUUCAAAGGAAUAUUUUGUGUGACAGAACAACUUGGACUGCUCUGGAUUUGCUUUUGCUAUUGUGGCUGUUGUGGAAAAAAAUUGAAAGGUAUCCAAAAGAUCGAGGAAAACAAAAUCAAAGGAAACUCGAGGACGAGUUUUUGUUCGAGAAGAGGAAAAUGAUGCAGUGCAUGGAGAACAAAUAUAUUUAAGGUUUUCGUGGCUUCUCAUCUCCCAAAACCUUUGUGACCCUCCCUUUUAAUUGAAUUGCCUAAGUAACUAUCCUACUCUUAAAUAUUUAGUAUACCAAUGCUUUGUAAUUUCCCUAUUUAAAGGGCUCCAUAUGUAUCCUUAAAGUAGUGAAAUUAGUGAAUUAAAGUUAAUCUAAGAAGAGAGUGAGUUUUUUCCUCCUUAAAAUCAAGUGUGAGACUUGGUUGUGUCGGAUGAAUACACGAUGAACGACGUGAGUGAAUUCGUUGCCCCUAGUCGAGUGAUUCCCAAGUUUUAUUCCCAUAGAGACGUAAGUGAUUCCGUCCCCUCUGGAUGAAUGAUUCUCAGAUUACUACCCCUUUAUCUUUUCGAGACCCUUGGUCUUUUUGCAUCAUGGACCCCAAGUUAUAAUAUUCCUAAAAUAGUCAUUCCAAUUUGUCUUGUCAAUCACAAUUAAUUUGUUGAGCUAAUUUUGUUGUGUACGUGUAAAAUAAGCCAAUCAGUGUCCUUUUUAUAUCUAAAAAAUUGUAUAAUCCUACAGAGAAUAUUUAUAUUAGGCCUCAGCAAUUGAUAUAAAAGGCAACCUGUAUGAACACAUUCUUAGAGUCAAUAAUAGCAGAGCUUCUUAGAGGGGAAAGUAGAUAGGUUGUAAAACAAUGUCCUGGUUUCUUACAGUCAUCUUUCUGGUCACUACUCUUACAUUUCAUACUCCUUCAGAGGCUAUCUAUGAGGAGAUUCCAGCCUUCUGCAGUAGUUGUGGGAACUGUCUACUGUGACACAUGUUUCCAAGAGGAUUUCUCAAAUACCAGCCAUUUCAUUUCAGGUAAAUUCAUCUCAAAUUUUCAACAAGUUCUUCAUCAAGUUUUAUUUUUCUAUUGUAGCCAGUUCAAUAAUUUCCAUACACCCCUUCUCUUCUUCUAUACACACUCAUGUUUAUAUUUUAAUCAUUAAAUUUGAAUAAAUCAGAGAAAAAUUAAAAGAAGGAAAUAAACAAAAGUGUACAAAUGGAGAAAAUGUAAAAUCUAAAUUGACUGAAAACCUUUAUACAGGUAUUUCCUACGAGUCAACCAUACAACUACGAAAAAUUAAUUAACACAAAUCAACAGCAAAAAAAAUCUCACUUAAACUAAUUCCUUGACGGUAGGAUUCUGCUUUCAAUCACGAUUUCUUUCCAACAGACAACAAAACGUUGGAAGUUAUGUCAUCGUAACUUGUCAUUUUAUUGUCAGUCAACAAAACUUCCUGACAUGAUAUGGAUGCAUUAUCCAUCAAUAAUCUUGUGGGGGUUUUUGUGCAGGGGCUUCUGUUGGUGUGGAAUGCAAAGAUGGGACUUUAACAAAACAAAGUUUCAACGCACAAGUGAAAACAAACAGCCAUGGGCAGUUCAAAGUCCAUCUGCCCUUCUCAGUGAGCAAAGAUGUCAAGAAAAUUGAAGGAUGCUCCGUGAAACUAAUCCGCAGCAGUGAACCCUACUGUGCUGUGGCCUCAUCAGCCACCUCAUCUUCCCUACACCUCAAGGCAACAAAACAAGGGACUUACAUAUUCUCUGCUGGUUUCUUCACCUUCAAGCCUCUCAAGCAACCCAGCUUAUGCAACCAGAAACCCAACAUUCAGAAUUCCAAGAAAUUAAAUUCCCAGAAGUUCUCAGAGAUGGCAUUCCCAUCCUCCUCUCAGGUGGACCCCAAAAUGCCUGAUCCCUCUCUCAACCAAUCUGAUCUCCUAGGUCUCCCAGGUCUCCCAGGUCUCCCAGGUCUCCCAGGACUCCCAGGUCUCCCAGGUCUCCCAGGACUCCCAGGACUCCCAGGACUCCCAGGUCUCCCAGGCCUCCCAGGACUUCCAGGCCUGCCCCUUGCUGCUGAAAAAACUUCAUCCAAGUCCUCCAACUCCAAAACUUCAAGGAAUGGGCAACUAGGUGAUAAUAAAGAAGUCAGCCCAUCCAGAUUCUCCACCAGCAGGUUCAGCACCAUGAUUCCCAACCUACCACCUAUCCUGAUUUCUGUUGGGUUCCUAUCCUAUUGGGCGUAACCCGUUUAAGUAGAAUAAGCCCAUUUAGGUCUUCUGAGUUGUGGUUUCCUGAAGUUCUAUGUAUUUAGGUCUCUUCCUUCUCUUUCGAGAAUUAUGUGAAAUAUUGAAUGUUUAAGUUUUAUCUGCUUUUCCCAUUUUCUCUCUACUUUUCCCUCUUUCUUCUCUAACGAGAAUGUGUCGUUCAUAGACAGCUACAAGUACGGUAAUAUAAUACGAUUCAAUUAUUAGUUAAAUACAAUGAUUAUAUCGUUGAAACUUAAAAUUUCAAGAUAAGAGAUUCAAAGAUAAUAUAAUAUAUAUAUAUAUAUAUAUAUAUAUAUAUAUAUAUAUAAUAUUAUAUAUAUCAAUUAUUGUUGAAUCUUACCCAAGGAUGAAAAAGGGUAUGGGUAUUCUUUGCAGGGGUGGAAAAACAGAAGUGGGUCGGCCAUGCUUUUACUAUGUGGGCCCCUUAGAGAAAACCUGCUAAAAAUGAACCGUUUCAACAGAAGGAGGCAAAUAGCUGUACGGAACGACGACGUCCCUGAAUUAAGGUCAUCUUCUUCGAGUGCGGACGAGCCGUAUCACAUACCUUUCCUGUUUCCAUCGAGUUUGAUCUACUUCAACUUCUGUUUCGACAGAGUAGCAGGGUAAUGAUUUUGGGAAAAAAAUUUAAGGUUAGGGUUUUGGAGAAUAAUUUUGUGACUAGGGUUUUAGGGUUUUGGAUUGUUUUCACAAAAUCAUUCUCCACUGGUGAAAUAAAUCACCAUAAUAAUAGCAGUAGGCUAUGAUUUUAACUUAAUCAGUACCCAAAUGUAAAAUUUUAUGCUUAUUUCCGCAAAUACUAUUAACAAUUUAACAUGGAGUUUUAAUUUUUUAUGAAAUUUUUGUAGUUGAUUGGGUUUGUAUGAUGAAUAUUAGUGUUUUGAGCCACACUUGUUAGUCCAACUUCAAGCAAAUUUGCAAUCAGCAAGUCCAUUCUCUCUAGCUGCGACCUUCCUUGCAAAGGGAGGAAUCUUAACAGAGUCUUCAACCCUUCCCCAAAAGCUAUGAAUAAAGUCUUUAGCGACGACGGUCCAAUUAAGCACUCUAACUUUGGCCUUAUUGGUAUCGGAACGGGCCUCCCUGGAUCAGUGACAGCCGCCGCAGCUUCUACUGCCGUAAAAACUGUUCUUCACGUACCUUGACACUAACCACUUUUAUGGUGACUACUGCGCCUUUCUUCCCAUUGAUGAUUUGACUGUCUACCUAAAUUCUCAUGCUUCCCAACCCUCCGCCACUACUACCACCAAUUUCACCUCUACAAGUACAAGCCAUGAUGAUUGCAUCGCCUUACCCCUCACCCGCCAGUUGCUGUACGCCGAUACAGAGACCGUUACAUAUGCCCCUUAAGUCCUUGCACAAUAUAAUAGAAGCAAACCUCGGUCAAAUAAUAUAAACUUGAACUCCAUUUUGAGCAUUGUGAGAUAAGGGAAUGUGCUAGAAACUAUUAUGUUAAAUUCAUUCUUAUUAAACCUUUCAAAUAUGUGAUGUUUAUUAAUAAGCAUUUUAGGAAUAUCUAUGACUAUGUUUUUAGAUUGUUUGUACCAUACUUGACCAAUCCCGACACUACUAAGCACCGGUCAACGUUAUACCGUCAAGGACCUAGAAGAGUUUCCCUCCAACCAGGAGGCCAAUCACAGCGCGACACGUGUUGACAUCAGAAGCCAAUCAUAGCGCGACACGUGUCAACAUAAGAAGCCAAUCACAACACGACACGUGUUAAUGUCAGAAUGAAACUAGAAACUCUCUUCUAUAAAUAGAGAUCAUUCUCUCACAAUAUUUCCUAAUGUCAUUUGUACUAAAUCAUUCACUAGUACUCACUAAAGGAGAGCUUGAACCUAUGUACUUGUGUAAACCCUUCACAAUUAAUGAGAACUCAUCUACUCCGUGGACGUAGCCAAUCUGGGUGAACCACGUACAUCUUGUGUUUGCUUUCCUGUCUCUAUCCAUUUACAUACUUAUCCACACUAGUGACUGGAGCAAUCUAGCAAAGGCCACAAACUUAACACUUUCUGUUGUACCAAAGUCCUCACCGAUUUUGUGCAUCAACAUUUGGCGCCGUCUGUGGGAACGACACUUAUUCUCACUCUCUUCAGCUUUGUUAAGCUGGUUUCCACCAUUUGUACACUCUCUUUUGACCAGGCAUCCCUCUCCAACAUGGGGAGCGACGGAAGCCACAACACACAGAAUGACACCCUUCUUGCACCUAGUGUGAAGCAACGAAAGAAGGAAGGAAAGAGGGUUGCUUUUCAAGCUAAAGUCGAUGAGCUAGAAUCUUAAAACAACAAGAUAGCAAUGAAGAAUGAGGUCCUCCAAGAGCAGUAUGAGAAGCUCUUUAAGAUGCUCCACGAAACUAGGCGUACUCAAACACGCGAACUCGUUACCCCUGUGGACAUCAACCAUCAUCUGGAUACCUCCCAACAAGGAGGGUCACCUUCCUUCGACAUGGGUAUCCCUGAUGAGGAGCGAGCUAAUCAUCAAAACAUUGAUCAACAUGAGACUUCUUUCAACUCAGAUGCUUCGACCCGAAACAGGAGAAGUGGAGGAAGACACCUUUUUGCAGAAAGGUUGGAAGGAUCGAAAUCCAUUUAUCAUGACUGCCGAGACUUCCUAAAGCAACGUCAAGAGAAUCUCCUCCACAUAAGCUCGAAGAUCAAUGACCCAAGGGUUUCUGAAAGACUUGGUCCCCUCCCACGUCCCAGGCCGGCUACCAAUUUGGGGAAAGGGCAACAAGUCCUAGAGAAACACGAAGGUAUAGGGGGCUCAGAGAUGUUUCGACAGACAUACCUUGAAAGUCAGUACGGCGAGUCCAAGGAAAAAUCACAUGCUCUUGAUCAAACCUUCAUACUUCCAAGAGGAGAUGAACAUUUACGAAAGAAAGCUCAAGUGGUACAUGACUCCACUCAAGACCUUCUUGUCAUACAGCUUCUUAAGGAAGUAAACAAGUUGAAGGCCGAACGACAAGCUGAGAUACCUGAUUGGAACCAACCUAGGCCUGGCCCUCUUACAAGGAGGAUCCUCGACACCCCCUCCAAACAAAGACAAAGCAGAAGCUUGGCUUGCAACUCUAUACUGGAAAAGAGGACCCGAUUGAACACCUUAACCUCUUUGAGUCCACCAUGGCAUACCGGAUGCAUACCAACGAAGAGCGAUGUCUUCUCUUCCCCUCCACCCUCUCUGGCGGAGCUCUAAACUGGUAUUGUCGUCUUCCACCUGAGACGGUAGACUCAUUUGAGGAAUUGAGGAAACUGUUUGUUUCUCAACACAUUUUUCAGACUGAUCGCUUACAUUUUGCAGAUGACUUGUACACUAUUCGCCAGAAGCCGGACGAGUCACUACGAGAGUAUGCCAAUCGCUUUAGCCAUGAGUAUUCUCGAUGCGCUGAGGUAGAUGACAAGAUCGCCCUCAAGGUCUUCACGGCAAGCCUUCGUGAUUGUUUCUUCAAGUACAUGAUCAAUGCCAACACUUGGAAGACUUACUCUGAGGUGAUGGCAUAGGCUUACAACCAUGCAUCCGCCGAGGCAAGGACAUAUCAAGGGAAACCCCCCACAGCCACCCCUUAUCAGCAAGUAGGGAGUGGAAGCCAGAUCCAACCAAAUGAGAAGACCUCGACCUUCCAAACAGCAGCGGUGCCUCCCUCUGCCUUACUUAAUAUUUUGCCAAGUCAACAGACAUAUCAAUCUCAGGGCAAAAGGAAAGAUUUCUAUCCUCACCAGUCUCAUUUUAGUAAAAUGAGUAAGGGACACUACCGCGAUAACCAAGGGUAUCACCACGAUAAUCCCCGACCCCAGGCAGUCAACACAGUGGGUCAAGCACGUGUCCGGAUAGCCCAUACCCCGAGGUAUGAGGCAUACACACCUUUGAACGCCACAUGCGUGGCCAUUUACCCCAGCAUAGCACACCUGAUACCGAAGCCAAAGCCGAGGCACCUGGAUUACAAGUCCACGAAGAACACAGGCACAUUUUGUUGCUACCACGAGUAUAACGGCCAUGACGGUGAAAAGUGUAUCACCCUUCGAGAUCAUAUUGAAGCUUUGGCAUGUGAAGGAAAAAUUGAUCAAUUCCUCAUUCACUCUUCAAGGGGUAACCGUAACCAACCCCAGGUGAAUGUGAUAUAUUCCAUAAGUGGUGACACACCCAUAUCUAAAUCUUCCAACAGGGCCAUGAAAAAUAGUGAACGAGCUUUAAGGUAUGGCCACCAAGUGUUUCACGUGGAAGACAUUAGGGGAGGCAAGCAUCAAAAGCCUAACUGGGAUCUAAUAUGUUUCUACCUUGAGGAAGAAAGAGGUAUCAUCUACCCUCACCACGACCCAUUGAUCGUGGAAGCUCACAUAACCAACUUUAAAGUACGACGAAUCCUAGUAGACACGGGGGCUUCGGUCAAUAUCAUGUUUGCCGAAGUUUUCAGGGCACUUAAUGUAGCUGAACACUUGCUCGAUCGCUCGAUUUCCCUUCUGAUAAGCUUCUCCGGUGAUAUCGUGCAACCUUUAGGGAGCAUACACUUACCUUUCACCAUUGGUACAUACCUUUACACAUCUACCAUUACCACUAACUUCCUGGUGGUUGAUUGCCCAACGACAUACAAUGUCAUCUUGGGACGCACAUGCAUCAAUGAUCUCAAGGCCAUGGUAUCCAUAUAUAUGUUGUUGAUAAAAUUUCCAACCCACUAUGGCAAUGGUUACAUCAGAGGAGAUCAACUUAGUUCACGAUCAUGUUACAACACUUCGGUCAAGCAACAACACCUGCAUGUGCCCAAGGAAACCCUUUCUAUACAUGACCAAGUCAUAAAAACCAGCCCAGACGAAGCCAACUUGGAUCUUCACGGUGGCAACAGUCAACCCGAUGAUCCUCGAGAUGACUUUUUUACCCAGCAAGCACAACCCACUGAAGAGUUGGAGAAGGUCUCUAUAUUAAAAGAUUAUCCGGAUCGCAUGGUGAAGAUUGGCACCACCUUGUCACUACCCAUUCGGUUGGCAUUGAUCUCUUUUUUGCAAGAGAACACUGAGGUUUUCGCCUGGUCAUACGAGGACAUGCCAAGCGUCUCUCCCGAUAUCAUUUGUCAUCGCUUAAGUAUUGACCCCAAAACCAAGCCAGUGAGACAGAAGCGAAGAUCCUAUGACGUUGAAUUUGUAGGAGACAAUGAAGGCAGAAGUUGAAAAAGUCAAAGGCAUAGGCUUCGUCCGCGAAGUCAAUUAUCCAAUGUGGGUAGCAAAUGUUGUCCUUGUUAAGAAGAAUCCGACCAAGGAAAGUCUCCUACUCCAAAAGGUCUUGUGGAGAAUGUGUGUCGAUUACACCGACCUAAACAAAGGAUGCCCGAAUGAUAGCUUUCCUCUUCCUCUCAUAAAUAUACUUAUAGACUCUACAACAGGGUGUGAACUCCUGAGCUUCAUGGAUGCUUACUCAGGAUACAACCAAAUCCUUAUGAACCCUCUGAACCAAGAACACACAACCUUCACUACUGACAGGGGACUAUAUUCACUAGUACAAAAACAUGUUUGCGCGACGAAAACUUACGCGACGCAUAAAAUUACGUCGCGCAAAGCCGUUUUGCACGACGUAGGUGUACGUACGUCGCGCAAAACGUCUUUGCGCGACGUAAUUUUACGCGAUGCUGUCCUUCGUCGCGUAAACUUUUGGUGCCAAACCAAAAGAAUUUACCGUUUUUUCCCAACUUUGUGCGACGCAUGCCCACUUACGUCGCGCAAAGUUGUUUUGCGCGACGUAGGUGGGGAUGCGUCGCGCAAAGUCAACAACUUUUUUUCUUUUCAUUUGAUCAGUUUGGGAGGCAGAAACUGCAUACCUAGCUGCAGCAACUACCUCCAUUGCCCAUCUCUCUCUUCAAAACCGUCUACCAGAUCAGGUUUGAAGUUUGAAUUGAUAUCAAUUCUUUGUAUUUUUUCGAUUGCAAUCCUUCCCCUUUGCUCUUAAACAUGAUGUAAACUGAAUUAAUAAUAUGUAGAUCCUUCAUGUGAUUCAUUUACGAAAUUGAAAUUGCAAAAUCAAAGGAGAUAACUAUCUUGCUGAUUUUCUUUUUCUCUAUACACCAGAUCUCUUCUUUCUGUAGCGACUUAUUUGUUCGUACAUAAAAGCAGAGGUGAUAAAUUAGUUGGGGAAGACAAAUAGGCUUAUAUCCAGGUGAGGAGGACCCUGAGCACAGCUUAAGAAAUUACUAGGAAUAGCAUUGUGAGGCCUAAAUGUCAAUUGGCCAGGACUCCAUACAUGCGCAAUUUUGGUCUUUAGUAAAAACAUCUAAAUGAUGAUGGGUAUGUCCUUGAUGAAGUACCCGGUUAGCUGUUUUUACGAAGGACAAAAUACCGUAUAUGUAUGGAUUCAAACGCCACCAUCAAAUGGAUAAGAAAUUAGCGUCCAAUCCAUCGAAGCAAUUCAUGAUGUCUCCAACAUGUUGGAAGAUUUAAUUGGCAAUGGGAAGUUAGACCCAUUGAGAUGACGAAGAUGGUUUUCUCACGACGUUAAGAGUAGAAGUGUCAUCUUGAGCUCCUAAUCAAUUGUUAUAUUCCUACUGUAUAUGGUUAAUUUAUGUCUCCACCACUCAUGUAUCAUUCUUUGCAUGCGAUCCAAAAAUAAGGAUUCAAUGACCAAAAAACAUGGUUGUUGCAAAUUCAUCCAAAUUCAUGGGAAAUAAAUUAUGCUUAUAUCUUUCUCAUGAUGUGUACAUAUUAUUGAAUUGAUCUAUUCAUUUGUCAAAAAAGUGAACUAGUCGUGUUUAAUUACAUCAAAUUUGUCAAGCUGAUGUUGCCUAGCUGGUAUUCGUGUCGCCUACUUGCCAAUACGUUGAAAAUACACUCACUACUUGCAUAGAAUUUCAUAAUUGUAGGUUGUAUUUGGCUUGGAGACAUUGUGUUUUUACUUUCUUUACCAUAUUUUGGUUCAGAAAACCAGCAGUUCCGAUGACUGGAGGAAAGUCACUCUUCAGCUGGUACUCACAUUAGUUACGCGAACAAGAGCUACUGCUUACGUAAGGUUAAUGAUGGUGCUUGUCUUACUAACAGUUUCACAAUAAGUGAAUCCGUGAUAGGUGACAUGGUUUUCUGAUAAGUUGCAGUCUUUUGGAUAUUAUGCAAGCUAUUGCAGAUAUGAAUGGUGCAGAUAUUCGUCUUACUCUUCAAUCAUUCAACAGCCACUGAGCACAGCUUAAGAAAUUACUAGGAACAAGAGCACGGCUUAGCGGCCUUCUUUUAGUGUAGAUAAUAUCAUUUGUUAGAGAAAUUUUUUAUAUAUAUAUAACAAGGAAGAAAAUGAAAGAGGACAAAUAAUAAGAGAGCAGACACACGAUCGCCUACAAACUUCCAUGUAAACCCAGCCUGCUUUAUUCGUUUUUUCAGACCGAUUAAACAAAGCACAGAACUUAUUCCUCCUUUUUUAAUCCCUUAUUAAUCCCAAGUCUAUGUCUUAAGACAUUCUUUAUCUUCAACUACUUGCAUGUUUGACAUAUCUUAAUAAUAUUUCGUGUGUAACAUUUAGCUCUGAGUACUUAUCAAACAGACAUUAAGAUGCUGCCAAUCCUCAGACUGCAGCCUAUCAUCAUUUGAACACUUGUUCAAGUUUACAGUUUUGAUCCCCUGUCAACACCUACUCCCUUCUUUGUUUUGAUCCAACACCUUAUUUCAAAUCUGCAAAUAGUCACUUGCUAAGAGAAUGAGCAAUGUAACUGUUGCAUUUAGAAGUCGGAUUGUGUCAGUCGAGUGUAAGCAGGCAAUGAGCCUUUUAGUAACGCCAUCUUCUUAUGUUCAUAGAAGUCAGCAGUCUGCAAGUUUAAGCACCUUGUUUGUACAGUUUUACGUUUGUGUACCUAGUUCCAUUCAUAAGUCAGAUUUUAUCAGUUGAUUGCAAAUGCAAUCAGCAAGCAGAAUAUGUCAAUGUAUUUAGUAACAAAUGUCUCAUGCUUAGUAAAUGACUUGCGUAUUAUCUUCGUAAAUUGGCUUUCAUAACUUGUAUAAGAUUAGCAGCAUCCAUAAAUUUCUGUAGGGAAAGUUUUGAAAUUGGAUUUGUGCAUGAUAUGGGAAUUUGUGAGGAUGUAUGUUUGCUCUUGUUGUCUGUGGUCCUCCCCUGCCUUUUUCUUUAGGUUUGGUUAAAGUCUAAGCUACAUCUCUUUCUUAUUAUAAGUCGCAUGCAGAGAGAGAAGAUGAUGACGAUGGUCCUGUAUGUAUAUAUAUAUAGCUACCUCUUCUUUAUUUUUAUGAUUAUAUGAUUACUAAUUAGUCAUUUUACGUUGAUCAUAUUGAUUAAUCUAGAAUGUUAAAUCUAGUAUAUUGUUCUUGCAGACUUGUAUUUUGAAGGUGAGCAUAUGUUGUUUAGGGGGUUCCAAGCUAUGGCCACCCCACUUCACUAAGCUGUGGCCUCCCAAGUUCAUAAAAACAAAGACGGCUAUUACAUGUUGCAAAGGAUGUGCUCACAAAAUCAAGAAGAAAUUGCAGAACUUAACGGUACAAAAUCAGUUUUUUACUUCCCUCUUGCAGUUGAUCAUCAAAUUAGGAAUAUCUGCACAGAUAAAACCGGUUAAAAAUUCUUAACAAAAAUUAAACUAGGAAACGAUUUUAUUAGAACUUUGUAAUUGGUUCUGUUUGUUCUUAUGGUAUUAGUUUGUUUCUUUUCACUUGUUACUGCCUUUUGUAAUCAACUUUUUCACUGUCAUUAUUUACUCUGAUUGGUGAUGACAGAGGCAUGGCUAUUGUAUCUCAUAUAAGAGGAGAACUAAUAAGGAGAACUAAGGACUAAAUUAAGAGAUAGAUACGUAAAGUGAAAUAAAGGGUGCAUAAAUCACUUUAUAUUAAAAUGAAGUCUAAGAGACAUUUAACUACAUUUGAGAUGUCACAGUGUACAUAAAUCACUUUAUUUUCUUCGCUAAAUUAAUUUUUAUUAAUUUUAUCUAUUUUAUUUAGUUUUAGUAAUUAUUGUGAUUUAGUUUAUUUGUAUGCACAUAUUUUUGUACAUCACCUACAAAAUUGUUUUGUGUUGUACUAAGUUAAUACUACUUAACUUCAUACCCUUUUCUCAGGAAAAGCUUAGUUUCCCGUUUGAGAAUUAGUUGGAUUUCGUGCAUGGAUGUGAAAGCAUGACUGCGGUCCAAUUAAUUAUUGAAUUGUCCCAUUUUUUGGACAGUUUGGGAAUGCCCUAGUUAUGUGUUGUAGUUUGCGGUCCACAGAUUAGCUUUCGAUAGUGGAAAUUUUGGUAACAUUUCCCGAUGUUCUUUGAGUACACGGUGGAUAUUAUGUAUCUACGACGUGCACUUGAAGAACUGUAAGGAGAUGCUGGGAAAUUAGCCCACGUCGAAAUUUAAUCCAUUGGAAUCGUAAAUUACGGCACAUAACUGUGCAUUCUUGAAUGGGAUAGGGCCCUGACCAGAGGAAUAAGGUGACAAGACAAUAGUUUUCAUGUCCUAAUCUGUCUCAUAAUUUGCUUCAAUUGUACUUAAUUCCAAUUUUUGAAUAAAAUGAAUGAAUGCCAGCAGCGGUGUAGAUUUUCAAUGGCAUCCAAUUUCAUAUAGUUUAAUUAGUUAUAUCUCCAUUUACCUAUAUACCUAUUCAUUCCAAUUUUAUAUGAUCGCUUGAUGCAAAACUUUUCUAGAUAUUAUUAGUUGUAGCAGUUGCAUCUCUUAAAGAUCUAUACAACUUAUUCUCACUGGUUCACGGUGGAUUUUGCAGUUACUUCUCGAGCGUGGGGAAGCACGAAGGGUUAUUCCUUGGUAACACAUUUAUAAGGAUUCCGUUGUAGACGUUGUUGUAAUUCUUGUACUUUUAUUCGGAUUGCAGACAAAAUGGACAAACAGUGGAUACAUAAUCAUAAUAGAUGUGUUGUUGAGUACUUGGAUGGAAUACAUGCGUUCAUUGAAUUCGCAACUAGACAUAACCUAGGUUCAACUCAUAUCCGAUGUCCAUGUAGGAGGUGUAACAACUCAACGUGGGAGACAUUCAAGAAUGUUUGAUUUCAUUUAGUAAGAAAUGGGAUGAUGGAGACCUAUACUACUUGGUGUCAUCAUGGAGAACGAUUAGACCAAGCUUCGUCUUCAUACGUGACACGAGUGGAAACUGUUGAAUCAAAUGUGGAUCCUAAUGAACAAGUUAUGAAUAUUCUAAAUGACGUUUAUUCAUACGCCUCGAGCAACACCAAUCAGGAAGAGGGAGAAGAGGGAGAUGACGGCCGUCCAACCAUGGACAGUGAGGCAUUCAAAAACUACGAAAAACUAUUGAAAAAUGCCAAGCAAGAAUUAUAUCCAGGUUGUGAGAACUUUUCAAUGCUCACAACAAUUGUGGAGUUGAUGCAUGGCAAGAUCAAGUUUCGUUUGUCAAACAAGUGUUUUGAUUACUUUUUGGGAGUUAUCAAAAGGAUGGUUCCAAAGGAGAAUUGUUUACCUAAAGAUCAUAAAAGUGCCCAAAAAGUGUUGAAGGGUCUCGGAUUGGGGUAUGAAAAAAUUCAUGCAUGUGUAAAUAAUUGUAUAUUGUUCUAUAAGGAGAACAAAGCAUUGGAUAAAUGCCCUGUCUGCAAUGAGCCGAGGUUUAAAAUGACAUCACAGAAUAGAAACACCAAGAUUCCACAAAAAGUAAUGCGCUAUCUUCCAUUGAAGCCUAGGUUGCAGCGAUUGUACAUGUCGAUGCAUACCGCAACCGACAUGAGAUGGCAUAAAGAAGGAUGGGUAAAUGACGAUGUUAUGAGGCAUCAUGCAUAUGGAGAGGCAUGGAAAGAAUUCGAUCGGAUGUACCCUGAUUUUGCAGCUGACCCGCGCAACGUCAGAUUGGGACUUGCCACCGAUGGAUUUAAUCUGUUCGGGGUUUUAAACCUAAUGCACAACACUUGGCCGGUCAUCGUGUUUCCUUAUAAUUUGCCACCUUGGAAGUGCAUGAAAAAAGAAUACAUGAUGUUAAUUCUAUUAAUUAACAAAGAUCCAGGAAAGUCCAUUGAUGUUUAUUUGCGGCCGUUGGUUGAUGAGCUAAAAGAUUUAUGGGAAAACGAUGUUUGUACAUACGAUAAAUAUACUGGGCAGAUGUUCACCAUGCGAGCGGCAGUGAUGUGGACAAUAAAUGAUUUUCCCGCUUAUGCAAUGGUUUCUAGAUAGAUGACUAAGGGUUAUUUGGCAUGUCCAAUAUGCAAGGAGAACGUAACAUCAUCUUGGCAUGCAAGAAAAGUUUGUUAUCUUGGUCAUCGUAGAUGGCUCCCUUGGGACAACGAGUGGCGUCAGAAUGAUAAAUCCUUCGACAGCACAAAAGAAACUCGGCCAAGACCAAGAGAAUAAUCCAGAGAUGAGAUUUUGGAUCAGUUAAACCGUUUGGAAUUUGGUCAUUUCGGCAAAGGGGUCAGUAACCCCAAACCAACUACACAUCUGAACUGGACACACAAGAGUAUGUUAUUUGAGCUUCUGUAUUGGUCAAAGUUAAAAUUGAGACGCAACCUCGAUGUUAUGCAUAUUGAGAAAAAUGUGUUUGACACUUUGAUCGGGACAAUUCUAGACAUUGAAAGAAAAACAAAAGACACGAUCGAAGCUCGCCUCGAUUUGGAACGAAUGGGUAUUAGGUCAUCCUUGUGGAUGAAGAAUGUCGGUGGUACAUUGAAGAAAGGCCAUCCCUUUUUUACAUUUAAGCCGAAUGGGAAAAAAGAGUUUUUCAACUUUAUUUCUUCUGUAAAGUUUCCAGAUGGGUAUGCUUCCAAUAUCUCGCGUUGUGUGAACGUGAAGGGGUGUAAAUUUCAAAACAUGAAGAGUCAUGAAUGUCAUGUGAUACUCCAACGCCUUCUUCCAGUUGGUAUUCGACACUUAUUGCCUCUUGAUGUGGUGAAACCAAUCGUGUUGUUGUCGAGAUUUUUUUCGCAGUUGACUGCAAGGUGUUUGUGGAAGUCAGAUGUUAAACAAUUGCAGGACGACAUAGUGAACGUCUUAUGCAAGUUCGAACAGAUAUUUCCCCCAGCUUUCUUUACAAGUAUGAUUCACGUGAUGAUUCACUUGCCAGAUGAGGCAUUGCUUGCCGGACCAGUGAACUGUCGAUGGAUGUAUCCAAUAGAAAGGUACUUAAUUAAGCGUCUAUAUAUAUAUAUAUAUAUAUAUAUAUAUAUAUAUAUAUAUAUAUAUAUAUAUAUAUAACAUAUUCAUGAUCAACGAACGCUUUGAAUAAUUUGUAGCAUACCUUUUAUUUGUGCAUAUAUCUUGGUGAGUUGAAAACUUGUGUUCGAAACAAGGCAAAGCCCGAAGGAUCACUUGUGGAUGCAUGGGUCACAUAUGAGUCACUUACUUUUUGUGCAAUGUAUCUUGAAGAUGUUGAGACAGCUUUCAAUCGUCCAGAACACAAUAAUGAUGGUGGUGUCAGAAAAGAGAAACUGUCUAUUUUUCCCCAAAUUGCACGACCAUUCGGCGAUCCUGUAAAAGACGAAUCGUUUACCAAAAAGGACAUGGAGGUAGCGCAUUGGUUCAUACUCAACAAUUGUGACGAGGCUUUGCCAUACCUUGAAGAGCAUGAACAAUUGAUGAAGCGGGAACAUCCUUCACAUUUAUAUGCCAAGAAGCACCGUGACUUGUUUCCUUCGUGGUUUCAUGCACAUGUAAGUUGUAUGUGGUUUGAAUUGAGCAUAUUUUCCAACUUGUUCAUGCCCGUCUUUAAAUUUGGUUAUACUAACAAGUUAAUUUUUUGUAUAUGUUAUAUUAGAUGAACAAAUUGAAGGAAUUGAAUUCACCCUCUUACGAUGAAGAAUUAUAUAACUUGGCGAGAUGACCGCUUCACGUUGAAUUGUUCUCAGGUUGUCAUGUCAACGGGAUCAAGUUCUUGGGGGAAACACGUGAUGACAAGUUGUCUACUUAAAAUAGUGGUGUCCAUGUCCCAGGUGCGGGUGAUAGUGAAGACAUUGAUUUUUUUGGCAAACUAACUAGUGUAGUACAAUUGCUUUACAAAGAUAGGUGUCAAGUGAUAUUGUUUAAGUGUCUUUGGUUUGAUACAAACCCACAUAACCGAACGAGUGUUAAGCGAGACCAUGGUUUACUAUCAGUAAACAUUAUGAGACAUUGGUACGAUGAAGACCCAUACAUUUUGGCAACAAUGGCAAAACAAAUAUUCUAUCUAGACGACCCUAAAGCUGGCAAUGGUUGGAAAGUUGUUCAAAAGAUUGAUCGAAGAGGGCUAUAUGAUAUUCCAUAACAAGAUCAUGAUGACAAUUACGAUAACGUCGCUGACCAACAGUUAUCAUCUUCGAUAGAAAUUGGUGAAGAAACACUCCGGGAUACUAAUAUUGUCCAAGAACCGUUUGACGUAGUUGGAUUUCCUGAAUUCGAAAUAUCAAUUGACCUUGGUGAUCUACCUCAAUACAAUGCAUCGGAAGAGGAAAACGAAGAUGAAGACAAAUGGGAAUCCGGAAAUGAUAGUAGUGAGGAUAGCGAGAGUAAUUAUUGUAGUUCAGAUGAUGAUUAAUAUAAACUUGUAAAGAAAAAUCGUGCUUUUUCGUUUAUAACCGUCAAAAAGUUUUGUCCCUUUACAUAAUCUCUGAAUGUUUGUUUUUUGCAAUUUUUGGCGUCUGCGAUCUCGAAGCAUAUACAAACAAGUUUGACGGUUGGAUAGUUGAAAUUAGUUUUGUACAAUGCGUUUCCCAUCAAGUUCAAUGGUAUAUAUAUUUACUAAGUUGAUUUUAAUUUAUUUAUUUUGUACUUAUAACACUUAAGAAAUUUAAUGAUAUAUAUGUAAAAAAAAAAUUAUUGUGAGUUUUUGUUAGAAAAAUAUAUUAUUGUGGGGUUUAUGUAAAAUAAAUUUGAAUUUGAAAGAAGUAAAAUCACAUUUUUAGUAAUUUUUAUAAUAUUUAAAAAAAAAUAAAAUAAAAAAACCUUGCGCAACGUCUUAAUGUAGUCGUUGAGCAAAACUACUUUGCGUGACGUCAAUUUGUAUACCUACGUCGCGUCAUGUGAUAAUUUUGGCGCUCUAAUAGUGAAAAAUAGGCGUUUGUUUUCAAUUUUCCAAGUUUGGCAAACUUUUGAACCCCAUAGAUCUCUCUCUUCCCGUAUACCUCUCUCUUCCCACUCGCUCUUUCUUUCCCGCACGUAGACAUGCAUCUCUCCCUCUCGCUCUUUCUUUCCUGUACGUAGACCUGCAUCUCUCCCUCUUUCUCUCUCUUUCCCGUAGACCUCUCUCUCCUCUUCGCAACCUUCAACCCCCAAAUCUCAAAGCCGACGCGACGUAGGUUCCCAAAAUCAAGGUAAGGGUUUCUCAUUUUCGAUGGGUUUUUGUUAUUUAGGGUUUAGGGUCAAAUUGCAUGUUGAUUUCUGAGUACUUUGUCGAAAUCUCCAGAUAAAAUUGGAUGUUGGUUCUGAUUUGAUAGGGUUUCAGAUUUGUGAUGGUUUGAGGUUAUGUGGGUCUGUUGAUUUUGUUCAGUUGAUAGGGUUUGAGGUUCUGAUUUAGCACAGUGGUGGGUUUUCUCGAAGAACCUUAAAAGCAUGAAUCCUUACUCUGUCGUCCCUGGUACAAAAUUUCAACUUAUUUUUGUAUAUUUCUGAACCAAAUAUAUAUAUAUAUAUAGCAUCUUGAUCUUCUUCUUCACAGGGCAUGUUCAUCGGCUGUGAGGUGGUGGUUAUCUGUCAGUCUCCUGGUGAAAUUCUCAAUCUUUCUCUCUUAAUUAAGUGUUAAUCAUAGCUUUUAAACUGUUUUUCUUUCACUCAUCAGUCAUCACAUCCACACUCAGCUCAUCCUUCUCCAAAUUAAACUCAUUUUCUGGGUUUUUUUUUCUUUCAAAAGGGAAAUCUCAGUCACAAGGACAUGUAAAGUUCAUUACCCGUAAAUUUCAUUUGGUUUUUGUUACAAAUGGAACAGGAAUGGCUUACUUGCAAUUUAGGACUUGUAAUUUGAUAAUAAUAAAAGAAGGACGUCUGUUUAUUGAGAGAUGCCUAGGACUGGUUUGAUGUUUGUCAACGAAAGUAAGCUUUGAAUUUCAGUAGGCGGUGCUACCAAGCUUCGAACUUAAUUUGACCUACCACCAUUUGUUUUACUUCGAAUUAAAACAUGGAGAGAUCCUGCUAUAGAUUUGUAAAUAUUAUGCUAGCAAAGUCUUUUGAGCAUUAUGAUUUUCUUGUCCUGUAGCAGCAUAAUAAUGCUCAUAUAUGAUGCUAACUGUUACAUCCCAGACUCAAUCGUCAGUUAAUUAUAUUAUGAGUGAGUUCGGGAAUAACAUGAACCUAAUAGGUAAAUACCUCAGAAAUUUUCCUUUUGCUUAUUUAAUUGGCAUUGACUUGCAUAUAGUAUUCAUGCAUGUUAGAUGUAUUCUGGAAUAUCUUGUUCUUUUAAAUAGUUGUUGUGAAAAACCUGUAUUCUUGUUCUGAAGAAUGAGCCCUGCAUAUGGCUUUUCCAGAUUUGUAGGAAGUGUUAACUUUUCACAGGGGAUUGAAACUAGAAAACAUUUGAUGCACAUACUUAUAUAUGAUAUGCCUGAUUGCUUAACCCACUGCCUCAAGCUAUUACGGUAUUACCUUAGAUGAGAAUUUUACUUGAAUAGACUUAAGCAGUGCAGGACCCGACCAUUUAAAUACUGUACUUUUGAGCAGUUGCAUUAUAACCCACAUAUCCCAUGUAAAGUUUAUUCUAAACCUUUCAUGAGGUGGAACAAAUUAGUGAAAAAAUCUAUCAUUUUUGCUCACAAAAUACACAUACUGCCACAGUUUAACUAAUUUGAUCCUUAUAUAGUGAUUCUCUUUUAGGGUUUGUUCAGAUGCAAGAAAGGAUUAGUUUAAAUAUUCUUGUAUUGAUAUUAUUGCUCUAAUUACUUAUAUUACUUUGGUUGCUAUUUUAUUAGUUUCAAAUGCAAGAAAUGAUUAGUUUCUAAUGUUAUAUUUGUAUGGUUCAUAAAGUGUAUAGAUGUCGCAGUUGAUCACUCGUCGUCGGAGUGUGUCCAAUGCAGCUCCUGCAUUAUCAGCAUCUAGUGCUCCAGGUGUGAGUGCUCCAAGCGUGAGUGCUCCAUUGAUUGGGGAGCCUACACCCCUUACGGAGGCUACUCCUACGACGUCCCAGGUGCCCGUAUCAUCAACGUCAUCAGUGUCAGUUCAACCCCUCAGUGCACGGCGGCCUCCCUAGCGCCGCCGCGAGCCGGAGCCUUCUGAUCACACUUCCUUGUCCUCCAGAGUCGAGGAUGGGGCCUCCCAACCAGGUAGUUUUUUUUCUAAUUCUCACUACGUUGCAUUUUUUUUUCAUUUCAAAACUAUUACUUUUAUGAUUGUGAAAAUGUGUUGCGGGUUGUGAAUUACUGUUUUAAGGUACUUUUAUGAUUAGGGGAGGUUUUGCCGAAUUUUUUGUACAAAUUUAAGCUUAGGGUUUUUACCAUUAAAGUUUUUUUGGGUAGCUAAAAAAAAACACCAAGGGGCCCAAUCGAAUGUUGAAGGAGCUACAGCUUGUACGUAUGUCUGCCUCCUUGAUCAAGAUUGCGUAUGAUGAGCGACAUUGUGGAGCGGUUACCUCACAGCAGCAUAACAGCGUCGUUAAUUGCUGUGGUUUUAUUAUUAGGAAUUUUUGUCCUAUGCGGUGGGAGAGUUGGGCAAAAAUUCCCGAUGAGACGAGGACCCUGGUGCGAGAUAAUUUGGAGGUUAGUAAAUUAAUUUUUAGCAAAGUCAACAUCUUUCUCUGCUUAAACUAUUGCAGGGCCAUCAUCUUGAUUAAUAAAGUCAAGAUCUUUCUCUCAAUUUCUGUUUGGUUGCUAAGAAAAUGUAGGGGGGAAAGAGAAAUCAGGUGCAUUUCAUUGUUUUGCACCUGAUAGCCGAGUGUUGUUGUGGUGAAUAAUUUGGUCAUGUAUUUUGCACACUCUUCUUCUAUUCAUAAUUGGGAGCAGGUGUGGUCCUUUAGUUUUGGUUAAUUUCAGUGAUUUGCGGCACUGUUCUUUGUUGUCUGAAUGCUUCAUGGGAAGGAAAUUGAAAAAUAAUUCCGUGAACCAAUGUUAAAAUAAUGAUUAUGUUGGUUAGGUGGAAGGAUUACUAUCUUAUCUGAUGCAUAUUUAUGGGUUUUUAGUUUUGGUCUACGUCCUUGCUUAAUGAUUUAUGAUAGUGUUUAAGUGAGUAUGCAUGCCGUCUCUAGUACAUUGCUUUGCUUGUGUUGUGCAUCAGUUAACCUGAUCCAUAGUAUCCACUGGUUGAGCAACAUCGUGAUACCUAAACAUUAUGCCUAUACAUGCUGUUUUGUUUUAAUCAUUAAGUGCUUCUUGGGACUGGCUAUACUAAUCAAAUAAUCUAUCUUUUACCGAGCGAGUCCUAUGUAUGGUUCUUGACUUUGCCUCAAUUUGAUAGUGAAUUGUUUUUAGUUGUUGUCCUGGUUUUAUUUAUUAAAGUGAACUACGAAAGCAGCCUUAAAUAGUCGAGUUAAAUCCUUUGUUGAGAAAUUGUGCUAAGGAAAGGAAUUUGAUAAAUAAUUUGAGUGUUAACCUUAUGGUUUGAACAUUAAAGGUUUGACACUUGCGUGAAGCUGAGGUUUGACACUACUUUCCGAACUAGUAUGAAUGAUCCUAUAUAUAAAAAUUGUUUAUAAUUUUGUAAGCUUCCUGUAUAUUACUGUAACCACUUUCUACACAUUUACUUACCUUCUUAUGAAGUUUUUCUUCGAAUCUGCUAAUAUUUGUUGGGUCAUUUAGAAAUGACAUGCUUACUACAUGCUAUUCUUAGUGGGUUGCAGUUGGACAAGAGUCUCAUAAACAUGUUACACAAUUUGAUUUCUGUAGUUGCAGCAGCAUAAUUUUCAUUCUGUCAGUUUUACUACUUCUGGAUUGUAAGCACAACCAGUUUAAACAGGCAUGAUGUUGUAAAUUACUUUAACGAAGCUCACAUCUUAAGGGGUAAAUUGGUUUUUGGUUGUAAAAAUUAGAGCAUGUCCUUAGUAACAGCUAUUUGGAAGCCAACAUGAUUAACUGACUGUUAAAGUGGGAUAUGAAAUGCUUGUAUGCAAUAGGUUACCUUUAUGGAAUUGCAUUAAAUUGUACAUGCAUGACUUUUUUUUUCUUUUUGGGUAAAGUAUAUAUAAUAGUAGUUGGCUUACAUCCUAACAAAUCAUUUAACAUGCUACUGGAAUAGUUGAUCUUGAGUUACAGUCAGUGCAGUUACAACCUCUCUAUAAAAUGUUGAAUUUCCACCUUUGGUCUCUGUACCGGUGGAAAGAGGCUCACAUGGGAGAUCAAAACCCCACUCUUGAGAUCUUUCAUAAUAUAAACAUUAUAUUGUUUGCUUCCUAACAAAUUAAGAUUCUAGUUAUUAUUGUAAACCGACAAACUUUAUCAGUAUCUUAUAAACUAGUUGUCAAUUAUUCUGAUACAUGGUCAUUUUGUUUGUCAUUUUGUUUUUCAUAUUUGUAGGUCGUUUUUGAAAUGGAGGACAUAUCCCCUGAGGUCAGUGCCUACUUAGAGGAGACCUUUGCAAGCCGGUACAAAGAUUGGAAGAGCACUCUUCACAAGCAUUUUUAGCUAUGGGAAUCUCCGGAGAUUGCUCGCCUACAGGGUUGCCCACUCGAGUAUAAGGAGCGGCGAGAGGAUUGGGAGUGGCUCUGCACACAUUUUACGGAUCCAAAAUUUGUGGUAUGUACAUAAUACUUUAAUAAUAAUUUAUUGUUUUUGUUAUUUCAUUUAAGCUUUUUUUAAUAAUUUCUUUCAAAUAGUCGCACUAACAUGUAUAUUGUAUGUUUAACAGAAUAAAUCUGUUGUUGGCAAGAAAGCUCGGGACUCAAAGACACUUCUCCACCAUUCCAGUUCGAAGCCCUUUUCGUAUAGGGUUGAGGCACGACGUGAGGUAAAAGUAUAUUAAUUUUGAAAUUUUAUACAAUCUAUUUUUUAUUAUUGAUUAAUAAAAUUUUCUUAAUGUUUUUUUUUUCUUUAGAAGGGUUCUAAGUUCCCACAGAUUGACCUGUUCAAGCAUGUUUACGUUCAUCCCAACAAUGAGAAUAGUGACCAGCUUUAUGUAAGUAUAUGUAAUUGUUAUUUUUCUUAUUUUUAUGAAUCGUUCAAAUAUUAUUUAUAUUUUGUUAUUAAACAUAGUGGAAAAGAGCACUGCUAUUCUCCAAGAAGCAACAUCGCAGCUUCCCCCAAAGACCCCGAUCGAGGACGUCAUUGUACCCAAGGAUGCAAAUGUUCAGAUCGUGACUGAGGUCCUGGAUCAGAAGUUCGGUCGUCAUCAUGGUAAGGUUGUUAGGUGUACGGGGAAGGCGGGGGUUCGUGAAACGGGUGCCUCUUCUUCCAGAUUGUCCACAGGAAAGGUCAAUUCCUUGAAGGAGGAAGUGACAACCCUAAGAGGUCAGGUUACGGCCCAGGGCGACCACAUUAGGGCCCAGGACGAGAGGAUGAAUAUGAUUGUUCAGGCCUUAGCGAUGUCUGGCCUCCAAAUCCCGACGAUGCCAACACCUAAUGUUGCUCCACCUUCGACUUCCCAGCCACUUUACCCAGAUGAUACCGAGUAGCAUGAUGUAUUAAACUUAGAAGACUUGUAGUUUUUUAAUUUCUUGUUCGGACAAACGUACAUUUUCAUAUAUUCUAUAAUUAAUUACUUUUUCUUGGUUUAUUAAUUAUUGUUUAGAAUUUAAUUAUAAUAUUUAUUAAAAAUUAAAUAAAAAAAUAUAAAUGACAAAAAAAAAGGUUUGCGCUACGCAGUGCCUACCUACGUUGCGCAAAGCUACUUUGCGUGACGCAGGACCUACGUCGCGCAAAUUUACUUUGAGCGACGCAGUGCCUACGCGACAUAGGACCGUCGUCGCGCAAAGUCAAAAAUACGUCGCCCAAAAAUUAGCUAAACGAACCUUCAUCGCGCAAGAACCGUCGCGCGAAGGUAGUGAAGGAAGGGUUUGUGCGACACAGUGCCUACCUACGUCGCGCAAAGCUACUUUGCGUGACGCAGGACCUAUGUCGCAUAAAUUUACUUUGAGCAACGCAGUGCCUACCUACGUCGCGUAAAGCUACUUUGAGCGACGCAGGACCUACAUCGCGCAAAGUAGCUUUGCGCGACGUAGGUAGGCACUGCGUCGUACAAACCCUUCCUUCACUGCCUUCGCACGACGGUUCUUGGGCGAUGAAGGUUCGUUUAGCUAAUUUUUGGGCGACAUAUUUUUGACUUUGCGCGACGACGGUCCUAUGUCGCGCAAAGUCUUUUUUGUACUAGUGAUUGCUAUAAAGUCAUGCCCUUCGGCCUAAAAAAUGCAGGAGCGACUUAUCGGAGACUGGUCAAUUCAAUGUUUGCCGAACAGAUUGGGAAGAGGAUGGAAGUUUAUGUUGAUGAUAUGCUAGUCAAGAGCAAACAUGCUAACCAACACAUCACCAACCUAUCUGAAACUUUCACCAUUCUGAAGAGGUAUCGAAUGAGGUUAAACCCCAACAAAUGUGCCUUCGACGUAGGCUCUGGCAAAUUCUUAGGCUUCAUGAUAAGCCAACGAGGUAUUGAGGCUAAUCCCGAGAAGAUCAAAGCAAUCAUCGACAUGAAGGAACCGGUAACCUCAAAAGACAUCCAAAGCCUUACUGGCAAGGUGGCAGCCUUAACUAGGUUCAUCUCUAAGGCCACAGACAGAUGUGCUCCUUUCUUCAAAGCAUUUAAGGGAAGUAAAAAGUACAUUACAUGGACUGAUGAAUGUGCUGAGGUAUUCAAGAACCUCAAAGACUACAUGAGUAAAGCCCCUCUGCUCUCCAAACCUGAGGUUGGUGACACUCUCAUUAUCUAUCUGUCGGUAUCAGCUUCAGUAGUAAGUUCCGUUCUCAUUCGAAAAGAUGGUAAUGUCGAACGGCCUGUCUACUACGCUAGCAAGGCCUUACAAGAUGAGGAGACACGAUACUCCAACAUUGAGAAAUUAGCUCUAACAUUGGUCGUGUCUGCUCGAAAACUUCGCCCUUACUUCCAAGCACACUCCAUCAUCGUGCUUACCAAUCAUCAUCUUCGACAAAUACUCCAAAGUCCUGACACUUCUGGGCGAAUGAUCAAAUGGGCAAUAGCAUUGGGUGAGUUUGACAUCUCCUACUAACCAAAGCCAGCUGAGAAGGGCCAAGCAGUGGCAGACUUCAUCGCCGACUUCACAUAUCCUAUUAACAUUGUUUCUACGCCCAAAGAAGUGGUUUCAUUACCCUCGGAAGCUCAGAAAACAGAACCAACAGCCCCAGCAUGGAGACUAUAUGUUGAUGGCUCAUCCAACCAACAGGGUUGUGAAGCAGGACUAGUCCUUACGACCCCUGACAAAGUGGCAAUGAAGUAUGCUAUUCGUUUCAAAGUUAAGGAGUCGAACAAUGAGGCCGACUAUGAAGCCCUCCUAGCAGGCUUAUGUUUGGCCAAACACCUUGGGGUUAAACGAAUUGAUAUCUUCAGUGACUCUCAAUUGGUGGUUAACCAAGUCACCAACAACUUUGACGCUAAGGAUAGCUCAAUGGCAGCAUAUAUGGCACAAACACAAUUGUUGCUCAAGCACUUCCAGUACCAGAUCACCCAAAUUCCUCGAGCGGCAAAUAGUCAUACAAAUGCUUUGGCUCACCUCGCCUCAGCGGUGGAAGACAAGAUUGGGAGAAGAAUUCAGGUCGAAUUGUUGGCAGCACCAAGCACCAUGGUUGCGGAAGUGUGCAACUUACAACAGGGGGAUAGUUGGAUUACCCCGAUUUAUAGAUUCCUUACUCAUGGCACCCUUCCAAAUGACAAAGUCCAAGCUAAGCAAAUUCGAUACAAGGCUACCUGUUACUUGAUCAUUAAUGAUCAACUUUACAAGUGGGGUUUUAACCUACCAUACCUAAGAUGCCUUACGCCCGUAGAGGCGAAAACUGUCCUUCGGGAAAUACAUGAAGGAGUCUGCAGAGAUCAUGCUAGAUCUCGAUCCCUAGCACACAAGGCUUUUUGCCAAGGAUUACUGGCCGACACUCUACCAAGAUGCCAUCAAAAUAUCCCGCUCAUGUGAUAAGUGUCAACGCAACGUAAUUAUUCCUCACUCCCCUCCCGAGCAGCUCACUCCUAUGAUCAGCCCUUGGCCUUUCGCCCAAUGGGGACUUGAUUUGAUUGGCCCAAUGCCUGCAGGGAAGGGCAAAGUUCGCUAUGCAAUCGUUGCAGUUGACUACUUCACAAAGUGGGCCGAAGUAGAACCCUUAGCAACCAUUACUAAGGCAAAAAUAGAAGACUUCGUAUGAAAGAACAUCCUUUGCAGAUUCGGCAUUCCCGAUGCGAUAGUCAUUGACAACGGGCGACAGUUCAACAACAAUAAGUUCAGGAUGUUCUGCUCUAAGUUCAACAUCAACUUAUGUUUUGCCUCCCCAGCUCAUCCCCAGUCUAAUGGACAAGUUGAAGCUAUCAACAAAAUAAUCAAGCGAACUUUGAAAACCAACUUAGACAAGGCUAAAGGUUGUUGGCCAGAAUUUGUACCCCAAGUUUUUUGGUCAUACCGCACUUCGUAUUAGACAUCAACACGAGAAACCCCAUUCUCACUUGCCUUUGGUACAGAGGCAGUUGUCCCAGUUGAGCUUGAAUAAGCAACAUUUCGAGUCCAGAACUACGUGCAAGGCGAAAAUGACAAACAACUUACCCUCAACUUAGAUCUAGUUGAGGAACACAGAAACCAGGCUCACUUGAGGAAUGUCGCCUACAAGCAGCGCAUCUCCAACUACUAUGACUCAAGGGUCAAACCUCGUUCUUUCAAAGUGGAGGAUUGGGUAUUAAAGAAAAGAUUACUCUGCGACAGAGUCCCGAGUGAAGGAACACUUAGUCCAAACUGGGAUUGACAGUUUAAAGUUGUUGGCAUCAGUCACCCUGGCUCCUACAAGCUUAGAAGCUCCGAUGGCAAGACCAUUGGCCAUCCAUGGAACGCUGAUCACUUGAAGUACUAUUACAAGUAAACUCACAUUGUACAAGUGUUAAGCUUCAACAGUUCAUCAUCCUAUGUAACGAAGACUAUUUGGCAUGAAUUCAAUAAAGAGGUGAUUUAGAUAACUCGGUCCUAAUCCUCUUACAUUCCUAGCAAUGAAACACUCGGGCCCAAAGCUUCAACUCCAAAGCUUCACUUACAAAAGCUUCAACACAAAAGCUUUACCCACAAAAGCUUCAUCAUUUGAGGACAACUACGAAUUCUCAAAAGCUUUACACUAUCUUGAUCAAGAUAGUGUGAAGCAAAAUCAAUUCAUGGUACCCAACAAAAGCUUCAACUCCAAAGCUUCACCUACAAAAACUUCAACAUAAAAGCUUCACCCAUAAAAGCUUCAACACAAAAGCUUCACCCAUAAAAGCUUGACCCACAAAAGCUUGACCCACAAAAGCUUCACCUACAAAAGCUUCACCCACAAAAGUUUGACCCACAAAAGCUUGACCCACAAAAGCUUGACCCAUAAAAGCUUGACCCACAAAAGCUUGACCCACAAAAGCUUGACCUACAAAAGCUUCAACACAAAAGCUUCACCUACAAAAGCUUCACACUAUCUUGAUCAAUUCAUGGUGCCCAACAAAGCUUUAACCUCAAAGCUUCACCUACAAAGCUUCAACACCAAAGCUUCACCUACAAAGCUUAAAAAUAUAUAUAUAUUUUUUCAGAAAUUCAAAAAUUCAAAAAUUCAAAAAAAAAAAUUCAAAAAUUCGAAGAAAAAAAAUUCGCCUAGGUCUCCUCUUCUUUAGGCCUAACAACUUUCAUAACAAAUAUAUAUAUGAAUGAGGAGUUUUGGGCUACCAUUUAAAAAGGAAAUGCCACAUUCGUCAACUCCCUCGACCGGAGACUUGGGGGACACCUACCAUAUGCUACUGCACCUUGAUAUUCAGAAGUCUCACGACCACUCAGUGACUUGGAUUUUUCAAGUCUCCAACCGAGAAGUUUUCCUCACUCGGGAAAUUAAGGAAGUACUACCUCAACAUACAUGUUUCACUCUCAAAGCUUCAACAUACAAGCUUCAACAAAAGAAAAAAUUCAAAGAACUUAGUGAAGAAGGCCUUGGUGUAUUCAACACAAUACGUUGAAAUGAAGCAAAGCUUGUUUAUUGAUAUCUUCGAUAAGUUACAAAUAUGUAUAUAUACAUGAAUCAAAAUAAACAAACAAGAGAGAGCCUUCACAAAGGUUGCUCAUGAGAAGUCUCAGCAGUCGGCAGAGCCCCAGAAAGAGUAGGCAUCAGAAGGUGAUCAUUCGGAGCCUCAGUACUGGUAGAGAACCCUAGAAGGAGGAGGCACCAAAGGUUGAUCAUUCGGAGCUUCAUUACGUGGUACAGCCCCAGAAGACAAAGGCAAUAAAUGCCUUUGGAACAAACCCACAAACCUCUGAUUAUCAAGCAAAAUCUGACCAUCAGAUUCCUGCAGCUGGUCAAGCUUCAUCUUCAUGUUUGUAGUAUAGUCAUGUGCGAGCCUGUGCAACUGUUUAUUCUCAUGCUUGAGCCCUCUGAUCUCCUGUUUGAGACUUAUCACUUCAGCCGCCAAUUAUUCAACUUGGCGGGUUCAAGCAAAUAGGUGUUGGGCCAUAUUAGACACAGAACCUGCACACUGAACACUGAGAGCCAGAGAAUCCUUAACAGUCAACUCAUCAGACCGUUUGGAAAUUAGUCUGUUAUCUUUAAGAGUGAGAAGGUUCUUGGCCACCACCGCAGCGGUUAUAUCAUUCUUCAUCACAGAGUCCCCAACGGUAAGAGGACCAGUAAGGGAUAAGAAGAAUGGGCGCCAUAUGUUGUCUUGAGAAGGCAUGGCUGCCUCUUCACCAAAGUUCAAGUCAAAACGACGGUCGGAAGGGCCAUACAUUCUCAGAAAUGAUGAAGGAGAAAUGAGGUGCAAUAAAUCUCUGAAGUAAGGGGAAAAUUCAUACAAGCAAUAACUCUCUGAAUGUACUUCUUGCACACAAUUGGUGCCCUUAUAAAAGAAAGGGUAACAAGGCCGUUGGUUCAAAAAUCGAAAAGGCAUCACUCUUCGGAUUUCAAAGAGACACCACUCUCCACACGCAACAUCAGCUCCUCGGGUACCACAGAUAACUUUGCCAAAGAUCUCUGACAAAGUUUAGACAUAUAAAUUUUGAAGGUCCAGCUACCCUACUAUUACUCACAAGGGUAAAGGAACAACACCACUACUUGAUAACUGAAGAGUCCCUAUGUGUGUCAACCUCCGUGCUCCGUGGCAAGGUAGAUUGGCAAAAAUGCCCAACCUUUACUCAUAUUCGAGAAAACACUCCCAAUAAGAUUACUUUCUAAAAAAUUGAAGAGGCACCGCUCUCCGAAUCUCAAGAGCCAGACUCCCAACAGGAUUGUUUUCUCAAAAAUCGAAGAGGCACCGUUCUUCGAAUCUCAAGAGCCAGAUCCCCGACAGGAUUGCUUGUUCGAAAACCGAAGAGGCAUCGCUCUCUGAACUUCGAGAGCCAAAUUUCCUUGGAUAAAGCUUGUCUGCAAUCUUCACACGCAACAUCAGCUUUCCAGAUACCACAUACCACUUUUUCAAAGUGCUCUGACAAAGUUAAAACACGUGAAGCUUGCAGCUCCCACUACAUUGCUACGACCAAGAAGGGUAAAGGAAUAGCAUUAUUACUUGCUUAAAAAUCAAAGAGGCACCGCCAUCUGAAUCUCUAGAGCCAGACUUCCAACAAGAUUACUUUCUCAAAAAUUGAAGAGGCACUGCUUUCCGAAUCUCAAGAGCCAGACUCUCAAUAGGAUUGCUUUCUCAAAAAUCGAAGAGACACCGUUCUCCGAAUCUUAAGAGCCAAACUCCCAACAGGAUUACGUGCUUAAAAAUCGAAGAGGCAUCGCCCCUUCGAAUCUCGAGAGCCAGACUUCCAACAGGAUUACUUUCUCAAAAAUUGAAGAGACACUGCUCUCCGAAUCUCGAGAGCCAGACUUCCAACAAGACUGAUUUCUCAAAAAUCGAAGAGGCACAAUUCUCUGAAUCUCGAGAGCCAGAUCCCCGACAGGAUUGCUUGUUCGAAAACCGAAGAGCACCGCUCUCAGAACUUCGAGAGCCAGAUUUCCUUGGAUAAAGCUUAUCUGCAAUCUUCACACGCAACAUCAGCUUUUCGGAUACCAUAGACCACUUUUUCAAAGUGCUCUGACAAAGUUAAAACACGUGAAACUUGCAGCUCCCACUACAUUGCUAUGACCAAGAAAUGUAAAGGAAUAACACUACUACUUAUUGUUAGGGAUACUCCUAUAUAUGUCGACCUCCAUCCUCCAUAGCCAGGCAAACCUGCAAAUAAAAAAAUGCUCAACUUUUCUUCACAUCCGAGAGGGCACUCUCAGCAGAGUCUCUCGAAAUACUUAGCUUUUUUUCCUCCCGAUAAUAUCUCUACAAACAAGCCACGCCAGAGCAAGAGUAUCUCAUAUCACCAGGGUUAAAAGAAAGAGUAUCCCAUAUCAUGUUUUUUCCCUGUCUUUUCCUUUGGCCUUAUUCUUACCUGCAAGACAAGGAGAAAGAGAGCAAUCAGUCAGCACUUAGAAUCAAGCUUCCAGUCAGGAACUGACUGCCUGGAACCCCUUGCUUGAUUACUUACCUGACAUUGCUCUCGAGUAGUCAUCUUCAACAUCUUAUGCUUCCAGAGAAGAUACCACAUCUGCCUGAGGAACAGAUAGGGCAAGUGAGAACGAUACAAGAAAGCAUGCGAAGACAAGCGUAACAGAACACGUGCCGAUAUAUCCACUACUUUGUCAACAGCAAAAGUAUCUCAUAUCAUCAGGGUCGAAUGUACUCUAGAUUUGAUGGACUUGUUUUGACCCUCAAAUUCUUAAGUUGGCCUUAUACUCUUGAAGAAACCAGAAAACCCUCCAGCCCAGUUUAAGAAUAAGCAUGCGGAAAGUUACUUGUUCAAAAGCAAAAGUAUCUCAUAUCAUCUCUUAUCCAUUUGCUUCUCAUUAUCCUUAGUGCUAUUUACGACAUAAGGAGAAAGAAAACAAUCAACCGGAAGUCGAAGUCGAACCUCCGAUCCAGGUUGCUUACUUGGAAGUCUGAUUGCUUACCUUGUCUGUUACCUCCUUCGGCAAAUCUCCUAGCCUGGCGACUUAGGGGACUCAUACUAUAGGGUUUGUAUCGCACUUGACCAAGCCCGAAACUACAAGUAAGCUUCAAGUGAAAUUGAUACAUUACCUUGUGCAUCUUCAUCGGUUAAAGAUACCACCCCUGGAUGGAGGAAAAGUACUUCCAGAGAAGAUGCCACAUCUACGUAUGAGACAGAUAAGGCAAGUGAAAAUGAUACCACACUUCGGUACUUAGAAGUUUCGUGAUUACUCAAUGGCUUGGAUCUUGCAAGUCCCCAACCGAGGAGCUUCCCUCACUCGGGAACUUAGGGGAGCACUGUUUGUACCAUACUUGACCAAUCCUGAAACUACUAAGCACUGGUCAACGUUAUACCGUCAAGGACCUAGAAGAGUUUCCCUCCAACCAGAAGGCCAAUCACAGUGCGACACGUGUUGACAUCAGAAGCCAAUCAUAGCGCAACACGUGUCAACAUCAGAAGCCAAUCACAACACGACACGUGUCAAUGUCAGAAUGAAACUAGAAACUCUCUUCUAUAAAUAGAGAUCAUUCUCUCACAAUAUUUCCUAAUGUCAUUUGUACUAAAUCAUUCACUAGUACUCACUAAAAGAGAGCUUGAACCUAUGUACUUGUGUAAACCCUUCACAAUUAAUGAGAACUCAUCUGCUCCGUGGACGUAGCCAAUCUAGGUGAACCACGUACAUCUUGUGUUUGCUUCUCUGUCUCUAUCCAUUUACAUACUUAUCCACACUAGUGACCAGAGCAAUCUAGCAAAGGUCACAAACUUAACACUUUCUGUUGUACCAAAGUCCUCACCGAUUUUGUGCAUCAAAAUAGAUUAACAUGUAGCAAGAGAAAAUUGUCAUGGAGAAACGGUUGCCCAAACUUAAGGCUGCAAUUUUGAGUGCUCAGAAGUGCUUGGAAGAUUGCAACUAUGUUAGGGGAUUGGUGAGUGACCAUCAUGUGCAGAGUUAGUCUGCAUUUUUUAGUUGUAUAGUAGUUGUAUAGACAGUCCAUUUUUCUACGUUAGCAGUACAAAUUCUUUUUGUUUUCAUCUUGUUUUUCCUCUCUUUAAUUGUCUGAACUGCAAUACGUUUCUGCAACUUGAUGAAUGGUGGGACUGAGAGAUGAAACCAGAAAUUUUACUAAAAGGGGGCACCUUAAAAUUUUUGAGCUCCUUUUUUAGACAAAUAAAGCUAGUUCUUUUACAAAUGCUAAUUUUGUCUUUAAUUGUUGACAAUAUAAUGCUCAUUUGUACUAAUUAAUCAAGAGAGCUGUUAUUCCCACCCCCAAUGUCUUAUUUUUUCACCCACCUUUUUAUGAAUUUUUUAAUUACAAAUUUGUCAAUUUGUAAAAUGACUAACAAGGACCUUAGUUACCCACUUUUGCAUUACUUUUUUUUUAUAAAAAAUAAAAAAGAAAAGUUUGGGCGUGAUAAUUCUCGCACUAUGUUUAGACGAUUUGUCUCCCUUAAACCCUAACUCAUCAUUCCCAUCUCUUUUCAUUCAGAGAAAGCAAAAAGAAUGAACUUAGCAAAUGAUGUUUUUAUGGAAGAAGUAGAUGAUUAUGUUUCCGUCGAAGAGGUAAAAGAUAAUUUUAUGUGGGUCAUCUUGAUUUGUCGACAUCAUAUAAUUGAAGUAUAGCUCUGUGACUUUUUAUCUCUAAUUAUAUAUAUAUAUAUAUAUAUAUAUAUAUAUAUAUAUAUAUAUAUAUAUAUAUAUAUAUAUAUAUUAAGGGUUAUUAGGAAUAAUAGUGGGUGGGAAAAUAACAUUUUAAUUUUUUACCUUUUUAUAGUGGGUGUAAAUAUAACAUGGGUGGGAAAAUAAGACAACGGGGUGGAUCUAGUAGCUCCCUUAAUCAAAUACAUGCAACUCAACAAGGUUUAGACAUUAGUGCGUGAGAAAAAUAUACAAGACAAAGGGACAUUUAAAAACUAAAAGAGGAUUCUCACUAUUUUAAUAUGAUUAAUUGAAUAAUCCGCAAAGCAAAAAAAUUGGGAAUGAUUAAUUGAAUAAUUUGUAAUGAAAAAAAAAAGGAUGGGAGGGGGCAAGUGCCCCCAAUAGGCCUUACCUCCCUCCGUCCAUGGUAGUGGGACUCCCACCCACCAUAACCGUUGCCCAUCCCUAGGUAGGAGCAACUAGCAGCAACUGUUGUUGACUGGGUCUGAGUCGAUGGAUUAAAUGUUGCUGCAUGGUAUAAUCAUGUGAAGCAACUCCUUGAAUUUUAUGAUCAGGAGCACUUGUGAAUAUUAUUUGAGUACUCAGCAAACAAUAUUUUAUGGGGAUCUAAUUAGUCUUCCUGUUGGCAGUCCCACAUCGGUGGGGGAAGUCAACAAUGGUGAUUUUAAAUAUGAGUACCCUACUUUAAUUAAUAAUGAUGUCUUUUAUGGUAAAACCCCACACUUGACAGAUUAGGCAGGUGGUAAAGUUGUCGAUCUAAAAAUUUCAACAUGGUAUCAAAAACCCAUGAUUAAGGGCAUGUGCAAGCCAAAAGCUUGUCACCAGGAAGUGUGGGAUUGGAAACAAGCUUGGACUCUUAACAUAGAGCCAGUCUCUGAGUUCUUAAGAGGCACUUCUUGAACAGAUUGAAACAAGUCUGGACUCCAUUGGAGCUAACCCUUAAGUUUCAAUUGAUGAUCCUCUUCUUGAAAAGAGUGAAAACAAGUCUGGACUUCAUUGGAGCCAACCUCUAAGUUUCAAUUGACGAUGUGUGGAUCUCUAUAUGUGAACCACUAAAUGGGGUUACAAGUGAGGGGGCAUGUUGGUAGUCCCACAUUGGUGGGGGAAGUCAACAAGGAUGGCUUUAAAUAUGAUUACCCUACUCUAACUAAUACCGAGGUCUUUUGUGAUAAAACUCCACACCUGACGGAUUGGGCAAGUGGUAAAGUUGGGGAUAGUAUCGGUAUCAUUUUCUUGAAAAGAUUGAAAACAAGUUUGGACUUUAUUGGAGCCAACCUCUAAGUUUAAAUUGAUGAUGUGUGGAUCUCCACGUGUGAACCACUAAAUGGGGUUACACGUGAGGGGGCGUGUUGGCAAUCCCACAUCAGUGGGGGAAGUCAACAAGGGUGGCUUUAAAUAUGAUUACCCUACUCUAACUAAUAUUGAGGCCUUUUGUGGUAAAACUCCACACCUGACGAAUUGGGCAGGUGGUAAAGUUGAGGACAGUAUUGGUGUCGUUAGGGGGCUCCUCGAGCUCGUUGAUCUAAAAAAUUCCAACACUUCCUGGAUCAUAUUUGCCACUUCUACAAAGCCCUUGUUUCAUUCAUUCUCGCAUCGCUAAAAAAACCUACAAAGGCUUAGUAGAAACUCAAGCUCAAAUUUAUGCUUGAAAGGUAAAUUUAUUAUCUCUUAUUGGUCGGGCCACUUUUGUUCAGUCUGUCACCUCCGUUGUCCAGUAUAUGCUUUGCAGACAAUAUUACCAAUUACCAUUACAGAUAACCUUGAGUGUCAAAGAUUUUUCUAAGGCAAGAGAAGUUUGGCAAAAGUUGGAAAGUAUAAACAAUAGUCAGACCACAUUGAUUUUCAUGAUUGGCUUCAUUUUAAUCUCACCACUAAUCACUCAUAUUGGGGGGGGGGGGGGGGGGUUUAGAGUAGAUGUUAGUAUUUUCCAUUGCUUGUUGGUUUAUUUGGUAUUGGCGAAAUAAAUUUGUUUUCGAGCAGGAUUUUGCAAUGUUUGAUGAGCUUACAGUCGCUAUUUGUGCAUAUUUUCAUGAAUGGUUAGCAUUCUAAUACUCACAAGAUUGAUAAACGCCGUAAGAUUGAAUCUUUGCUCCACUGGAAAGCUCUUCAUUCAAAAUUGAUUUAAACUUAAUGUUGAUAGUUUUAAGAAGGAAAAUAAUAAUCCUUACAUAAAUAACUGGCAGCCGUGCCAGAGGCAAUACGUGUAUGGAAUCAUAUACUGAGGAUAGGGUAUUUGGAAAACAGUCCAUUUCUAUUGAGCCACAACGAAGGGAGUGCAGAAAUUCACAGUUUCGUUUUUGGAUUUAACAGAGAGAUAAUGGAAAUUUGGUUUUUGAGCUUAAACCUAACGAACUUCACCAAAAGGGUUUAAAACCGAAUUUUUUUUACCACAUGGCUAUCUUCAGAAUACCCUAUCAUCACGAGGACUAUUUAUACGUGAACUUUCUUCAUUGAACGUGAAUAUCACAUGCUAAAACUUCUCUUCAUUGAACUUUCUUAAAAGCAAAAAAUACUAAUCGACUCAACACCUACUUGUGCAGAUAUUGGCUAAACCAAACAUUAGAUGUGAAAAAUUAGCACUUUGCCAAAUAAUAUUCCGAGUGAGCAAAAGAGAGAAAAAUAUAACAAUGGCACACAGACAAAAUAUAAAAGUUGAGGAGCCGGGUGAUAUAAUAUUAGACAUUGCAAUUGUAGGCUCGGACGACUUAAGGAGAAGAAGGUUGCCUGCACCACUAUUAGGAACAUUACAAAUCAACAUUUCAGAGGUAACAUGCAUGGUCUUCUCUUCUGCCAUGAAAAAUUCAUGCCUUCAUAUAAUUAAUUAAUUAAUUAACUAGUUAUUAGUGUUAAUUAUCUAGAGAGCACUCUCUAACAUUUCCAUCCUCCAUCGUUUUCUUCUUCUUCAGAACAAAGUUUCAAUCAAUUUUUUUUUUUAAAAUACCUUUUACUUUAACAAUAUUAGCGAUUAGUUUUAGGUUGCCUUUUAAUUAGCUCGUGUGCUUCUGUUGCAGGGCGUGUUCGAGGAAAAAGGGAGCAUACUUGAACCAGCAGAGGCUGUGGUAGCAUCUAUGAAAAAACUUUAUGAACUCUUUGUAGCGAAACGACGUAGUUUGACUCGUUUCAUUUUUAAAUUUUUGUUUCCUCGGGUGCAAAGCAAUGUUGUUUGGCUUGGGUUAAAAAAAAAUAAAAAAAUAUAAAAAUAUAAAAAAAUAAAAAAACUAAAACGGAGCAACGCCCUGUUAGCAGUCCAGAAAAGCAAUGACUUUAAAUAGGAAUACUCCACUGUAACUAAUACCAAUAUCUUUUGUGGUAAAUACCAAUAUCUUUUGUGGUAAAACCUGACGGAUUGGGCAGAUAGUAAAGUUGAGGACAGUAUCAGUGUCGUUAAAGUUGCCCCCCCCAAAGCCCAUCAAUCUAAAAAAUUUCAGCAUGGUAUCAGAGCCCACAGUUACGGGCCUAUGCAAACCAAAGGCUUGUCACCUGGAAGUGUGGGCUUGGAAACAAGCUUGAACUCAACAUAGAGCCAGCCUCUGAGUUCUUAAGAGUCACUUCUUGAAAAAACAAGUUUGGACUCUAUUGGAGCCGAUCUUUGAUUUUCAAUUUCUGAUGUGUGGAUCUUCACGUGUGAACCACUAAAUGGGAUUACACAUGAGGGGGCGUGUUAGCAAUCCCACAUCAGUGGGGGUAAAGAAAAGCAAUAACUUUAAAUAGAAUUAUACCCCACUCUAACUAAUACAGAGGCCUUUUGUAAUAAAACCUCAUACCUCACAAAUUAGGCAAGUGCUAAAGUUGAAGAUAGUAUCGGUGUCGUUAGAGCGCCCCCCUCGGACCUGUCGAUAUAAAAUAAUUUCAACACGCCCCACUAUAGAAAACCAAAAUGCAGCACCAGAGCAAAGGGGUGAAAACCUGGAUUUUGGGAACAAACUUCAGCGACUAGAGGUGCGAGCACACCUCUUUGCGUCUUUGUAGCUUCGCCAAUGCACGUCUCGAUAUUAUUUAUGAGGAGUUCUUGAUAAUUACUUUAAAGUGUUAAUAACAGUCUCUUUCUUAUUCUGUUAGGUCCAGUACACCCUACAAUCUUAAAAUAUGCAUAAAUUCACUCAUAGAAUGAGAAAAUGCCUUGUGUCAUUUUCAAGUUUGGAAAAGGAUCCUCCCCGGAUCCUUUUCCUUGGGAUCUUAAGAAUCCCUUGAUCAUGAUCAUGAAUCGUACAUUAUACGGUCAGUUUUUGUUUAGUACUAUUUAUAUUUAAUUUUAAAUUUUAAAUUUUGAAAUGAUUUCUAACUACACGAUAUACGAUGAACGGUCACGAGAUCCCUAGAAUCCCCAGGAAAAGGAUCCGGUGAGAACCUUUUCCGUCAAGUUUGACACCAUUUGAAAAUUGGUGAGACAUGAAAAAGUUCUUGAUCCUCACUCCCCCCCACAAGGCAAGCUUAAACUCGCCCGUGAUAGAAUUUGUACCCGCGCGUUGCUGCAGGGUUGAAAAUUAUAUGAAAGAUAUUGGAAAAGGUUACCACUUCAAUGCUUAUAUACAUCGAACUUAAUCUUAGAUAUAUCCAUAGAAAAUUGGAUGAGAACGACGACCACACAACGGCCUAGGAUCUUGCACAAAGAGAAUAAAAGUAAAAAAAAAAAAGUCUAAAGAGAGUGAAAAAAAACAUUAUAUUUCAUUGCAUUCUAUUACUCUAAUUAUACACUUCACAACGGCCUAAGGAAAGUGGUUUCUUAUUGAUUAAAUGAAGCCUCACUGACUCACACAUACAGACUGAUCUAAACUAUUCAAGAAUGUGCAUCUUCUAGAGCUCACUUGCCAUUGAAGCCUCAUAGUCCUAACCGAGUUAAACCAAUUAAUAAAGCUCAUUUCGAUAAAACUUGCACACAGAAUGAGAAGCCAGUCUCAAGUACAAAUGCUUACUUGAGUAAUAUGAAAAGCCUGCUCAAGACGCUGAAUUUGAAUCCAUUGUUCACCAAAAAAUGUUGUUCAUCUGCAAGCAAAGACAAAGAAGCCAAUUGCAAAAUGACACCAUACUCAUAGUCUCAUAGACCGAAGAUUGUAGGAAGCAUAUCAGCAUAUAGUAUACGACCUUUUGAGCAUGCGAGGCAACUGUUCCAAGUCGAUCCUUAGCAUCCCGUGCUUUCGACGAUCAAAGUUGAACCUUCUAGACGCCUCCCAUAAAAUCCAUACCUAAAAAGCAAUUCCAAAACUUAUUUCUCAAAGUCCAACACUGGAUUGAAAAAUUGCAAAAACAAACUGGAAAAUUCGAAAGAAUUUAUAAGGCGGUGGGAUGUUGUACAGGGUUGGUACCUGGAGCUUGAGAAAUCAAAGAGCUUGCCAGUUUGGGAAAAGAUGAUAACAACAGCUUCAGAUUCACACAGAAUGGACAGCUCUCCAGCAUUCUUCAAAUCCACUCUUCUCCUCUUUGAGAAGGUCACCUGCCUUGCCGGCAAGUAAUCGAUCUUCCUGAUCUUGAUCUUCUCCCUCAUCAUUUUCUCCAAUUCUUCCUACCCCUUUCAGAAACAAUAAUUCAAGUAAAAUAAAAUAAACCAACUACUUCGAAUUUCCACAUAUAUAUAAAUGUCCACAAACUCAAAAACUACGUUAUAUUUUCUGGGUUUCUGAUAAUUUUAAGGAUUAUUGACCACAAAACCUAGCAUUUCAAAUCUAAAUAAGUAAAACAAAACCCAGAUCAACCCAUCAACCACAAUCAACUGUCCAAUAUUUCGUAUUUACCAAACUUGAUUAACACCCAAAAAAAAAAAGAAGCAAAACUCCCUAAUUUUACAAAAUACAAUCAAAUCAAUAAAACCCAGAUGAUUUCAUGAAGCAAAAAACAAAUUCAAUCAGAGGCAGAACCAUAUAAACCCAGAAAGAAAUUCAAACAUUCCAAAUUUCUGAAGCAACAUAUGACCAUAGAGAUUGAGCGGAGAAGACCAAACAAAACUCUAAAAUCUUGAAAUCACUCACCUUAAAUAGAUAGGGAUUUGAAGGCUGCAAACAAAAGCCCCAAAUCCGAAGAACCAUGAUUUCCUAAAGAAAAAAAUAAAACAAAAGUAAACACCAUGAUGGGGAAUCCAAAGCUAUAAACAAAAUCCCCAAACUUAUACCGGGUCACCACGCCCUUGUCUAUGGAAUCCGACGGAACCCACGCUGGUGAACCCCUUUGAUUUUCUUAUGCUAAGCAGGAGAAAUGGAGGGUGAAUCGGUGCUGUAGCUGGUUGCGAGAUAGAAACAGAGAAGUCGAUGGAAAAUAAGGAAAAGAAAAGUGCCGAGGAAAAGAAGAGCAAGGAAGCAGGGGGAACACCCCAGCUCUUUCAGAGCACUUUCAGCUUUGGCUGGAGCUCGGGGGACAAGCCAGCAAAUAGGGCCUGAGAGCCCGGCUUAUUGACUCCAGCUUGUGGGAGCCCGAGGGACAAGCAGGCCCGAGCACCAGGCCUGUCACGAAUUGCCAACUCGUUAGCCCAAAGGCUAUUUGACGCAAGGCUAACAUCAGCUCCUUUUUUAUUUUUUUCUGUCAGACGCGUGCACUGCACCCGUGCUUUGGGCGCGUCACCCGAAAUGUUUUCAGCGAAUGGGGCAUGCGGCGCAGUUUCAAAUUAUUACCGUUGGGAAACCACGUGGCUUCCCAUGGUCCGUUGGAUCUCAACAGCAAGAAAAUGUGGACCGUCAAAUUUGCAACGGUAAAAAAAAUAAAUAAAUCUUAUUUAAUAUCAACCGUUUGAUCUGGGAUCAACAAUUUAUAUUAUUUUCCUUUAUAAAUAAAAAAAAGAAAAAGUAGUUUUAAAAUUCAGAAAUGUUACCAUUGUGCCAUGUGGCACAAUCUGGAGUGUUGGAAUUCAAUUUUUUUUAAAUCCAAAGGCAGAGAUUAAUUAGUUGAAAAAAAAAUUUAAAAAUAAAUAAAAAUCCGAAAAAAAAAUUUUGAAAUUUUUUAAAAAAAUUUGUUUUUACUUUUCUAUAUAUACCUUCUCAUUAUCAUCUACCUUACACCACAAAUUUAUAUUUUCUCAACUAUUUUCAACCACAUUCUUAUCUUUCUCUCAAAGUUUCAGUCCAAAUUUUUUUAACAAAUGACUACUAAUGCAGGUACGAAUAUGACGCUUCUUGAAGAUGUUGCGUUGUGUACUAGCUGAGAUGCAGUUGCGAAAAAUGUGGAGUCUUAUUCAUACCAAUUAUCUUGAGAAAAUGGGUGGGAAAAGAACCAAAGAAUCAAUGACUCGACAGGGCCUGCAAAUCUAACCCACAACUUGGAUGACUCGACGGGAAUGUGAGGCUCUGCCCAUUCUUGCUUCGUCAUCUUUCCUUCUACACUCUUCAUCCUCUUCCCUCUCAUUUUGGGCCACCUGGAGAUUGAACAUUCCUUCUUAUUGGUUAAACAAUUAUUCCUCUUGCUGAUCGAUUUCCCACAUCAUCCUUGAAGAAGAAGACAUUGUAAAAAUGAAGCAGAAACUAUGAAUAAUGAUAGAGAUCUUGAGAAAAUUGGUGUGAGAUUUGUGAGGAUGGAUGGUGGAUUAUAUAGAGGAUUCAGAAAGGAUUAGGUUGUAGAUAAUGUCACGUGGCAUGCCUUCAUUCGUUAAAAAUCUAAUGGAAAUCUAUCCUCAAAGAUUAUGACACGUGGCGCGACGUGAUUGGUUAAUAAUCUUAUCGGAAAUCCAUCACCAAUAAUUGUAUUUUCGGAUAAUGACACGUGGCGCAACGAGUAUGAUUAAAAAUCUUAUCGGAAAUCUAUCACCAAUAAUUGUCUUUUCGGAUUUUAUGACAUGUGGCUCAACGAGAACGAUUAAAAAUCAUAUCCGAAAUUACAAAUAAAAUUAUUUUGUAUUAUUUUAUAACUUUUCGGAUAAUAACACGUGGCGCAAAGAGAAUGAUUAAAAAUCUUAUCGAAAAUCCAUCACCAAUAAUUGUCUUUUCAGAUUUUAUGACACAUGGCGCAAGGAGAACGAUUAAAGAUCUUAUCCGAAAUUACAAAUAAAAUUAUUUUGUAUUAUUUUAUAACUUUUCGGAUAAUGACACGUGGCGCAAUGAGAACGGUUAAAAUUCUUAUCCGAAAUUACAAAUAAAAUUAUUUUGUAUUAUUUUAUAAAUAAAUAAAAUACUAAUAUUUUAUUGCCUAUUGCUAGGGCUAUUGAAGUGCAACGGUGGAAAUGCAAAAGGCGAUUACUGUUCAAUGGGUGGAUAGCAUAGUGUAUUGCCUGGGGGGUGUUCCCACGCUGGAACUGCUCUCAGCCUGCUUCCAUUUCACUGAUGACAAACACGUGUAAAACAUGGCGCAACUAAAAUCAAAUAGACCAAGCAGCGGCAAAUCCGCCAUUUCACUGUUAGUGAACAAUGCUCUCUCUCACAUGAUGAACGGUAUUUUUGUUGCUGAGUUUAGUAUAUAUAAAUAAAUGUCUUUUGUGAAUGGCAGGGAAUUGGACAAAACCAUCGCUUCUUCUUUUUAAAAGCAUCCUUUUUUUAAUGGGAAUUUUAACAAAAAGCUUUCAGUAUUGUUCAAUUUAACGAAAAACCACAUUUUUACAUUAAAAAGUCAAUCCUGGUACUAUUCACUUUACCCUUUAUUUUGUUUUUAUUGUUAAAACUCAAAAUUUUCAAGCCCUUUUUAUUUGUUUUUCCUUUUUUUUUUUUUUUUUUUGUUAAGUAAAAGCAUCCCCUUUUUUAACUUCAAUGUGCAUUCUCACUUCCUUCCUGACUAUUUCGAACACAAAACAUCAAUACAAGUAAACAGUGAGUCAACACUCUUAGUAUAUUAGUAAAAUGAAAAAAACUUCUUUCUUUUAUUCAAUAAUUAUUAUGAGUUGUGUAUAUUGAUCAACCUGUAAGUAGAUACAAACACUAAUAAUGCAGUUAGUUAGAAAAAAAAAAAUCAUUUUGUUUUCUUUCAAGUUUCUCAACUAACCGGGACCCAAUAUUCCCUUUGGCAUUCUUACACCAACAAAGAAACAACAACGAAACACACAGGAACACAAAAAUUAGGGACCUCUUUUAUCUACUUGCCCACCAUCACAAAUAUUACCUUUUUUUUCUUGUACGGUUUGGUGGUAGGGAAUGAAACCUAGCUACAUUCACUUCUUCUGAUUUGCAGUUGACUGGUUUUUCCAUGAGUGUAAUGCUGAAGCUCGAUGGACCCCAGGCUGUAUAAUAUUCGAAAAUAGUCAUUCCUUAUUUGUCUGUCAAUCACAAUCAAUUUGAUGAGUUUUGCGUACAUGUAAAGUGUGUAUAAUCCUACAGAGAAUAUUUACAUUAGUUAUAAGGCCUCAGCAUUUGAUAUAACUAAAAGACAACCUGUAUCAACUCAUUCUUCGAGUCAAGAAUAUCAGAGCUUUCUUAGAGGGGGAAUAGAUAGGCUCUAAAACCAUGUCUUGGUUUUUUUAUAGUUAUCAUUCUUGUUACUGCUCUUACAUUUCAUACUCCUUCAGAGGCUAGCCAUGAGAAGAACGAUCCUUCUGCAGUUGUUGUGGGCACUGUCUACUGUGACACAUGUUUCCAAGAGGAUUUCUCACAUACCUGUUACAAUUUGGUAAGGUUAAUUCUAUGGAAGAAGAGAAGAUGAAUAGUUUUGGAAUGAAACAGGGAGAGAAGAAUGAGGUUGUUCUUUUCUCUGCAAAGUUACAGAGGAAUAAUUGAUUUCAUUAAUUGUCUCUCACUAUCUUGCACACAACGUGCAAAGAGAGAUAUAAUGCCUUUUACAAAACUGAGCUGGAUCAGUACAAAUUGAAAUAGAUCUCAGCCACACAUUCAGCUAAUAGCUAAGAUCAUCACACAUGGCACUCAUGGCCUUUUAUACCUAUAUACCCUCUCACUUAGUAUUUAACAUAAGUGCAUACACAUAUUAACAUCACAACUUAUUUCUAAUCAGAUUUUGGACUUAUACUUCAACACUCCCCUUUAAGUCCAAAGCUGAUAUAACUCUUAGCUUGUCCCUGAGAUAGUUAAACCUGUCCUUUGGUAAUGCCUUGGUGAAAAUGUCUGCCACUUGUUCUUUGGUAGGACAGUAAACCAAGUCAAUUAUCCCUUGCUGCAAGGCAUCCUUGAUGAAGUGAUAUCUCCUGUCAAUGUGUUUUGUCUUUUGGUGAAACACAGGGUUCUUGGAUAUUGAGAUUGCAGAUGUGUUAUCACACUGCAGAGGGGUUGCAUCAACUUGUAACUCUCCAAAAUCUUCCAGAACAAAUCUGAGCCAUAUGGCCUGAGCUGUGGCUUCAGAAGCACUGAUAUAUACUCGGCUUCUGCAGUAGAAAGAGCAACACAGUGUUGUUUCACAGAGGCCCAUGAGAACACUCCACUUCCAAAAGAAAAUGCAUAGCCUGAGGUGCUUUUGCUGUCUUCAAGAGAUCCUCCCCAGUCACUAUCGCAAAAACCAAUUAAGACUGCCUUCUUGCCUUUCUCAUACUUCAAACCAUAGUCCAAUGUGCCCCUAACAUAUCUGAGCACUCUCUCUUAGCUGUUCCAUAGUGUUUAUUGGUAGGACAAUGCAUAUAUCGAGCUAAUAAACUAGCUGCAUACAUUAUAUCUGGUCUUGUAGCAGUAAGAUACAGUAAACUGCCUACAAGCUUUCUGUAUUUCUCUUCAUCUGCUGCACCACUGCCAUCUUCUUUACUCAACUUUUCAGUAGCCACAAGAGGUAUAGAGACAGAUUUACAUUCUUUCAAUCCAAACUUAUCCAACAGGGAAGAGGCAUACUUCUUUUGAUGAAUGAAGAUGCUAGAUUCUGUUUGAAUUAUCCCCAUUCCCAGAAAAUGAUGAAGAAGGCCCAAGUCUGACAUCUCAUACUUCUCCUUCAUAUCUUCUUUGAACUCAUCCAGCAUGUCUUGAUUGUUUCCAGUAUACACAAUAUCAUCCACAUAUAUGGAGACUAUUAGUAUAUCCUUUUCUCCCCUUGUCUUAGUGUAGAGAGUUGCCUCACUUAAGCUUUUCUCAAACCCACACUUAGUAAAAUAACUGUCAAUCUCUCCAUACCAGGCUCUAGGUGCCUGUUUUAACCCAUAAAGAGCCUUAUGCAAUUUGUAGACCUUGUCCUCCCUGCCAUUAACUACAAACCCCUCAGGUUGAUCUACAUAUACUUCUUCCUGCAAUUCUCCAUUCAGAAAAGCAGAUUUAACAUCUAGUUGAUAUAAUUUCCAGCUUCUCUGUGCAGCAAGAGCUAUCAAGGUUCGGAUUGUGUUCAAUCUUGCAACCGGGGCAAAAGUCUCAUUGUAGUCAAUUCCUGGUUUCUGCACAUACCCCUUGGCAACUAGUCUUGCCUUGUUCUUUUGGACUGAACCAUCUAAGUUCAACUUAGUUUUGAACACCCAUUUAACUCCAAUCACCUGCUUAUCACUUGGUCUGUCAAGCUCCCAAGUUCCAUUCUUCUCAAUCAUUUGCAGUUCUUCUUCCAUUGCCUUUAUCCAAGCCUGAUCUUGUGCAGCUUCUUCGAAUUUUUCAGGUUCCACAAUACAGAGAUUGCACUGUGCCAUAAUAUCAUUUAUGUUUCUCCAUUUCACUGGAGUAUGAUCAUAAGACUGAGGGAUCUCAACAGAUUCUUGAAUGCUGCUUUCUUGUUCUUUAGUAUGAGAGGAGGUAUAUGAACUGGAGGCACUGUCUUGAAUCUCAUCCAACUCAUGUGAAUUCUGAAUGUGGGUCACAGCAACAGAAUUCUCUGAAUGUUUCUUCCAAUUCCAGGUUAUAGUUUCAUCAAAAACUACAUCUCUUGAAAGAAUUAACUUCUUAGUGCAUGGAUCAAACACUCUGUAUCCCUUCUCACAUGUAGCAUAUCCAACAAACACACCUUUGACACUCUUAGCAUCUAGCUUCUGUCUUAUUUCAGAUGGUAUAUGCAUAUAGCAUACUGAUCCAAACACCUUUAAAUGGCCAACCCCUGGUUUUCUGCCACUGUAAGCCUCAAAUGGUGUUAAAUUAUUGAGUGCCUUUGUAGGUGAUCUGUUCAAAAUGUACACAGCUGUGUGUACUGCUUCUGCCCACAGAAAGUAUGGCAUGCUUUUAUCAUGAAGCAUUGCCUUAGCCAUUUCUACAACCGAUCUAUUCUUCCUCUCCACUACUCCAUUUUGUUGUGGAGUGUAGGCCAUAGAUAACUGUCUUUGAAUCCCUGCAUCUUCACACAGUUUGUUGAAUUCACAAGAUGUGAAUUCUCCCCCUCUGUCACUCCUCAAACAUUUUAUCUUAAAGUCACAUUGUAAUUCCACCAUGGACUUGAAUUUUCUAAAACAUAUCAAUGCAUCUGACUUGUAUUUCAGAAAAAAUAAACCCACAUCAUUCUUGUACAGUCAUCUACAAGAAGCAUGAAAUAUUUGUUGCCCGCAAGUGAAUCAUUCUGCAUAGGACCACACAAAUCCACAUGCACCAGUUCUAGAGGUUUACUUGCUCUCCAUGCUUGAUUCUUUGGAAACCACUCUCUAUGUUGUUUUCCCAAACUGACAACCUUCACAAACUUCAUCCAUUUCUUCUAAAACUGGGAGACCAUGCACCAUUUCUUUGUUUUUAAGCUGCUGAAGACCCCUAACAUGCAGAUGGCCUAGUCUCUUGUGCCAUAUCCAAGUAGACUUAGAAAUACCUGCCCUCAGUACAACCUGAUCAUUUGGUAUCAGUGUCAAGGGGUAACACCUGUUCUUUUUCAUUUCAACUUUGAGUACAAGACAAUCCAAUGAAGGUCCAUCAAAAAUACUGCACAUCUUUCCCCCAAAUAACAGAUAGUAACCGUGUUCAUCCAUUUGCCCCACACUUAACAGAUUUUCCUUCAACCCAGGUAGAUACAUUACAUCUUUGACAUAUUUUCUGCCUUUGCUAGUAUCUAUCAUAAGUGUUCCAAAACCUGCCACAUUCAUGAGUUCCCCUGUGGGCAUUUGAACCUUGCCAACCACAUUUGUCUUCAUGUCUAUUAACAAAUUAGAAUCCCCUGUCAUAUGGUUGCUACAACCACUGUCUACAUACCAUUCUCCAUUCACUUUUGAUUCAGUGAUUGUGCUAUUUGCAUAAAACAGGUUCCCUGUCACCUCUACCUGAUUAGCACUAUUUGCCUUUUGCACUAAUUUACCUACUGUGCACUCUCUAGCCCAGUGACCAAACUUUUCACAGUUAUAGCAUUUAGGUUUCCCUUUAUACCUACACUCUCCAAAGUGAAACUUAGAACAUACCCUGCACUGUGGUUUUGUACCUAUCUGCCCCAUUGACUGUGCAUUAUGUGCAGGACUAGCAGGAAAUUUCUGCUGAAACUUAGGUUUUGAACCCCAUUUCUUGCCCUUAUUAUUCCAAUUUUUCUGGAACUGAGAUGAACCAGAUUGACCUUCACCCCUAUUCUGCUCUUUUGAAUUCACUGAGAAAGAUGAGAAUGCUUUACCAGUAGUAUCAACAGUAUGCAGAUCAAACCGUUGUUCUUGACUCUUCAAGAUUGCAACUACUUCCUGCAAUUCUACAGUCUCUAGACACUUUUUGUGUUUUCUAUAACCAAACAGAUAGAAUCAUAAGGUUUACUAAGACUAAUCAGAACCUUCUGCACAAGUCUCUCAUUCGACAGAGAUUCACCAAAUGUUCUCAUUUGAUUAAUUAGCUCAUUCAGCCGUGUAAGAUAGCUAGAUAAAGACUCAUCAUCUCUCAUCCUAGCAUAUUCAAACUCUCUCCUAAGAUUCUGCAAUUUCACAGAUCGUACCUGAUCACCACCAUGAUACUCCCCGUAUAACAAAUCCCAUGCCAUCUUAGCUGAUUCGGCAUUGGCGAUUCGUGGGAAGAUCUGAUCCGAGACUGCAUUUUGAAUGAUUCCUAGAGCCUUCGCAUCCUUCAUGAACACAGCAGCCAUUUCUUCAUCGACUGCAUCGUCCGAUGACCCUUCAACUUCCUUCUUCUUCGAGUCAGGGGUUGUAAUCCCUUUGUCCACCAGCUUCCAUAACCCAAGCGAUUUGAAUAUCGUUACCAUCUUAAUCCGCCAGAACUCGUAGUUCUCACCGGAGAAGAUUGGGGUUCUCACCUCCGAGCUUCCAGAUCCAGACAUCUUGAUCCGUCUGUUGCUUUCUCGCCUCAAAUGAAAACUCCGGCGACUUUCACCGAGCUUUGACUUAGCUUAGUGACUUCACAGCUUCACGCCCAGAUUCAAUUGAUCGAAAAUCGGCUCUGAUACCAUGUUACAAUUUGGUAAGGUUAAUUCUAUGGAAGAAGAGAAGAUGAAUAGUUUUGGAAUGAAACAGGGAGAGAAGAAUGAGGUUGUUCUUUUCUCUGCAAAGUUACAGAGGAAUAAUUGAUUUCAUUAAUUGUCUCUCACUAUCUUGCACACAACGUGCAAAGAGAGAUAUAAUGCCUUUUACAAAACUGAGCUGGAUCAGUACAAAUUGAAAUAGAUCUCAGCCACACAUUCAGCUAAUAGCUAAGAUCAUCACACAUGGCACUCAUGGCCUUUUAUACCUAUAUACCCUCUCACUUAGUAUUUAACAUAAGUGCAUACACAUAUUAACAUCACAACUUAUUUCUAAUCAGAUUUUGGACUUAUACUUCAACAAUACCAGCCAUUUCAUUUCAGGUAAAUUCAUCUCAAAUUUUCAACAAGUUCUUCAUCAAAUUUAUUUUUAUAUUGUAAUCCGGCUAUAAAACAGACAACCGUUCAAUGAUUUCCGUACACCUUCUCCUCAUAAACAGACGUCCGUUCAAUGAUUUCCUUACACCUUCUCCUCCAUACACUCAUGUUUAUUUUGUAAUUUCUAAAUUCAAAUGAAUCAAAGAAAAUCAAAAUAACGAAAAAAACAAGUGUACAAAAUGAAAAAAAAAAAGAAAGCAAAAUCCAAGAAAAUGACUAAAAACCUUUAUACAAGUAUUUCCUAUAUCUGAGUCAAAUAUACAACUAUGAAAAGUAAAUAACAAAUCAAUUACAAAAAAAUCUCGCCUAACUCCUUGGUUGUAAGGCUCUGCAUUCAAUCACGAUUUCUUUCCAGACAACGAGUGGUAAGGAUAUUAUUUCUCUUGAAGAAAAGUUGGAGGAUAUGUCAUUUGUAUGUGUUGAUAUCAUUGUCGCCACAUAUGUAUGUCAUCAGUAACUUUAAAUGACUUAUCCCCAUACAAAGUAUAAUAGUUGGUCUAAAUGAUUUAUCCCCAUACAAAGUAUAAUAGUUGGUCUAAAUGAUUUAUCCCCAUACAAAGUAUAAUAGUUGGUCUAAACCCUAAUUCCAUAAACGACCAUACUGUUUAAAUGAAAUAAUUGCUCGGUUCCAUUUUACCCCCACAUUUUCUGCUUUUGUUUUGUUGCAAGAGUUUAACUUGUUAUUUGGAAUAUAUUGUUCACAGAAAGCACAUGUUCAGAAAUUUUUGGCUACUGAAGAUGCACUGAAAAAAGCUGCAGAAGUUAGGGAUCUAUGUCAAAAACUUAUUAAACGCUUGCAUGGCAAUACUGAUGUAAUUUCUUCAGGAACAUCACAAAAUGUGGGCAGUCUUAGGCAACUUGAGGUAAAUCUUCCUUGCAUAUUAAAAGUAUUAACUACCAAUAGUUUGGGUGGAAAUAGCACCAUGGGUGACAGGUUUGAUUAGUUUCAGUCUUUUGAUCCUUUUCAUAGUUGUAUACUGUAUACUAGGUUACUUUUAACCUGCACUGUGUUAUCAUCUGGUUUUUUACAGUCUUCCAUUUUCUUUGUGUAGCUGGAGGUUUGGGCCAAGGAAAGAGAAGUUGCUGGCUUGAGGGCUAGCUUGAAUACACUGAUGUCUGAAAUACAACGCUUAAAUAAAUUAUGUGCGGAAGGGAAAGAAGUUGAAGGUUCUUUGAAAAAGAAGUGGAAGAAGAUUGAAGAAUUUGAUUACCGCAGAUCAGAACUUGAAAUCAUAUAUACCUCUUUACUAAAAGUUAACAUGGUAAGGAUCUCAGCUUCAAUAGUGCUUAUAAAUUUACUAGUAACUUCAUAUACUGGCAUUGUAUAAGCCAUGUCUCGUCAUUCCAUGAAGUGUCGGCUCUUUUUCUUUAAGUUCCAGGCAAAAGGUCAUAUAUAUAAUGUUGAAUUGUAAUCUUGUCUUGGCCCAAGACAAUUGAUCAGGCCCAUACACAAAGAAAGAUUCAUGCACAUGCUAGAGAGUUCUAGCAAAUUCAAGUUGGUGGAAUGCAUGCAUAAAUAUCCAAGGCUUUUUGUAGAAAGAUCUAGAAUCUUGUAAAAUUGUGUGGUUGUUAAGCACUAGCUAGAAAGUUCUAGCAAUGUCAAAGUUGGCAAACGUUGCCUAUAAAUAGGUGAGGUGCUAAGCUAUGUGAUGUAACAACCAAGAGAGCAUGUAGUGAGAAGUGAGAGUGCCAAGUGAGAAGUGAGAAGAAGCAACAAAGCUUCUAAGAGUGUUUGAGUGUUUCCUCUUGUACUAAGUUUGUGAGUGAAUAAAAAUCUUGUGUAAUACUUUUGAGUAUUCUUUCUUUCUCUUGCCUAUCAAUUCCGCUGCAUUACAUUCUUCUUUGAGAGAUAAACAUCUCCAAAGUAGUGAAAUCUUUUUAAGCCCCAACAAUAUGCAUGCUCUGAUGUCUUAUUUUGUUCUAUUUCAUUGUUUGUGUGCCUGCUUAAUGGGUGCUUUCAGUUCGAACUUACAUUUACUGGAUAAAAGGUUUGGAGGGUUCAGACGCUGCCCUAGCAUCAAUCCUAGAGUCCCUGGAAUUCUGUUCGAAACUUCGUGGUUCUGAAGCUAGUGUGUUGGAGGACAUGGUAAAGGCAAUUAAUUUGGUCCAUACACCACAGGAUCUUGUUGAAAGUGGUCAUGUGUUGUUGAACCAUGCCUAUAGAGCUCAACAAGAAUAUGAAAGGUAAAACUUCACAUGGCCUUAUUUUACAGGAAACUAGACUGUGUUAUCCUCCAAAACCCGAAAGUUUCAGUAAGCGGAACUCGGUCAAAUAAUACAAACUUGAAUUCCAUUUUGAGCAUUGUGAGAUGAAGGAAAGUGCCAGAAACUGCUUUCUUAUUUCAUUUAAGAUUCACAUGGUUUGUUGCUCUGGAUGUUCUGAAUUUUUUUCAUCCAGAUUCUAAAUAUAUUACAGUUUGCUCUUUGUUCUAAUCUGUUGUCAAAACUCAGGAUGCAUAGCUCUGGUGUUACGUUAAAUUCAUUCUAAAUAUUAAACCAUUCAAAUAUGUGAUGGUUAUUAAUUAGCAUUUUAGGAUCUCUGACUAUUUGUUAGAUUAACAUGCACUUAAUUUGUAUCUACUACUCUGCAGGACAACGAGCUAUUGUUUAAAUGUGGCUGCUGAGCAAGAGAAAAUUGUCAUGGAGAAAUGGUUGCCUGAACUUAAGGCUGCAAUUUUGAGUGCUCAGAAGUGCUUGGAAGAUUGCAACUAUGUUAGGGGAUUGGUGAGUGACCACCAUACGCAGAGUUAGCCUGCAUUUUUUAGUUCUAUAGUAGUUGUAUAGACAGUCCAUUUUUCUACGUUAGCAGUACAAAUUCUUUUGUUGUCUUGUUUUUCCCCUCUUUAAUUGUCUGAGCUGCAAUACGUUUCUGCAGCUUGAUGAAUGGUGGGAGCAACCCGCAGCAACUGUUGUUGACUGGGUCCUAGUCGAUGGAUUAAACGUUGCUGCCUGGCAUAAUCAUGUGAAGCAGCUCCUUGCAUUUUAUGAUCAGGAGCACUUGUGAAUAUUAAUCGAGUACUCAGCAAACAAGAUUUUCUCGGGAUCUCCCUGGUCUUCCUGGAUCAAAUUUGCCACUUCUACAAAGCCCUGGUCUCAUUCAUUCUGGCAUUACUAAAACCACCUACAAAGGCCUGGUAGAAACGGCUCAAGCUCGACUUCCUGCUUGGAAGGUGAUUCUAAAGGGAUAACUCAUAGCUAACAGUUUUGUAUAGCUGUGUUUUACAGUUUUAGAUUCAGUUGUAACAGUUUCUGUAACUAAUCUAUGUGAUUAGAGAUUUAAUUAAGCACAAUUAGUCACUAAGCUUUAUUAGGAAAGUGUAUAAAUAUUGAGUUGUAUUUUCCUUACUCAUUAAGAAAGAAAUAAUACAAGGCUUAUUUCUUACAUGGUAUCACCACCUCUCAACUUCACCGCCUCUCGAUCCUUCUUCCUUGCGAUUUCUUCUUCGAUUGGUGCAUCUGCAAAUUCCUCUCGAUUUUUUUUCGACCUUUGAUCUUCGAUCAUGGCGUCUUCGACUUCGUCUCCUGUGCAGCCUAAAGUUGUUGCCCCAAAUCCUGCAAUUCCUUCCCCCAAUUUUGCAGCGAUAAACCCUAAUUCCUCAAAUUCUCUGAUCUCGUCGAUUUCUUCCAUCACUGUUCAGAAUAUCAGUUGUAUGGUUCCUCCGAAGCUUAAGCGUGACAAUUACCUUGUCUGGAAAGCUCUUUUCACUCCAAUUUUCCGACGAUAUAAACUUACCGGAAUCAUUGAUGGAUCUGAAGUUUGCCCGCCGCCUUAUGUUCUUGAUCAAUCUAGUCAAAACUCUGGAAUUCCAAAUCCUGACUUUGAAAUUUGGUAUGAAAAAGAUCAUAAUAUACUGAUUUCGCUGAAUUCUACUCUCUUUGAGGAGAUUAUUCCGUUCACCAUCGGUGUCACAUCGUCUCGAGUACUCUGGCUAAAUCUCGAGCAUCGAUUUGAUGGCGUUUCAGCUGCUUAUAUUCAUCAGCUUUGUUCUCGUCUUCACUCUAUUCACAAAGGUGAUCUUCCUAUCUCGGAUUAUUUACAAAGAAUUAAAGGCCUAUCUGAUUCUCUAAUGGCUCCUAGAGCUUCUGUCUCUGAUCAUGACUUGAUUAUUGCUACGUUAAAUGGCUUACCUAAUGAGUAUGAGUCGUUUAUUGACUCUAUCAUGGUCAGGAUUUCCACCAUAACACUGGAUGAACUUCAUGGUUUGCCGAUCAAUAAGGAAGUCUUCAUGAAUCGUAAAAAGAAAGGCAUUGCCUCAUCUGGUUCUGUGCCUUUUCAUGCCUUUGCUGUGCAGUUUCAACCUUCUCUUCUUCCUACACCGUCACAAUAUUACAAUUCUCCUCAUGCUCAUGUUGCUCAACAGUUUAAUCACAAUGCUCCACCAAAGUUUCACAACAACAAUUGACACGCCCCGAUCCCGAUGUCCUCGAGACAUCGGGAUGGUCACGUGCUGGCCAACACCCGAAGGGUGACGAAAGCCAUUUGAUUUAAGUAAAAGCUGAGAAAUAUACUAAAACAAGCAAUAGGAACUAAUAAUACAAAACUAAAGUUCAACUGCUAAUUAAUAAAAUUAUGGUUAUACACAUAAGUUCAGAGCAUACAUCUAUUACAGAGUACAAGCAGAAUUUAAGAUAGAGAAAUGCUAUAUUACAAUAGGUGUCGAAGCAGAGGAAAUAUAGCACUGAAUCACUGGUAGGGAAAUGCCUCGUAGCUCAAAUCGUAAUCCUCGUUCAUAGGUCCUGAAGGGGGCGCAAAACAAACAUAAGUGGACCAAUUUGAUAUAUAUAUAUAUAUAUAUAUAUAUAUAUAUAUAUAUAUAAUAAAACAGUUAUCAACCUACUAACCCCCAGAUUUAUGAAAACAUACAUAUAAUAAAAACAUAGGUUUUCCGAAACCUAGCAUGUUGUGUAAUGUCUCAAAUUCAUAACUUAUAUAUAUAACAAGCACUAGUGAUUUGUCCAAUAACCUCCAGGCCCCAUGCCGGCUCUCCGUCUUUGAGCAGACAGUCAAAGGAAAAUACACUUCAGGCCCCAUGCCAGCUCCCCAUCUUUGUGCUAAAUAGCCAGAGGAAACACACUCCAAGCCCUAUACCAACACCAAACCGUUGCUCGGGACGGACCAGAAUCUAUCCCUACGUCCCGUAGCGGAAAUGAUCACUAGGUAAGUACAAAACCAUUGAAUAUAUCUAUUUUGAAAAACAACUUCAUAGUAUAAAGUCAUCCAUCAUUUAUACUAUAAAGAGGUAUUCUAAACAUGUUCUAAAUAUCAUAUCGUCAUCCAUCAGAUAUUCUAUAAGAACAUGGGUUAUAUGAAAAAUAGUAGUAAUUUAAUCUAGCCUCAGUAAGCAUGUUAUCUCACAAAACAUUUCAUAAAACAUAAUCAUUAAAUCAUGCUUUUCAUGUAUGCAUUUCUAUUAUUAAAACAUGAUUUCACUCACCGUACACCGAUGGUGCAAAGCUGUACCAAAAAGGAAUAACGGAAUCACCGUUAAUAAUUGCACAUAUUCACAUAAAGGGGUACCUUUAGUCAAACUCUAUUCAAACGAUUGAAUUUGGAAAAAAAAACAUACUUCAAAAACAGGUCCAGGACGUCGAAAUUAGCCUAGGAGAGGUCCCGGACGAAACCCAGAAAAGUCAACUUAAAAAGUCAACGUUAACCGUUGACAGGUCAAAGUCAAAGUCAACGCUAACCGUUGACCAAGUCAACAGUCAACUGGGUCAAACGGUCAAAGUCAGACUGGGCUUGGAUUGGGUUGGGCCGAUUGGGCCCUAAAGGUUUGGGUUUGGAUUAAAGGUUAAUGGGUUUGGGAAAGGGUUGAAAGCCCAAGCUCUAAAUGGCCCAAAGGCCUUAAAUAUAAAGGUUUCUAUACACUCGGGCCUAAGGCCCUGAAUAAAAUGGCCCCAGGCCUUAAUUCUUAAAACUAUAAUUAAACAAAACCUAAAAAGGUUUUGGGUUGAUCUAAUGGGCCACAGGCCCUAAAAGAAACGGCCCGAAGGCCUUUAAGGGUUUUAAAGAAAUAAAACAAAAACAAAAACAAAAUAAAAACAAAAGGAAACAGGCUGGGCUAAAACCAAAACGGGCUUAAGGCCCAUGGGUUGGGAAACGACCUGAAAGGCCUUGGGUGCGCCGGGGAAGAACGCCGGAGCUUCUACAGCUCCGGCCGACUGCAAACCUAGUUUUUUAGGGUCCGAUCUAGGUAUCAAAUUGAAGUACAAGACGAGAAGAACAACGUUAUACCUUCCUUUUGCCGUAAAACGGUCGGAGGUGACCGAAAACUCCCUCGACACCCACGGCCUCCCCGGAGCUAGGUGUGCCUUCCCCCAACCUGAUUCCAUUCUAAAACCUCAACAACAACGUAAUACCUAAUUAAAACACAUUCACGCAAGAUUCUAAGACGAAUUAGGAAGAAUUCGAGGCUUACCUAACCAGAGGAAUAGGAAAUCUCGCCGGAGAGUUCCUUGGUUUCAUCCUCACAGCACGGGAAAGAGAUAGAGAGCUGAUGAGGGAUUGAUGAUGGUGAUGACUCCUUCUAGCACGAGCGUGCCUUUGCGUGUGAGUGUGUGUGCGAUUUCAGUGAAGAAAAGGAAAGAGAUGAGGAUUCCGAGAGAGAGAGAAGAGAAAGACAGAAAGAAGAAGAUGAAGCUCACGGGAGGGGUAGGGGACAGAGAGAGCAAUGAGAAAAGUCUUGGGGUGCUGCCAUGUGGCAGCUUGGGAAUAAUCCUGAAUGGGUAGUCAAAAUAGGACUAAAUUGAUAAAUUCAUAAUAUUUUGGGGAUACAUACAUAAUUAUAUUUUUAUAAAUGGGGGUGGGUGUAACAACAAUCGUGGCCAAGGAUCUUUUCAACGCAAUAAUCGUGGCAAUUUUCACAAUAACUUCAAUAAUCCUCGAGGUAACUUUCACAAUUUUGGUGGUAAUCAUGGCAACUAUAGAAACAAUUUUGGAAAUCGUAACAAUUUUGGUGGAAAUCGCUCUAAUUCUGGUGGAAGAACUCCCUGUCAAAUAUGUCAUUCCUUUGAUCAUGAAGCUAUUGACUGUUAUGAGAGAAUGAAUCAUGCUUUUGCUAGAAAAAUCCCUCUUACAAAACUUGCUGCUAUGUGUGCUCACACUAGCUCUCAGCAAUCUCAUCCUAUUUGGUUGAUGGACUCGGGUGCUACAUCCCAUAUUACUAAUGACAUAUCUGCAAUUCAAUCUCCAUAUCCAUACUCUGGCGAAGACAAGGUGUACAUUGGUGAUGGACAAGGUAUGGAUAUCCAUCACAUUAGUAAUUCUAUCAUUCCAACACCACAUGCUAAUUUCAGAUUGAGUAAUGUCCUUUAUGUUCUACUGAUGAAAUUCAAUUUACUCUUUGCCUAUCAAUUCUUAAAAGAUAAUCAUUGCUCUUUGACUCUUGAUUCUGAUGGUUCUGAAAUCAAGGAUCAUUCUUCUGGGAUGACGAUUUUUCGAAGGCCAGUUAAAGCAGGAUUUUAUCCCUUUCAAGGUCUCUCCAAUGUGCCCUUCUCACAUUCUGCUAUGUUCAGCACUAAAGCAUCAUUGAAGACCUGGCAUAACAGGCUCGGUCAUCCUUCUUCUGUUAUGUUUAGACAAGUAUUAAAUAAGCAUAAUCUUGUUCACAAUAGGGACAAGUUUGUAUCUUUCUUUUGCACAUAUUGUGCCAUAGGCAAAAAUCAUAAGCUAUCAUUUUCUUCCAAUACUAGUUCUGUGUCUACUAGUUUAGAGUUGCUACAUUGUGAAGUUUGGGGUCCAUCUCUAGUUUCUUCUGUCAGUGGUUACAAGUUUUACUUGUUGAUUGUGGAUGAGUUCACCAAAUAUACUUGGAUGUUUCCUAUGAAAACUAAAUUUGAGGUUUUCUCUAUAUUUGUAUCUUUCAAAGCUUAUGUAAAGAACAUGAUUGGCAAUAAAAUAAAAAUCUUGCGAUCAGAUUCAAGGGGUGAGUUCACUAGCUUUGUGUUCAACUUUUUUUUUAUAAAAUAGUGGUAUUUCUCAUCAAUAUAGCUGCCAUCAACUCUUGAACAAAAUGGAUGUGUUGAGAGGAAGCAUAGGCACCUUACAGAGACUGCAUGGACUCUAUUGGUUUCUUCUCAAGUCCCACACAAAUUCUGGGUUGAAGCCUUCUCUACUGGCAUUUAUCUCAUCAACAGAUUACCAAUUUCAAGACUGGACAAAUCUCCAUGGGAACUCCUCUUCAAGACAACUCCAGAUUAUUCAAAAUUAAAGGUGUUUGGCUACAGCUACUGUCCUUGGCUUAAACCUUAUGUUUCCUCAAAACUGGAAGGCAAAAGCAAGCAUUAUGUCUUUCUUGGUUAUAGUCUUCAGCACAAAGGAUAUCGGUGUUUAGAUCUUCAAUCUUAGAGAAUCUACAUUUCAAGGCAUGUAUUGUUCAAUGAGGGGCAUUUUCCCUUUCAUGAUGCUUAGAAGUUUUCUACCUCAUCAACACCACAGUCUCCAGUGCAUGCUUCUUCCAUAAAAUUUAAUCUUUCAUUUCCUAUAUCUCAGCAUGUUUCACCAUCUUCCACAGUGCCUGCAUCACAGUCAGCAGCAUCUCCAUCACUUACAACAUCUCAGCAACCUCUAUCUUCACAAGUACCAUCUCAGUUCUCUCUACAAGUAUCAUCAUCAUCUCAUUCAUUACCUUUGCAACCAGAUCAUUCAUCUUUAAUUCAGCAAUUGAUUCCUACCAACUCUCAUCUUAUGAUUUCAAGGUCUAAAGCAGGUAUCUUUAAAUCAAAAGCUCUAUCUGCCACCAAACAUCCAAUUGAUAUUGAUACUUUUGUGUCUACCAUUCAUCUACAAGCCUCGAAGCAUGCUCAUUGGAAUCAAGCCAUGCUCGAAGAGUUUCAGGCUCUAAAAACACAGGCACUUGGACCUUAGUACCUCAAUCUCCACAUCAAAACAUUGUAGGCUGUAAAUGGGUGUUUCGGAUAAAAAGAAAACCUGAUAAUACAUUUGACAGAUACAAGGCUCGCCUUGUAGCCAAAGGAUUUCACCAACAAAAAGGUAUUGACUUCACAUACACCUUUAGUCCAGUUGCCAAACCAGUGGCCAUUUGAAUUCUAUUAACUCUUGUUGUUCAAAAUGAUUGGUUUCUCAAUCAGUUGGACAUUAGUAAUGUAUUUCUUCAUGGUACACUCAAAGAAGAGGUGUUUAUGCAACAGCCUUCUGGUUUUAUUGAUGCUUCUCAGCCUUUAUUUGUUUGCAAGCUCAAUAGAUCUCUUUAUGGUUUAAAGCAAGCCCCUCGUGCCUGGUUUGAUAAGCUUGGUCAUACAUUACUGUCUCUUGGUUUCACUAACUCUUAAUCCGAUUACUCCUUAUUUGUGCAUACAUAUCCUUCCUUUGUGAUUGUAUUAGUCUACGUUGAUGACAUCUUAGUCACCAGUCCAAAUGCAUCCGAUUGUCAAGCUUUCAUUCACAAGCUCAGUUCUUUGUUUCAUGUCAAAAACUUAGGGCCUCUUCACUACUUCCUUGGUCUUGAAGUUCAUAGAUCAUCUGAAGGUAUUUUCUUGUCACAUGGUAAAUAUAUCAUAGAUCUUCUUAUCAAGAUCAAAAUGGAAGGAUGUAAACCUUGUGCCACUCCUCUUGGCACUCAUAAAUUGGAUCACAUUGGAACCUUAUUGUCUGAUCCAAAGGAGUACAGGUCUAUUGUUGGUGAUCUUCAAUAUUUAACAUGGACAAGGUCGGAUAUCUCUUUUGAUGUGAACCAUGUGUGUCAAUUUCUUCAUUGUCCUUGAGAUACUCACUUUCAGGCAGUUAAACGUAUUCCCAGAUUUCUCAAAGGCUCAGUUGAUCAAGGACUCUAGUUUAAAAAGAGUUCUCUGCAGCUAACAACUUUUUCGGAUGCCGAUUGGGCUGGAUGUGUGUUUGAUAAAAGGUCUAAAUCUAGAUAUUGUAUUUACUUGGGUUUCAAUCUUAUAAGUUGGAGUGCAAAAAAGCAGCCAACUGUUACAUGAUCUUCAACUGAAGCCGAGUAUCAAUCCUUUACUUUUACUACUGCAGAAAUUACCUGGAUCUGCAAGAUUUUCAAGGACAUCACUUUUCCUCUUUCUCAUGCUCCUACAUUAUGGUGUGACAAUGUUUCUACCAUAUCUUGGCUUCAAAUCAUGUGUUCCAUGCAUGAAUAAAGCAUGUCGAAGUUGAUUAUCAUUACAUCAAGGAGGUUGUUCUUGCCAACCUAGUCAAAAUUCUGUAUGUCAACUCUGAGCAUCAGAUUGUAUACAUUCACACUAAAUCACUGUCCAAGGCAAGGUUCAAGUAUCUUCAGUCCAAGUUUUCUCUGGGUUCCCCUCCAAUUAGCUUGAGGGGGUGUAAAGGGAUAACUCAUAGCUAACAGUUUUGUAUAGCUGUGUUUUACAGUUAUAGUUUCAAUUGUAACAGUUUCUGUAACUAAUCUCUGUAAUUAGAGAUUUAAUUAAGCACAAUUAAUCACUAAGCUUUAUUAGGAAAGUGUACAAAUACUGAGUUGUAUUUUCGUUACUCAUUAAGAAAGAAAUAAUACAAGGCUUAUUUCUUAUAAAUCAGUCAUAUCUUGCUGGUCGAGCUAGUCUUGUUCAGUCUUGUUCAAUCUUCCACCUCCACUAUCCCAGUAUAUGAUAUGCAGACAGGGUUUAGGGUUUAAAGUUUAGGUAUGCAGAGAAGGUUGGGCCAAGUUUGCCUUCCGAAGUCUCUUGGUGGGCUUGGCUUGAAAAACAUAAGAGUUAUGAACAACUCUUCUUGCUAAGAACUCUUGGAGAUUGAUGGAGGGGAUAAUGGUCUGUGGGCAAAAGUUUUUAGUGGCAAGUACAUUGACCAUUGGGUCAAUUACUCAAAGAUCAAACUGCUUUAGGCUCUUCUUGCACUUGGAAAAGUGUUCUUGAAAGGACUAAACUUUCGUACUACUUUGGCGAAUUUGGAAAUGGUAACACGGUAAAAUUUUAGACUGACAGAUGGGCUAAAUGUGGUAUUUUGCUUCAUUAUGGUAGCUGCCUGCUCUCGGACAAUAUGCUUAAGGUUACCGUAGCUGAUUAUUGUUACAAUAAUGUUUGGGAUAUACACUACUUGUUUUACCAAAUGAGGUUGUUGAACAAAUUCUUAGCAUUUUAGUUGGUUUUGAUACUUUGGAGGAUAAGUGUAGCAGGUGUGGAACACAAGUGAUGUUAAUAUGUUGGCCAUUAAUUCUAGUGGUUUUCCUAAUUUGCGAUAGAAUCUCAUUUGGAAUCUUCAUAUUCAUUCGAAAGUUUAGAGUUUCUUAUGGCUGCUCACUCUUGAUAAGCUCAUAACUAAUGAUCAAAGGCUGGAGGGAUUACGACUGAUAACCCUGAGUGUUAAAGAUGUACAUGUGGCUUUAAAUCAACGCCUCAUGUUUUUAAAGAUAGUCAUAAGGCAAGCAAAGUUUGGCUGAUGUUGAGGAUGUAUAACCAACUAAAUUGAUUUUCAUGAUUUUCUUCAUUUUAAUCUUACGACUAAUUCACUCAUAUUGGGAGGUUUAGAGUGGAGGUUAGUUUUUUCGUUGGUUGUUGGUUUAUUUGGUAUUGGCAAAAUAAUUUUUUUUAGCAAGAUUUUGCAAUGUUUGAUGAGCCUACAGUUGCUAUUUGUGCAUAUCUUGUGAGUAUUAGCCUUCAACCAUUCACGAAGAUUGGUCAAUGUCGUAUAAUUGAAUCUUUGCUCCACUGAGAAGCUCUUUAUUCAAAUUGGUAAUGUUGAUGGUUGUAAGAAGGAAAAUAAGAAUUUUUUACCUAACCAACCGACAGUAGACAAAGGAUAUGUUGAUGUUGAUGUUGAUGUUGAUGGUUGUAAGCUCUCUUCUCUUUUUUUUCCUCCCCUCCUGUUUAAACGCUCAAAAUUUUAUCUUUGUAAGGAGAAAGAAGAAAAAAAAGUAGAGAGGGAAGAGAAAUAUCUAGGAAAGAAGACUGGAGGGGAGAAAAAAAGGGAGGAGAAAGAAUACCAUCCUUAUAACUUGGUCCCUUAUUGAAUGAAAGGACAGGCUUCUGCUUGGCUUAAUACCAACUUCAGUCCAAUUGUCUUCUUGUUUUGGAAAUUGACAACUCCAAGUGAUGAAAAAACAUCACAUGUAUUAUUGUACGGAUGAAAAGUGUUGCUUUUUGCACUAUUGCAUUUAAAGUGAUUAGAAAUUCCGUGAAAAUUUCCAAUAUCUCGUUGCAUUGAUGAACGGACGAGAUAUAAAAAAAAACAAAAUUUUAUACCUUCAUCUACUACGUUGAUGUAUUAUAUCCAAAACCCUAAAAUUCUCCUCAUGAAUGAUGAGUCUAAUAUUUUUCAGAGUUGUUAUCAGCACUUGCAAACAGUGUUUUAUGCAUGUCGGUCUCGAAGUUAUCAAUGAGGGGUCAUGAUAAUUAUUUUAAAUUGUUAAUAACAUUAUCUUUUCUUAUUCUCGGUAGGCGGCUACAUCCCUACAAUCUCAAAAUAUGUUUAAAUUCACUCAUGUACAAUGAGAAAAUGCCAUAUGGCAGGUUUGACACAGUUUGGAAAUUGGUGAGACAUGAAAAGUUCCUUAAUCCUCCCUCGCCCACACGGCAGCCCUCAACUCGACCGUGAUGAGAAGACAUGACAUGUCUUUUGCGAAUGACAGGGAAUUGGACAAAACCAUCCCUUCUUUGUUUCAAUAAUUGUUAUGAAUUAUCGUAUAACUAUUAACCUAUAAGUAGAUAUGAACAACGACUUAAUUGCCACUCAUUUUCACUAUAAAAGGAAAACAUUUCAUCACAAGAUUGCAGUGGGGACAGAGAGGGUUGUGGUUGUCGUAGAUAAACCUAGAUUUGGAUAUGAUCUGGACCUCAGUGUCUGGAACCUGCAAGUCCACAAAUCUUGAUCGAUGAUUGGUGUGCAAGUCAAAUCAGGGCCGUUGGUUGUGUGUGGUGGGCUAGGAAAAUGAAUUAAUGGAGACCGUUGGAUUCAAUUUGUGCGGCCAAGAUUUGUUGACUUGGAGGCUCCGAACACUAAUGUUUGGAGUGGAUCCAAAUCCAAUAAACCUAGGUUUCAUCACAAAGCAGGAAAUUGAAUUCAGAACAAAACAAACAGAUUGUGAGUAGGAAAAGACAGAUUUUUUAGUGUGUCAAGAACACUGUUUAGUACACUGAGUGUAAUAAUACAAUUGGUUGGAAACUUGUAAAAAAAAAAAAAAAAUUUCCAACUUUUUAUAUCAUAUGAUGUAUCAGACCGUGUUUCCAACAUCAACGAGAUUUGGAUGUCACGCAUACAAAUAAAGACUUGUUGGGGCUUAAAAAGACUUCACUACUUUGGAGAUGUUUAUCUCACAAAGAAAAAUGUAAUGCAGCGGAAUUGAUAGGAAAGAGAAAGAAAGAAUACUCAAAGUAUUACACAAGAUUUUUAUUCACUCACAAACUUAGUACAAGAUGAAACACUCAAACACUCUUAGAGGCUUUGUUGCUUCUUCUCACUUCUCUCUUGGCACUCUCACUUCUCACUACUUACUCUCUUGGUUGUUACAUAGCUUAGCACCUCACCUAUUUAUAGGCAAGGUUUGCCAACCUUCCUUAUUUCUAUAUAUUUCUCGCUUUUUCCUAAUGUCCACAUAAUUUUACAAGAUUCUAGGUCUUUCUACAAAAGACCAUAGAUAUUUUAUGCAUGCAUUCAACAUACAUGCUUUUUCUAGAAUUCUCUAGCAUUUGCAUGAACCAUCCAUUGUGGUUAUGUUGCCUUUUUCAACAUGGGUUGGAUCCAUUGUCUUGGUCCAAGACAAGAUUACAAUUCAACAAGCCUUUUAUUAAUGUCACAUUAUUAUGUCUUGAUUGUAAGAUUAAACUUAUAAAAAAAUAUAAGUUAAGAGAUUAAGCUCAUGAACCACAAAUGUAUUCAAGUAUUAAAAUCACAAUUCGAUAAACACAAUGACAAACUAACCCAUAAACAUAGUAGAAGAAAAAGCCAAAGCAGACUUCUAAACAAUGCACCUUCUCCUCUCUUGCAAAACCAAAAGUACUCAAACUAACAAUAGGUCUUAGUUCAAUAUUGAGUGUGCAUUUUGUGAAAGCAGUGGCCACUAUUUAUAAUAGAUUAAUCCUAAUAAUUCUCUUAUUAGAAACACCAUAGGAUACCAACUAUGAAUCCAAAUCAUAUCUGAAUUACAAUCCUACAAGAAUUAGGAUAGUUUUAAGCUUUCUAGCAAGACUUUUCUAUGUCAAUUGAAACACUACAACCGGCUAUAAUAUUUAAUUUCAUACUCAUGUUCUAACAUUCUCCCACUUGAGUAUGAAACAUAUUAAUCACACAGUCUUUCAUAUUCAUAGAAGUGAUCGCCAAAUCUUUUGGAUAGCAAAAGCUUAACCUCACAUACAACUUACCAAUGCAUUUUAAAGUAUGGAACUUAAGAAUCUUUUCUGUUUUAUCACAGAAUUAACCCAAAAAUCACAACAUACUUAAUUUGCACUUUGUAAUUAUGUGAAUGUUGUGUAGCAAAACCAAACCAAUUUGCUCCCACUCAUCUAGGCCAUACUUAACACAACCAAGUUAAGUACAAGUUAAUAUCAACUAUAUUAACUAACAAUCAUUGCAAUACACUGAAUGACUUAUCAGAAUCAAUACAGUGAAUGACUUAUCAUAAUCCACAUAGGAAACCAAAUUCGUGUAGUUGCAAUCUUGUUCCUUAAUUAGCAUUCUUAUCAUAUGACCUUCUAUUCUAGUUUGAAUCAUACAAGCUGUCAAAAAUCAAUCCCAGCUUACUAUCAUGCUCAUAUCUUUAUAUCUUAUAUUCUCCCACUUGAGCAUGAACUAAGCUAAAUUUUCAGCUUCGCAAACUUUUAAUAGAAGUGAUCAAUGUGAUCAAUUAGUCUCAUCGCAUAAGAAAUUCACAUCACAUAUAUUAUAUCUAUACAUUUCAAAAUGUAGAAUCAAAGAAACAUUGCUGCAACCAAUAUGCAAACAGAUUCCAUGAUCACAUGCAUCCAAUUUGUAUUUAUAACAAUGUGUUUUUACUUGACCAGAACAAACACAUAAAUUAGUUUUCUCCCACUAUAUCAAGUCAAGUUUAGCUCCAACAAAUAGCACUAAACUUGUCAUUACUUAAACUAAUUAAGUAAGAUAAAUAAUUCAACCAAUUGCUUCAAUAAAACCAUAAAUUGGUUUUCAGCAUCCAAAUGAAUUAUAAUGACUGGCUUAAAUACUCUUAGCCUUAUGCUUACAUUCGAACAUAUGAUUCUCCCACUUAAGCAUAAGCAAAAUGUACUGCACAACCAAUAAAGAAACCGGAGAUAUGAACCAAUUGGUUCCCAAUUCCUCACCAAUUGCAUAAUCUCAGUUUAGUCAAUAUACUCCUAAACCAUUAUGCAAACAGUCUAUGUAUCAAAAGAUAGUCACAAUCCAUUCAGAAAAACUUAUCUCACAUAAACUCAAAAUCACCAGUUUCAACAAUGAUCAAAAUCAAAAUAGCAAGCACAAUAUUUUUGCAUUCAAUUUGAUCCUAGUUCAAUAUCCAUCAAGCAAGAUCAACCAAAUUUUGAUAAUGUCUGGAUAUAUAUCACAACAAUAUGUCUUGAUUAAAACGAGAUAAUCAAGACCACUAUUUCUUUUGGAGAACUCAAAAUUCAUUUUCCUCCCUAUUUGAGAUUUCAAUGAAAACAUAAUUGCGGAAGCAUGCAUCAUAAAUGAAAUCACAAAUACACCUAUACAAUAAGAAUGCAUCUUAAACUCCAUGAUUUUCACAAUACAAUAAGCACAUGCUUUCUUACGAAUUCAUAAAUUAAAUCAAUAUGCAUUCGGCAAUGUCAAUUUGUGUUGUACAAAAAUAUGGACAACAAGUCACAUAAUCUAAUUUGUUUCUCAUUCCUCUAUAUAAAUGACACAAGCUAAUUCUCAAAAUUUAUAGCUUGACUUAUAUAAUCAUACAAGUAAAUUUUUAAGGCUACGAUCAAUAUAUAUAGCCACAAAAUCUAAUUUGGGUCAACUAAUGAAAAAUAAGAUCAUUACAAGAUAAAACCCAAUUUAUACCAAUGUAUACAGAUUCGCCAUAUAUGCACAAUAACGAUUCUAGCCAAAGCAUAUUUCACAUAUAUAUGUUCAUUCAUCUGUUCACAUAUUUUCUUGUAUGCAUGCAUCAAUAUGCAAAUAAACUUAUGCAAGUUCUAUUUGAUAUAGAUACAAUAAGAUGUGCAUGUGCCGCUCCGUAUAAUUAUAUAUAUAUAUAUCGAGAUUCAUACGGGAAACAAUGCAUAACAUACAAAUCGUUAGCAUUCUUUUAAGCCGUCAGAAAGACUAAGCAUAUUUGCUUCAUCAUGACAAUCGAUGAGACUCAACCUAUACAAAAAUCCUUAAUCAUAUAUGCUCAUAAGUUCAAAUUUUGGCUUAACCAAUGUGAAUGGCAAAGUAGAUACAUGCACCAGCACACUAUGCAUCCAUGUAUAUAUUGAAAUAGAUUCGUGUUUGUGCUUCUUUAUACUUGGAAGCCCCUUGAUAUUAUAUAAUAUAACUUUUAUUAUAUAAUAUCCAUCAAAAUAUAAUUGAUGCACGACACUCAAUUUUACAAGCAAAAUGACAUGAUAUAACAAAUGUUCGAAACUGAGAAGAAAGGUUUAGCAGAAAAGGAUUCAAGAUAAAACCUUAUAAAAGCCCUAAUUCAAUUCAAGAUAAAACCUUAUGAAAGCCCUAAUUCAUCAUGCUCUAAAUCAUCACAGUAUAAUCAUGCAUAUAAGAGAACAAAUUAAUCAUGCAUGAAACAAUGAACUAAGUUACCUAAAUGCAUCACUGGACCUAUAUUCGUUGACCCGACCGAGAUUUCUCGACCACAAAUCAACAAAACAAAUUACUCAUCAAUCCUCGAGACCCAUCCAUGUGGAUUGUCAUCACCACCAAUUCCAGUGGACCCGUAUCAUCGCAGAUUAUCGAAGUACAUCGCCAUUGUUACAUACCCGCCGAACCCAUCGCCAAAGUGAUGGCCCAAAUCCCAUCGACACAAAUUCCCAGCAAAAAGACAAACCGUAAACGUUAAUAUCUCUUGGACAAACAAAAAACUUAUUAAUGUCUUCAAACCAAGAUUUCAUAUUUCUUUUAUCUUACUUAUAUUUGGUCUGUACAAGGCAUAUUUUAUGAACAUCUUUAUAAUCAAAUUCAUUAAUCCAAACCGAUCAGACCCACGAAAACAAUAGCUUAUGUACUCGCAUUCCAUAAUUACCCAAUGAAUCCUUGAUUAAUUCUUAUAAAAAUUCAUCAUCAUGGAAUCAAACACAUAGAAGAAAAAUUAAUAGCUGUUGAAGCUUAGUAGUUCAAUUUUACCAAAUUGAAUUCAACAUUUAGCCAUCAUUCGUUUGGCAGGCAAUCGUAAAUAUUACAAACCUGUAUUGCGGCAAACAUGAUAUGCAUAUAGCAAACUCAUUCAAAACCUACAUAUUAUCUCACAAACUAAGCUUGACAACUGCUAAUUUACCAUCACGUCUUUUGCUGUUUGUUUUUUUAUUUUUAUUUUUUUAACUUUCAAUUUGAAUUCAAGAGCAACAAUCUUAGGCUCUGAUACCACAUGUAAGAUUAAACUUAUCAAAAAAUAUAAGUUAAGAGAUUAAGCUCAUGAACCACAAAUUUAUUCAAGUAUUAAAAUCACAAUUCGAUAAACACAAUGACAAACUAACCUGUAAAUGUAGUAGACGAAGAAGCCAAAGCAGACUUCUAAACAGUGCACCUUCUCCUCUCUUUCAAAACCAAAAGUACUCAAACUAACAAUAGGUCUUAGUUCAAUAUUGAGCGUGCAUUUUGUGAGAGCAGUGGCCACUAUUUAUAAUAGAUUAAUCCUCAUAAUUCUCCUAUUAGAAACACCAUAGGAUACCAACUAUGAAUUCAAAUCAUAUAUGAAAUACAAUCCUACUAGAAUUAGGAUAGUUUUAAGCUUUCUAGCAAGACUUUUCUAUGUCAAUUGAAACACUACAACCGGCUAUAAUAUUCAGUUUCAUACUCAUAUUCUAACAUUGAUAAAAUCUUUAUUUAUUCCCUGCAAGUACCAUAUAAGAAAUGCUAAAGAGACUCUCUAUGGACUCUCUAUCUGUCACUUCAUGUUUUUGACAUAAUGUUUUAUAAUGUUAGCACUAGAAUGACUGUAAACUGUAAGGUGACAGAGAGUCUAUGAAGAGUCCCACUUUAAGAGGGUCUCCUUAAUAUUUCUCAUACCAUAUUCUGACACAAUGGAAAGUAGCCAUUUUUUAUUGUAAGUUUUAGUUUUCACAUGUAUUUAUGUUAUGCGAGACAACCACAAAUAAAUCUUUCUGUAUGUACAACUUUUAUCAAGUUUAAGAGUUAUAAUUAAGAUAUUCCCAAUUGUAUAUAUUUAUAUGUUUUUAGUCAUUAUAGUUGGAGCUCAUCAUUUGUGUGUACAUGAUAGAUAUCCUCGGUUACACGAUAGAAUUUCACAGGAAUGUCAUAGCCAAUAAAGUAGGCUCCUAUGCAUCAUUUGUUUCUGUGCGAAGAGAAAACACGAAUAAAUACAUGCAACAACCUAUUGUUGCUGAUAGUGUACGCUUCAGACUCAUGAAAUUUGUAGCCACUCUACAUAUCUCGUGUGUAGAGUGGUACAUCAAGUAUGUUGGACUCGAUACAUCAAGUGUCGUAAUGCAAUUGAUUAGAAAACAAGAUUUCAAAUCUUUUUUUCAAGUUUCUCACAUAACCGUAGGCCUGGCAAACGGAUCGUGUCUGUAGUGUUCGUGUCGUUUUCGUGUAACACCUGUUAUCUUAACGGGUCGUGUCAUGUCACACCUGUUAUCUUAACGGGUCCUUAAUAGGUCGGGUAAAGUGACCUAACCCAUUAUGACCCGUUAAGAAAAGAAAAAAAAUUUCCUUAAAUUUGCACAUACCACACAUUGCCACAUGCGAUCUCGAUCUCUGAAUGUUUGUUUUUUGCAAUUUUUUGCUGAUACGAUUUCGAAGCAUAUACAAACAAGUUUGAUGAUUGGAUCGUUGAAAUUAGUUUCGUAGAAUUCGUAUCCCAUCAAGUUCAAUGAUGAAUAUAUAUAUUUAUUAAGUAGAUUUAAAUUUAUUUAUUUUGUACAUAUAACACUUAAGAAAUUGAAUGGUAUGUAUAUUUAAGCCGAUCCAAUGGUCACCAAUUUUUAAUAUUUAAUAUAUAUUAUAGUUUUUAGGGCUAUAAAAUUGUUAAAUUAAUAUAUAUAACUAUUAUAGUAUUUUUUUUUAGGGUUAUAAAAUUAUUAAAUUAAUAUUUUACUUAUCGUGUAUCGUGUUACUCACAUGUAUAUCUGAACCAACCCGUUAUCUUAACAAGUGCUUAUCGGGUUACCCGAUAACGAUCCAAUUCGUUAUCGUGUCGACCCAAACACUUGUUAAUUUCAUGUUGUGUCGUGUCGGGUUAUCAGGUCGUGUCAGGAAUUGCCAGGUCUGCCUAACCGAAACCCAAUUAUUCUAUUUGGGACUUUUACAGCAACAAAGAAACCACCUCAAGGCUCAAUCUACUUGCCCACCAUCCCACACCUUUUUUUCCUUGUCUGGUUUGGUGGUAGGGAAUGAAACUGAUCUAUGUUCACUUCUUCUGGUUUGCAGCUGACUGGUUUUUCCAUUAGUGGAAAAACGAAACACGGAUACCCUCCGGAUCCAUCCAUUAUGUGAGGAUCCUACGGAUCCCUGUGGAUGCAAAUUUUCGCCUUCUUUUUCUUGGACAAAAUUGCAUCUACAAAACAAUUAACACCUUAGGUCAAGGCCAAGAGCCUCACAUGCCCACGAUGAAUGGGGGGGCUUUGGCGGAAGAACCUCCGAUGCCAAAGUUAGAAUUUAGAGAGAAAAGUAUUUGGAGAGUUUUUGGAAGUUUUGCAAGAGUGUGGAACUAGGUUUUUAGAGAAAAUGGAGUCCUAUUUAUAGAGCAUGACCAGCCCUCUUUGGAAGAAAGAGUGGCCGACCCUUGGGUAUUUUUUGGGGUGUAAUGGAUGAUUUAAUUGGUAAUUAAUGGAUUAAUUAGGAAUUAAUCCAUUAAUUAGUCAUUUAACCUCCACUUAAAUGGAAUGUUAUGUAGGUUAUAAAAUAAUUACCUAAGAUGAGGAUGGAUGAGAAUAUAUUUGAAUUUGUUACCUAUUUUGGACACUUUUGACUUGAUUGACGGAUGAUUGUCUGCUGCUCGCGCGUAGGAAUCCCGAUAUGCCUCAAGGGUAUAUUUGUCCUCUUUACCCAAAAAUUCACGUGUCACCUUGUGAUUAUUUUUUGCUGCACAAUCUCCACAUCUCAGCCGUUCAUCGUGAAUCAUGUAUCAAUUUUUGUCAGGUACUAUUUGUGUUUAAUUUAAAAUAAUAAAAAUAAAAUUAUUUAUGACCACACGAUUCAUGAUAAACGAUUAAAAUGUAGAGAUCCUUAUGAUUCUUGCAUAAUGGAUGGGAUCCGUUUCAGGAAAAACGAAGCUUGAUGGACCCCAGGUUAUAAUAUUCCAAAAUAGUCAUUCACAAUUAAUUAAUUUGUUGACUUAAUUUUGUUGUGUACUUGUAAAAUAGCCAACCACAUAAUGGAUGGGAUCCGUUUCAGGAAAAACGAAGCUUGAUGGACCCCAGGUUAUAAUAUUCCAAAAUAGUCAUUCACAAUUAAUUAAUUUGUUGACUUAAUUUUGUUGUGUACUUGUAAAAUAGCCAACCAGUGUCCUUUUUAUAUCUAAAACAAUUGUAUAAUCCUACAGAGAAUAUUUAUAUUAGGCCUCGGCAAUUGAUAUAAAAGGCAACCUGUAUCAACGCAUUCUUUGAGUCAAUAAUAUCAGAGCUUCUUAGAGGGGAAAUAGAUAGGUUGUAAAACAAUGUCUUGGUUUCUUACUGUUAUCUUUCUGGUUACUACUCUUACAUUUCAUACUCCUUCAGAGGCUAGCUAUGAGGAGAUCCAGCCUUCUGCAGUUGUUGUAGGCACUGUAUACUGUGACACAUGUUUCCAAGAGGAUUUCUCAAAUACUAGCCAUUUCAUUUCAGGUAAAUUCGUCUUGAAUUUUCAACAAGUUCUUCAUCAAUUUUAUUUUUCUAUUGUAGCCCGUUCAAUGAUUUCCGUACACCCCUUCUCUUCUUCUAUAUACACUCAUGUUUAUAUUUUAAUCUUUAAAUUUGAAUAAGUCCAAGAAAAAUUAAAAGAAAUAAAUAAACAAAAGUGUACAAAUGGAGAAAAUGUAAAAUCUAAAUGACUGAAAACCUUUAUACAGGUAUUUCCUAAGAGUCAACCAUACAACUACGAAAAAUUAAAGGAGAAAUUAGGUUCUCAUCCUUCCUUUUGCUACUUCAUUGAUUAAAAUCAUAUUCUUUUUCAAUUUUUUAUCAAGGUCUUUGGGUAUUAAUAACAUCAUUAAUUAUUUUAAUAAUAAAAUAUUUUUUUAUUUCUAAAUAUAUUCAUUUAAUGUUAAAAAUGUUACAAUUAGUAUAUUUAUAUUUAUGACUUAACAUAUAUUUUUAGUUUUAGUUUGUACCCAUUUUUAAUUUGUAAUUCUUUUUUAAUUUGUAUCAAUUUUCUUUUCAAUUUUAAUUUGUACCCAUAUAUUAAUUUAUUUUUGUGCCCAUAUUUUUUAAAGUUUAUUUGUAUUUGUACCCAUAUUUUUUUUAUUUGUACUUUUUAUUUUGCUAAAUGUACCCAUGCUAAUUAUAUGUACCCAUUCAUUUAAAACUUUUUAAUCUUCAAAUGUACUCAUUCUUAAAUAUACCAAUUUGUUAUAUGUAAAAUGUACCAUUUUUUUUAUAUAUAAUCUAUUCAAUUUUUUUCUAAUCCAUUUUUAAACUUAUAUGGGUACGUUCUUUUUUCUUUGAUUUUAAAAUGUAUCCAUGUCAAGUUUAAUCGAAGAAAUUUACUAAUGUUAUUAAGCUAUUAUCUUCUUCUUCUUUUUUUGUGAUUUUGAAGAAUUUACCCAUGUUUUGAUACAAUAAUUUUUUUGGUUAAUUUUGAUGAAUGUACCCAUGUUUAUAUAUAUACACACACAAUAGUAUAUUUAUAUUUUAAUAUUUUUAAUCCCACAAAUUAUGAUUUUUUAUUUAAAAUCUCAUUUAUAUAAACAACUAAAAUUUCUAAUUUUUAAUUUAAAAAAUAUAGUAACGUACAUAGAAAUAAAUUAUCACAUUAAUUUCAGGGACCUCGAUCAAAAAUUAAAAAUCAACAAGGUUUCAAUCAAAGAAUAUUCAUAGCUAAAGACCACAUCCAAAGUCUCCCAAAAUUAAAUAACACAUAUCAACUGCAAAAAAAAAUCUUGCCUAAACUAACUCCUUGACGGUAGGAUUCUACUUUCAAUCACGAUUUCUUUCCAACAGACAACAAAAUGUCCUGACAUGUUAUGGAUGCAUUAUCGACAAUAUCAAUAAUUUUGUGGGGUUUUUGUGCAGAGGCUUCUGUUGGUGUGGAAUGCAAAGAUGGGACUUCAACAAAACCAAGUUUCAACGUAAAAGUGAAAACAAACAGCCAUGGGCAAUUCAAAGUCAAUCUGCCCUUCUCAGUGAGCAAAGAUGUCAAGAAAAUUGAAGGAUGCUCCGUGAAACUAAUCCGCAGCAGUGAACCCUACUGUGCUGUGGCCUCAUCAGCCACCUCAUCUUCCCUACACCUCAAGGCAAGAAAGCAAGGGACUCACAUAUUCUCUGCUGGUUUCUUCACCUUCAAGCCUCUCAAGCAACCCAGCUUAUGCAACCAGAAACCCAGCAUUCAGAAUUCCAAGAAAUUAAACUCCCAGAAGUUCUCAGAGAUGGCAUUCCCAUCCUCCUCUCAGGUGGACCCCAAAAUGCCUGAUCCCUCUCUCAACCAAUCUGAUCUCCUAGGUCUCCCAAUCGAUCUCCCAGGACUCCCAGGUCUCCCAGGACUCCCAGGUCUCCCAGGCCUCCCAGGCCUCCCAGGACUUCCAGGGUUGCCCCUUGCUGCUGAAAAAACUUCAUCUAAGUCCUCCAACUCCAAAACUUCAAAGAAUGGGCAACUAGGUGAUAAUAAAGAAGUCGCCCAUCCAGAUUCUCCACCAGCAGGUUCAGCACCAUGAUUCCCAACCUGCAACCUAUCCUGGUUUCUGCUGGGUUCCUAUCCUAUUGGGCGUAACCCGUUUAAGUAUAAUAAGCCCAUUUAGGUCUUCUGAGUUGUGGUUUCCUGAACUACUACGUAUAUAGUCUCUUCCUUCUCUUUUGAGAACUAUGAAAAAUAUUAAGG